AUCAACCACCUAAGGGAAGGGUUUAAAGAUGCUCCUUCCAUAUUAACGUAAUAAAUCCUGCAACCAUGAAGGUCCUCCUCUAGCCAGGUAAGAAUUGAACCUGCCAUCUCGGGUGACACUUUGAGAGAUCUCCCUUGCUGCUCUAUUGGCUCCCACCGAUUCAUGUUCAAUAGAACAAAAGGUAAAACCGUUGCAUAGUUGGGCAAUAAGAGUGGUCAAAGAGCGGAAUUUCGGCCAGAGAAGAGGUUUAGAGAUUGCCUCUACUACCGAAUGAGAGUCGGAGACUAGCAAAACCUCUGUGAAGUGUAGGUCACACAAGCUUUGAAUUGCCCAGAUAAUACACCGUAGCUCCGCAAUAAUUCUGUUAGGCGAAGGAGUAAAAGCUUCUCUUGCAUGAAAGAGAACCGAGCCUUGAUGAUCUCGGACGAUCCACGCCCCACCACUGUGUAAAACUUCAUUCCUCCAAUUAGCAUGUAAGUUGCACUUAACCACGCCCAGUGCUGGAGGCUGCCAUUUAGAAUCGACAAGAUUAAAGAAAUUCUUGUUACGAUCCACCAGGCCUGAAGGAUCAUGCAGCUUCGACCAAAGCAAAGCUUCUUCUUUAGCCCUCUGUACAAUUACUGCUGCAGACUCCUGUUUGUUUGCAAAGAAUACCGAGUUCCUGUUUUUCCAUAUUUGACUCUUCUUUUCUCAACUUUAACUAAGGAUAUUUAGCAUGCAUAAUUUUUACUCAUUGUAAAACUAAAAAAAAAAAAACACAGAGGAUUUCUUAACAUGCAUGAAUUUUAGGAAAUUUUAUAAAUUUUAAGUUUAGGAAGAGUUCUACGAAAAGGAAAAUUCUUGUUCGAGGGGGUAAAUGAAUGAAUUCACUCCUAGGGAUGAACCCAAGAAUUGUUCUCUACGAAAAUGUACUAAAUCAUUCAAGAGCAUUUCCUAAACUUUAACGAAGCCUUUUCUAACAUAAAAUUUGUACUAGUUUAAAAAUUCUCUACAUUUAUGAUGUUUGUGAAAUAAAAUCUUGCUUUUAUUUUGGUAAUAAUGUACUGUAUUUCUGUUUAAAAUAUAUAGAUUAAAUGGAAAGGUGUAGUAUUAAUGUAAAAAAUUACCAGAUUCCUUUACUUAUUUAGUUCUCUCAUAACUCCCAUUUGGUUAAAUGUAUAUGCAACAACGAACCAUAAUUAGUACUUCUAGAUUUAAUUACCAUACUUAUAUAAAUAGUAUCUCGUACCCCAUUCCAACAUUAUAAAUACACCAUCUUUUCUCUUUGUCUGUCCUUCUUUAAGAUCUUUCUCUCUUAUCUUUGUUAGUGGAAACUUCAAAAGAAAGAAAGCCAAAAAAAAAAUGUUGCUUACACUAUUAAAAUCACUCCUCGUGAUAUUCGUGACCUUGAUAUUAAGAGUUCUAUACGACACCAUAUCAUGCUACUGGCUAACACCUAGGCGAAUCAAGAAGAUCAUGGGAAGGCAAGGCGUAACCGGUCCUAAACCGCGUCCUCUAACCGGAAACAUCCUUGAAAUCUCGGCCAUGGUUUCACAAUCCGCUUCCAAGGAUUGUGACUCUAUUCACCAUGACAUCGUCGGUCGCCUUUUACCGCAUUACGUCACUUGGUCCAAACAAUACGGUAUGAUCUUAUAAUCUUAAUUAUAAAACUCGGUUACAUGUAAAAUAUUGAUUAAACCAAACGUCAAUAUAUUGCUCCCUUGGCUUGAACAGGGAAGAGAUUUAUUGUGUGGAACGGGACGGAUCCUAGGCUUUGCUUAACGGAAACGGAAUUGAUAAAGGAAUUGCUUAUGAAGCAUAACGGUGUAAGUGGAAGAUCGUGGCUACAGCAACAAGGAACCAAGAAUUUUAUUGGUCGUGGUCUCCUUAUGGCUAAUGGCCAAGAUUGGCACCACCAACGUCACCUUGCUGCACCGGCAUUUACCGGAGAAAGGCUCAAGGCACGUCAAGAAAUUAACCUCAUGCACACAAAAAAAAUGCAAAGUAACUGACUGUUGAAUGACUGAAAUACCCUUUACGAUGCAGGGCUAUGCAAGGCACAUGGUGGAGUGCACGAGCAGGCUAGUGGAGAGGUUGAGGAAAGAAGGAGGAGGAGAGGUUGAGAUAGGGGAGGAGAUGCAUCAGCUCACGGCUGAUAUUAUAUCGAGGACGGAGUUUGGGAGCAGCUUUGAGAAAGGCAAAGAGCUUUUUCACCACCUCACCGUCCUCCAGCGCCGUUGCGCUCAAGCCACCCGCCACCUCUGUUUUCCCGGCAGCCGGUUGGUUUUUCUUCCUCACUCAAAAGUUUCUAGUUUUUUAUAUACCAAUGUGCUUUUCAAUUAUUAACAAUAUGCAGAAAUUCCAAAAUAUUAUAUAUGUGAAUUCGAUACCAUCGAUUUGAAUUACCGAACUAUUUAUUUUAGGUAUUUGGGUUGUGGACAAAAUAAAAAACAAUAUGCAGGAAAAAUUCCAUUAUAAUAUACCAACUAAAAUUUUUAUUAUCAUUUAAAUACACCAAUUUUAAUGUAUUAAAAAAAAAUAUUAGUUAGUUAACUAAAAGUAUACUGCUUUUUGUUCACGUAAAAUUGUAUGUGGUAAUUUUUAUUUUUGUUAAUUGUGAACUUAGUGAUUUUAGAUUUCGAAACUUAGUUUGUGCUUUGAUGUGUCAUUCCCGGGUUUCAAGCAAUUUGUUUUUCUAUGUCGAGCACAAGUAUAUAUCACCCGUUUACUCUCUAACAUGUUUUGUUUCAAAUGACUAUUGCUUUAAAGUUGACCUUAAUUAGUACAGUCAAACCUUGACUUGACAUGGAAUAUUUUGUGUCUAUAGGUUUCUUCCGAGCAAAUACAACAGAGAGAUAAAGUCUCUGAAAAAGGAAGUGGAACGUUUGUUGAUAGAGAUCAUACAAAGCCGGAGGGACUGCGCCGAGAUGGGCCGGAGCAGUACUCACGGCGAUGACCUUCUUGGCCUUCUCUUGAACGAAAUGGAUAGCCAAAAGAACAAUAAUAAGGAUAACAACAAUCUUCAGUUGAUAAUGGAUGAAUGCAAGACGUUCUUCUUUGCUGGUCAUGAGACCACCGCAUUGCUCCUCACAUGGACAAUGAUGCUCCUCGCCGAUAACCCCUCGUGGCAGGAAAAAGUUCGUGAUGAGGUCAGAGAGGUAUGUGGCUGCGACGGUCUUCCCUCGGUUGAUCAACUAUCCAAGCUUACCUCGGUACGUAUUUUCACUCUUAGCUAGAUACAUGAUAUACAACUUAUAACAUCUAAAAUAUAUUGUUCUUACCCAUUAAUUAGAACUAGAAUUCUAAACCUAAGAUCAAUUCUUCUCUUACAAAUUUUAAUUUUUUUGGUUAGAUCCAUCGAGUCAACGUAGGUGUAAAGUUAUAUUAGGUUUGAAUGGUAGCAUCUUCUGAGUAGAUUCUGAGUAGGACUCGAAGGCCACUAACUCAUACACAUAAAAGAUGAUAUUUGUUGUUUGCUCCAAUUUAAUAAGUAUAUAACUAUACAAUAUUGAAACUAAUUAUUUUGUUUGAAGUAGUAGAAUUAGCUUUAUAAUGAUGAAUUGGUGCGGGUGGGGUAUAAACAUUCAACACAGUAUAGGCAGUGCCACUAACUUCAUAGUGCUUCUUCCAUAUCUAAGCUAAUAACAUAGUCACCAAGUCGACACAGAAACCUAAUGAGUAGAUCAUAUCUUCUAGUUUUGUCUUCAUGCUUAAUCUUAGCCGAAAUCAAAUAAAAAGCGUAAUAGAAAUGUGUAGGUUUAUUGAUUUCUACAGAUGUAUUCAUUUUGAAUCAGUCGUUACAUUUUUGUAUCUGGUUUUACAUAAUUCACGUUUCGUCUUAGAAAUAGUUAUUUAAAUAAGAUAUGAUUAACAAUUGGUUAAGCUAGCUUUAAAAUUUGAGAAGAAAUAGAGGGACUGGUACAUAGAUUUUCAGGCAUAAACAAAUGGGUAAAUGAUACAUGUCUUUUGUUUAAUGAUUAGCACUAAGACAUGCUUUGCAUAAAAUAUUAUAUAUGCAAAAAAUCUGAAAUCUGUAUUAACUAAUGAUUAGAUUUUGACAGCUUCAUUGAUAGUCUUUUUCAAAAGGAAAAGUCAAUUCUCAAACUAAAAGAUGUUUGAGAAAGAGUCAAGAGGCACUUCGCAUGAUCAUAAGAUAUGAUUCCAAUAUAAAUUAAUAGAAUAUUUCUCCUAACUAUUUUGUCUUUUUUCUUCCCUUAUACCAGUUAAACAAAGUGAUAAACGAGUCACUAAGACUUUACCCUCCAGCCACUCUUCUACCAAGGAUGGCAUUUGAAGAUAUAAAACUAGGUGAUCUAACAAUUCCCAAAGGUUUAUCAAUAUGGAUUCCGGUCCUCGCGAUCCAUCACAGUGAAGAACUAUGGGGUAAAGACGCAAAUGAAUUCAACCCUGAACGUUUUGGAGGUAGACCAUUCGCUCCUGGCCGCCAUUUUAUUCCAUUUGCAGCCGGUCCUAGAAACUGUAUUGGACAAUCAUUUGCGAUGAUGGAAGCAAAAAUAAUAUUAGCGACGCUAAUUUCGAAGUUUAGCUUCACGAUAUCAAAGAAUUAUAGACAUGCGCCAAUCGUUGUGCUUACUAUAAAACCUAAGUAUGGAGUUCAAGUGAUAUUGAAACCAUUGGAUUUAUGAAGACUUUUGGGGUUAAGAGAUUGGUUUUUAAUGCCUUGGUUAAACGCUGGGAGAGGAAAGAUUUUGGGGUUUGUGAAUUUUUUGAGUAACAUGGGGGAUUUUUAUUGGAAUAAAUGCUAUACGAGAGAAUAUAUGCUAUUCUUUUUCCUCAAAAUACAUUUUCUUUUGUGUUUUUUCUUUCUUUUAUGGGUUUUACGAUAUUAUUUAAAAGUGACGAAAACAACUCAACAGCCUUCAUGUUUUUUUUUCAUAUAUGUUAAAAUAUAUAAGCUAUUUCUUAGAAUUUCUCAAAAAUAUACACGUUUAGUAAAACAUUUUAAACUGAUCCAUGGUAAAAACUAAAAAAAAUGUACAUUUGAUGACAUAAAUUUUCGCACUGAUUUCAAAACUCAUGCAUUAAAAUAUUUUUGCUAUGCCAAAAAAAAAAUGGUAGACUAAGUUGGCAUUCGAAGUGAGAAAGCUCAAAAGAAGAUUUCGAACUAAUAUUUAUUAGACUAACAAAUGAUUGUAAUUUUUUAUAGGCCAAAGCUUAUUUGUUUGAUGUUUUAAUUGAUUCAAUUGAUUCAAUAAGGACGAGUUGCAAGAUAUAAAUAAUCUUCUUAGUAAUAAAUUAAUCACAGAAAGAUAUGAAAGGUUGGGAGUCUCGCGACUGUUGUCUUUGUGUAAGGUCAUAUUUAUUUGCUUUUGAGGCUGCAAAAUGGUAUCAAAUAACCUUUUUGGCAUAUGGGCCAAAAAGCAAUUGUCCAUCGAUCCCCUUUUAUUGGGUUUAGAAAGUGAAGUUGAUAUUCAAUAUUAAUAAAAGUCAUCAUGUUAUAUUGAGAUGGGUUCAAUCUAGAUAAGCUUCUAAUAAUAACAAACAUAAAACAAGAAGUAUAAUAAUCAAAGAAACAAAAAAAGUGAUUAGGGAUGGGGGAAAAGGAGUUCAACUUUUAUUUUUGUUGGUUAAGUUUGGUGGCAGCCAUUGCACUUACAAUGACUAAGGUUGAUUCUUGCUUCUUUAUCUUAAAUAUAUUAAAAAGAAAAUGUGGUAGAAGUAAAGCAAUCGGAGUGCAUGGUAGAAAAAGAAUUUUGUAUUGUAUGUCCAUGUGUAGAAUUAGAAAAUAUUGUUAGAAAUUAUAAUAAUAUAACAUAUAUACGCGUAUAUAAAAACAUAUCGUCAUUAUAAUUUUUCUUGAACUGACAAGUCAAAAAAAAUAUCGUCAUACUGUUAGAUACGCUCCAAUAAAUAACUGGAUUGUUGUACAAAUGAUGCAAGAAAAUAUUAAAGGAAUAAUUAUUUGUUCAAUUUUCCGUAACGCAAUCAAUCCGAUGCUAAUUAGUUCUUAGUUGUCAUGAGAUCAGUUAAGCGAUCCCAUUUAGAUCUCUAUGGUCUGUAAUCACUCCGACUACUUGUUUGGAAUGAGAAUUAUGAGUAAUAGUCUUGUAUUCAUAAAAUACACCACAACAAUAUUUUAGCCAAAAAAAAGAAGAAAAUACACUACAAUAGUAUAAACUAUCUAGGAAAUGUAAAUAUUUGUUAUAACAUACACACGCGUAUGCAUCUACAUUUAAAUAGUGAUAUACUGUAUCUUGUUUGACGAAGUUAAGCAAAUAUCCUUCCAGUAUCAAAAGAGACAAAUCUUCGUGAUCAAAUAAGAUUUGGUGGAAAUGUGAAAAUGUGAAAAUGUGAAAAUGCUAUCUCAAAUAUUAUCAAAUACAAAUUAUGAGAACAAAUAUAUAGACGAUUUUAAAAUUUUGAUAGUGUAUCAACUUUUAAUUAAAUAAUCGCUGUACAAUAUUUAAGUGAAAACAAAUUGACAUGACCAACUUUUAACUCGGUCUUAGGUAGAAGUAGAAGAAGCAUGUGCCUCUAACCGCUGUAGUCGAUUCGUAUCUAUUUUACGGACUAGUUUUUGUACAAUGUACCUAUUAGAGAUCAAAUGUUGCUAGUUCUAUUGGAAAUGAGACAAGCCUAUCUCUUUUAGGGAUUCAAAACCCUUAAAUAAAGUUAAAUAUUUUCCAUAUGUUUUUGUACAAUGUAGACCGGUUUUGUUCUCAGUGAACAUUACACUAACAGUGAGCACACCUUCUUCUCAUGUCAAUAUGCCAAAGAAGUCUGGCGUUUAUCAGGAAUGCCUCUGCAUAUCCUCAAGAAUCGAAAAUUUUCAUUGGAAGACAAAGUACGAUACUUGUUCUCUCUACACCGGAAUAGUUGUCUCUGAAACAAACCUGAAACUUCCUUUUUAAGUGCUUUGGAGGCUAUGGAGAAGUCAAAAUGAUCUCCUAUUCAAUCAUCAUAAUAUCACCGAAGUAGAACGAUAAAGAGAGCAACUGAGGAUGCGAAAAAAGGGAUCAGCAGAUCUCCUCCAACGGAGACAUCAUCGUAGACACCGGCCAUAGGACUAGACAAGAGCAAAGUCGAUGGAUAAAACCAAAUAAAGGUUAUAGGUUAAGUGUAAUUAUAUAUGAUGCAUCCCAUUAUGAAGGUAAUCAAAACUCGGGACUUGGAUGGAUUCUUCGAUAUAGCAAUGGAACUUUCUUAGACUAUGUAUGGGUAAGUUUCAAGGGAGAAACACAACUGAAGAAGUAGAAUGUACAUCAAUUAUUUGGGCUAUGCAAGCAACUUGGGCCCUCGGAUAUUGAGUGGUAGAGUUUGAAGGUGAAUAUUUGAAUAUCAACCGUAUUAUCAACCAGAAAAUUACAAACCUUAAACUUCAGCAUUAUAUGGAGGCAAUCAACCGGUGAAGCGAUAUGUUUAAGCAAGACAAAAUUUCCUUUAGGCAUCGUGAGUUGAAUACAUGCGGUGAUAUAUAUGCUAGCUAGGAAAUCAAUCUUGGAUGUAACUCUUUGGUCAAUGUAUCAUUGUUGCCCAAAUUUACUAUAUCCUCUUGUAAACAAAUAUUGUGAAUUUGUGAUUUGCAAAAUCAAUAAAGUUCUUUGUCGGAGGAAAAAAAAAUAAGACAAAUACAUAAUUUAUUUUCAUUUUGGCUACGUUAGAUAACAUAUGCAUGCAUAGUGAGGCUUGAACCUCGAACUUGAUGCAAUAUGUGAACAUCCGUAAGAGGGUACCAGUAAUCAGACAUUAGUAAUCUUGUUUGUAAUAUAGAAAAAUGUUUCAGGUCUUGAUCCUACAAUUUUUUUUCUUGAAACUUGAAAGCUUUAGCUUUUGGUUCAUGUGCUAUAUUAUAUGUAGUACAAAAAUUUGGAUAUCGUCCUAUGCUGGGCUUUAGCGGAAAUAUUGAUUUAUGAGCUCGACUAUUGAGCCCAAUUAAGUGUAUUUUUCCGAAGCCUAUUGAUAUUAUCUGCAUAUAGAGAGACUAGGGUUAGCUCUAUGUAUGCAUGUAAUUUUUUCAAAAUGGACUUACAUACAUUUAAAGUUUUUCAUUUAUAUAAUAAGAUACAUGUAUAAAGAUGCUUUUGAUAAUUUGUUACAAAGGUUUCGCUUCCACAAUUCAGAAGAAAACCCUUUUUUUUUGCUUAACUUAAAACAGAUUUCUAAUGAUUACUUCCACUUGUAUUCUAACUUAGGCGUUUUUUUGCCAUGUGUGAAGUAGAUCCCAUCUUCUCUAGCAUCCCAAAAGUUCUUUUUACCAUAAUGAACUAUGAGACCACCACCUACAUAUCCCGUAAACCCUGCAUGGAACUUGAAAUUAGGUCCUUGCCAUAGAUCACAAAAGAAUUCUGUUUUCAAAACACUAUCAUGAAAACUGAAAUCGUAGGUUUCUCCAGGUCGCAAAUAGUGGAAGCCUAGAUUGUCGUCGUUCGAUAUGCAAUUGAUCUUCAAUAUAUUGUUCCGGCCUAGAGAAUUUUUAAAGAAUACAGAGUUUUUCUCAUUCCACUUUGCGUUACUCAAUCCCAUGCACAAUCCAAUAACGAGCAGAAAACACGAGAGACGAUUCAUUGUUUUGCUCUUCCUUGUUCUACACUUCGUUUAGAUUUAGAAGUAAUUUUUGUAGAUAAUUAGAAGGGGCAAUGUCUUUUUAUACUCUUUUUUACAUGGAUAUUCAUUCUAGCUAUUUUUAAACAUCUUUGUUUUGACUAAUACGAAUCCGGUUUUGCUGUUUUUCUCUUGUCCUUAUCGCUUUUACUGUUUUUGCAUCUAAUUAGGCCAUCUCCAAUGGUUAGCACCUUAAGGAGUGCUUAACCAUUUUUAAAUUAGUAUUUUUGAAGUUUUGUUGUUUAAGCAUUUCUUUUAAGAUGUUAUUUUUUUUCAGGGUCCAAUGGGAGGUGCUAAAAAGGGGUGCUUAAAAAAUUUUUUUUUUAGUUUGAAUUUGCGUCUUCUUCUUUGAUCGUUCUUGUUGUUGUGUCUUCUUCUUUGAUCGUUCUUCCUGAUACCUAUCUUCCAAUGUCUUUGGUUUAAGACUGCAUUGCCUGGCAACAGCAGAAAAAAUAUAUCAUCAAUACAGAUAAGGAAGAUAACCACUGUAUAUAACAAAACCGCUUUUUUCAUACAAACAAUCUGAUCCGAUAGAAUAAUAGAAGCCCCAUCGCCAAUAGCUUCCGGGUAUAUUGAAUGUUAAACCUAUUCUCUAACUCAGAGUGUGAGCAAUAAAGCAACCACUAACACAUAAUGAAUUUGAAAUUGGACCAUCUAUUAAGUACAAAAAGCUUCAGACUCGACGCGGAUAUAACAAACAUUGUUUCUGUUAAUUUGCACGCUGAUACAAUCAAACAAAAAUCAACCACAACACUCUCUUUUUUUAUAGUCAACUAUCAACCAUGAUACUCAAAGCACCAAAUUGCAGAAAAUCCAGAAACAAAAACCCGUAAGCAAAUCCAUUCAUCGGUCAAAAAUCAAUGUUGUCGAAAAUUACAAAAACCUGUAAUCAAAUUUGGUUUCUGAAAUUUGAUUUCCCAACUAACCAAAAUCUUGCUGAGUCUUUGCACUGGUGAGUCUUUGUUUCUGUUGAAUCGGCGGAAUUAGCUGCUUCGACGAGGGAUGAUAUCUCUGAACCAUCGAUUGAUAGAGUAAACAUCAACCUGGGUUUCUCGCCGGAAAAGUGAUGAUAACAAAGGAUUUCUUGCCGGAAAAGAUGGGGAAUAAGCAUGCAUGAAGAUCAAGCUGGGUAAUCUCUCAAUCGGCUCUCUCAAUCGCCAAAAGAAUCGAAGGUCGGCUUUGGAAACAGAAGGAGAAAAAACGACUUGGGACAAAAACGUGAUCGGUGAAGAACAAAGGAAAAAAGGUUAUCCUGCGUGAAAAAAAAAGAAAAAAAAAGAAAAAUUUUAGACCAAUGAGAAUUGAGCACAUCAUCGGUGCUUAAGGGUGCUUAAGUUGCUAAUAGAAGCAUCGAUGCUAAGCUUUUUUUCUAUUAAAGAUUUAUUUUUAAUCUAACUUUUUGAUUAAGCACUCUUUAAGCACCUUCCAUUGGAGCUGCUCUUAAAGAGUAACUAGUUAACUUUCUCGCGCCUUGCGCGGAUUGAUAUAAUUUCCAUUUGAUUGUUUGAAAAUGUAAUAGUAGUUUGGAUUUAUUUAUUUUUUUAUUCUUGAGUAUAUUUGUUUGUUAGUUUUUUUUUUGCAUUUUAAUAUUGGAAGGCAUGAUCGUGAAGACAAUAUAGAAUAGAAGAGAGUAAAUAAAAGCAUAGUAAUAUCCAAAUAAUUUAGUUUAAAUAGUUUUGAGAUAUUUUGAUUACUGUUUUAUGUAUUUUAGACGUAAUUUUUUUAAGGUUCGUAUGAACUUAUUCAAUUUUGAUCACUGUUUAAUGUGUUUUAAACAUCAUAAAUACCUUCAUUCCAUUAGUUAGAUAUAUAGAUUUUCUUUCUUUUAAACUUUUUUGUUAGAGUUUUUUUUUUAAUUUCUGUUUUUGUUUUGUUUUGAAACGACAUUCUAUUACUUUUUAAAUAGUUUUCAUUUUUUUUCUUUUAACAUUUUUGUUAGAUUUUUCUAAAUUUUAAAAACAAAAGAAAUGGUAAACACUAAGAAGUAUGGAUUCUAUUUUUUUAUAAAAAAAAAAUUUUUGUUAUUUUUUUUUUAAAUUUCGGUUAUAUAUAAUUUUAAAAACGGUUUCAUUGACCAUGAAAUUAAAAAUUAAACCAUAUUUAGACUUUUUUAAAAGGUUUUUUACACAUCAUCAUAUAAGAACCAAUAAAAAAAUGACACAUAAUUGCAAAAAGGGCUAAACGGUCUGUUUAUAGCCGAAAUUUAUUUAGGAGUUGACACGUAAGCGAAAAGCUGUGAAACUCGCUGUAAAACGUUUUUUUUUUAAUUCUUCUAAAUUUUGGUUUUAUAUAACUUCAAAAACGACACUCUAAAGCUUUUUAAAUAGAUUCAAUUUUUUGUUUCUUUUAACAUUCUAAAUUUUAGAAACAUAAGAAAUGGUAAACACUAAGAGAUAAUUUUUUUUUAGAAAAACAUUUUUUUUAAAAAAAUUUCUAAAUUUCGGUUUUAUCUAAUUUUAAAAACGGUUUAGUUGACUAUAAAAUUAAGCAUUAAACCAUAUUAAUUUAAACCGGUUCGUUUUGAGUUUUUUUUUUUACACAUCAUCAAUUAAAAACCAAUUAAAAAAUGACACAUAAUUGCUUAAUAUGGUUAAACAGUUUUUUUGUAGUCGAAACUCAUUCUAGAUCAGACACGUAAGCGAAAGAUUGUGAAACUUGUUGUGAACGCGACACGUAAGCAAAUCAGUACACAAAUAAGUAUAUAGAUGAUUUGGAUAUAUAUAUAUAUAUAUAUAUAUUUUUUUUUGGGGUUAAAUGGAUAAAAAAAAUUCAACAUUAAUUUGUGAUAUGCGUCAAUGACUAUCUUUAUAAUGUAAAAAAUCUUAAUAGAACAAAUAAACGCUUUCAUUCCCAUUGUAACAUCAAGUGGUUACGCAAAACAUUUGGGUUUGAAUGGUAACACACCGAACAUAAUGGCAAUAGCUUCCAACUUGCGGAGAACUGGUUCUUAAAGACUUUUAAGUUGCUUUCCGGUUGGGUCGUUUUAUCAUUAUUUCUUUUGUUUCUUCGGUUUUAAGAAUGUUAUCAUUGCAUCUUGACAUUGUGAGUUGAAAAACUCAUGGUUUAGUCGAUGGACUGAAUUUCGAGUUGUUUUUUGUUUCCAUGUUUAAUUUUUUUUUUGCCAUGAGACCAAUUUCAUUGGUUAAAGCAUCUAUAAAAUCUAAACCGUUCAUUUUUAAUGAUAUUAACAUCUUAGCCAAAAAAAAUAAAAGCAAUAGUGGCAAUAGAGUUCCUGGAUUUGAAAUGACAACAGUGGUAUUAUCUCAUAUCAUCUUAACUCGAAUUUUUUAGUCCUCUGUUUUUUACUUUCUUUUGUUAUGUUCCUAAAUUUUUUUUUACUAUUCUUCUGUCUUCUUGCUUUAAGAGUGUACAUGGCCAUUAACGCUCUCAUAACUCAUAAGUUAUAAUAGUGACGACCUUUGAUUAUAUCAAUAAUAAAAUUUUCGAGUAAUGUGUAACGGAACAUUGUGAACUUAUAAACCGAUUCAGACUAAGCCCAAUUAAUUGUAUAUAAUAAACAUAAGGUCCAAAAACAUUAUAAUGUAGGUCAUGCGUCUGAUUUCUUUUCUCCCAAAAGGAAGGAGACAAAACCCAUAUGGCUCAAGUGGAGACCAGUAACCAUACACAUUCACUCAUUUUCUUACAAGAAAAGAUAAGAUAAUGGAAUUUUCUGACACGUGGCCUUAUCAUAGUGGUCCGUGACGAUAAGGGUGUCAACACCUUUCCUUAAUCCUGUGGCAGUAAACGACGUUAUCAAGAAUCAUGGACCCUUUGAUCAAUAGGGCUUUUUGCCUCUAGCCGUUCUCACUAUAUAUAUAGAUGAGUAAAGCGAUAGACAAACAAGUAAGUAAGAGAAAAGAGCAAAAGAAGAAGAAGAAGAAGAAAUAGUAAUGGCUUCCUCUAUGCUCUCCUCCGCCGCUGUUGUUACUUCACCGGCUCAAGCCACCAUGGUCGCUCCAUUCACCGGCUUGAAGUCAUCCGCUGCAUUCCCAGUCACCCGCAAGACCAACACCGACAUUACUUCCAUCGCAAGCAACGGAGGAAGAGUUAGCUGCAUGAAGGUAAUUAAAUGUCACUAUAAGUUCAUAUAUAUAUAUAUACGAAAUCGAAGUAAUAUUAAUUGGAAAUGUUAUUUAUAGGUGUGGCCACCAAUUGGAAAGAAGAAGUUUGAGACUCUCUCUUACCUUCCUGACCUUACCGAAGUUGAAUUGGCUAAGGAAGUUGACUACCUUCUCCGCAACAAGUGGAUUCCCUGUGUUGAAUUCGAGUUGGAGGUAAUAAAAAUCGAAAAUCAUAUACAUAAAUAUUUAGAGUAGCUUGACCAUAUGAAUCUUGCAACGAUCUUAAAACUGUUUAGAGGUCCUAUGCAGAAUCUUGAUUUAUAUGUACAUAUUUGAAAUGUUCUUGAAUGGUUUUUGUAAUGUGUUUUGUAGAACGGGUUUGUGCACCGUGAGCACGGAAGCACUCCCGGAUACUACGAUGGACGUUACUGGACAAUGUGGAAGCUUCCUUUGUUCGGAUGCACUGACUCAGCUCAAGUGUUGAAGGAAGUGCAAGAGUGCAAGAAGGAGUACCCCCAGGCCUUCAUUAGGAUCAUCGGAUUCGACAACACCCGUCAAGUCCAGUGCAUCAGUUUCAUCGCCUACAAGCCACCAAGCUUCACCGAUGCUUAAGUCACUUUCUCUUAAAUCAUUCAUAUAAUAUUCUCAUUUGCAUUUCCAAUUGUCUCUGUUUCUUUUUUUCUUGGAUUUCUGUUUCUGAGACAUUUUCUAUCGAUCGGAUUGUCAAAAUGUCUGAUUUAUGAAUAUGUAAUUUAUGUUUCCCUCUUCUCCUUCUUGCUUAUUUUCUGAUGGUUAUUAGUUUUUAAAAAAUUACUGGGAUAAGGAAACAGACAAAAUCACGUCACACAAAGAAAGGUUGGAUAGUGUUAGUGGUAAUUUGUUAUAGGAAUAGGAAAACAUUAUUACCUAAAGAGCUUAGAUUUCAUAUGAAUAAUUAGUUCAUCAAAUAUUCAAAUAAGAAUCAUUGUAUCAUUUUAUUUUUGGAUGUCACAAUCACACAGUAUAAUAUGUACUUGUAGAUUUAUUAUAGAUUUCAAUCAUUUCAUAAAAUAGUCAUCUUUUGAUGUUUCACACUUCUUACGUGGAGUUUAUGAUAUGAUUUAUACCUAUACUCCAAAUUACUGGUAAACUAUCAUUGGAAUAUACGAUACACUAUAUAUACAUAUAUAUCAUAUAUAUAUAUAUUUACUCUAGAUACUAAUGACAUAUGUCAAUAGUUUUAGUAUGAAAAGCUAACUUGAGUUUUUUUUUUUAAAUACUAUUAUAGUAAAAAAAAAUUAUAGAAAGAAUGUAUGUAAAUUCCAGUUCAUACACGGAUUUAAUAUUUCAAAGGAAAGGAUGGUCCACUUGAAAUCUGUGAUAGACACUUUUGUGGACGGUGCAAUACAUAAGAUAGGCUUGUGGAUAAGAGUGAAAAUUCCCUUCUAUAAUUUUCUUAGUGAUCUUUAAUCCAUGCGAAUCAUGCGUGUCAUUCUGCUAUUAGUGUAUAGUAAGUUCAUCGACUUUAUGAAACCGUAAGAAAUCGUCAAUUUAGUUAGUUACGAAAACAUGUUUUUAAUGACUCUUUCAUAAAAUUUUGGAUUUUUAGUAUAAUAAGUUAUUGGUUGCUAGCGAAUGCAUAGAAAUGCACAAUGUACUCAAAAGAUUGGAGAUAAAACAAAAACUCCAAAUUGACUUAGUAAGGCCAAAAAUGAAAUAUAAAAUCAUAUUAACAAAAAAAAGGGGAAAAUAUGGCUCUUUGGUUCUUAUAUAUUAAAUGCAGGCCGAAAAAAUAGAUGAACGUUUAAAGUCUGUAAAUUAAAAUGGAAAUGAAAAAUUGGUUUAUUGUUCUGGAGACGCAAAAAUUUAGUGUAUUAAAAUGGUAAUAGAAAUUUAGUUUUUAUAUCAUUAUGGAGUUUUCUAAGUCCUUUCGCGAUUAUCACUUCCACAUCCGGUUCUUUACUUUUUGCUAGAAUGUCAGUGAACCUAAAAUCUACUGCAUUGAUCAUGCAUUAACCAUUAAAUGACAUCCAAAAACAUAUGCUGAUCUUUUGGCCAUUAAACGAUUAAACGGUAUACUUAUUAAGUUUAUCAAGAAGACAAGAGUGAGCGGCCAUUACACGGCACCCAAUAUAAUGAUGUCUUUACCAAUCACGUACAUCAUGCAUGCCUUGUAAUGAAUACUACUCCCUCUGUUCAGAAUUAUUUGAUGUUUAAAGUUUUUGCACACAGUUUAAGGAUUCAUUUAAUUUUUAUUUUUUCUAUACUAAAAAAUAUAAUUUAUAAUCUAUUUAAGUAUCAUUCAGCCAAUAAAAAGACAUUCUGCAAAAUAUAAAAUGUCAAAAAUUAUAAAAAUUCAAUAAAUUUUGCAUUAAAAAGUGAAAACAUCAAAUAAUUCUGAACAAAAAAACCUUCUAAAACAUCAAAUAAUUCUGAACAGAGGGAGUAUUAUUUAUAACAUGAUCUAACCAUUAGUUAUUUACAGUCCAUUGAUCCUCAUCCCACUAACAUUUCGAAAUAUUAUACGAAGUAAAACUAUAUUUCUGAUUCUGUUAUAUAAUAUGUGUUGUACUUUUUAAGUUCAUGUCUAAUUAUUGUCUGUUUUGGAUUCAAAUGGUAAAAUCCAUAUGAAUAUAUUUUUGAAUUCCUUCCCAAAAUGGGUUUUACUAAUUACUAUUAGACAUAAUUUAUAUAUUAGAUAUUCUUUGUCUAAAUUUCAAAUGUGAGAUCUUAAAUUAAUUGAUUCCCAACAAUCAUUUUCUCAAAAACCAUGGAUCACACAAACCAUUAGCCUCCAACCUCUAGUGAAACCUGGGGCAUCCAUCUUGUACUACCGUAUGCACCAACAAAACUCUUCACAUAAUCUUUACACAACCGUUAGAAAUAUUUUUCACACAAGGAACCGGCACCCCUAAUCGCGAGGUCAUCAUAAAUGUUUUUUCUCCCACAACGAAUAUUCAGCCCACACCCACUUGUCUAAGUCCACAUUUUCCAAAACCUCCAUCUAAAAACCAAUUCUUGGGCUUUUUAAGUCCAUGCCCAAGUAGCAAAUCUCGCAUGGAUAUGUUUUUGUACCCCUUCCCAAAAAGCCUCAUACUAAUUACUGUUGGACAUUGCUUAGAUACCGAAUAAUAUUUGCUUAAAAAUUUUCAAUGUGGGAUUUUGGAUUGAUUCCCAACAAUCAUCCUCUUAAACCAAGGAGCACACAAAACCUUGGCCUCCAACCUCCAUCAAAACCUGGCACCCAUCUUGUACCGCCGUACGCACCAACAUAAUUCUUCUUAUAACUCUUGUGAAACCGUUAGGAAGACUUUCGACAUAAUAACCGACAACCCAUAAUUGCAGAAUCACCUUGAGGGCUCUCCCUCCUACAACAAACAUCUAGUCCACACCCACUUGUCUAGGUCCAUCUUUUCUAAAACCUCGCUUUUAUACUUGUUGUAACAGAUGCAAGAAGAAAACAGUAAAUGUAAAGAUUGUGCACAGAAUCAACGUGGUUCACCAAUGAUGUGUUGGCUACGUCCACGGGCAAAGGAGACUAAUUUUAUGAUGGAGACAUAAAGUUUCAUAAUACAUCAGAAAUUAGGGUAACAUGGUUACUUAUAGCAGAAACCCUAGUUAACCCUAAUCGUAAUUGGGUUCUCUCACUUAGGCUCAUGUAGGAACCUUCAUGCACAAACACCAGCCCAAGUGCACGCAGACUUCUACAUUGCUAACACUGGUUGUAGUCUUCAAUUACACAACAUGUAGAUCUCAACAUCAGCUUCUGGAUGCAGAACGUUACAUUCAACUAUUUGCUCAAACAGAUUGUAAGCUUUAGUGCAGCGUGUAAACCUACACACACAACCUCAAGAUGCAGCAUGUAAGCUUCAACAUACUGCAAGUAUCCUGCAUGCUGCCAGCAUGCUUGAUCGUGCAGCCUGCAUGCAUCUGCAGGCAUCAACACCAGGAAGCUUCUAUGCUUCAGGAUUCAAGACAUAUCAACAAAUCUCCACCUUGACUGGAAUCCUCCAAGAAGCUUCUACGCAUUAGGAUUUAAGGUGUAUCAACAAUACUAAUUUUUGGGUUUUUCAAGCCUAUGUUCAAUUUCCCGUUAGUAUGAUAUUGUCCGCUUUGGGUCCAAGUGUCAAAAUUCGCAUGAGUUUGUUUUUGGGUUUCUUCCUAAAAAGCCUCUUACUGAUUAUUAUUGGACAUGACUUAUAUAUUAGACACUGUUUAAAUUUCAGAUGUGGAAUCUUGGAUUAAUUCCUAACAAUAUGUGGAAACAGAGAAGUAUCCAUGGUGUUCACAGUUCAGAGAUAUUUAACUAUUAUAAUUUCAUGUGUUUCACCCCAAAAACAAAUUGAUAAUGAAUGUAUUGGCUAAUUCCCUUGUAUAUCACUUUAAUUUGUGUCAUCUUACUUUAAAUGUGAGAUUUUCGUAUAUGGAUUGAGUAAUGAUUUUUAUGAUGUGAUCAGAAGUUUUAGACAAGCCAUUGAUGCUUAGGAACCCUGUACCUCUCGUACCAAACAAACCAAUGACGAGGAACCAUGAGCAUAGCUUAUAAAUAGCCACUAACCAGUAUGUGUAGCACCUAAUGGAUGAUGUCAAGAGGAGCCAUACCGUGCCAUCCUUGGCCCAAUUGAUUGUGGACGGAGACGAUAAUUCCCAAAAAAUGGAGCAUACCAAAUCUUGGUAAGUCCAGACCAUUGAACAGGCCCACCAAGAUCAAAUAUCAGAUUAACGUAGCGAGGGCGAAUGUGAUCCUUUGAUGUAUCUAGAUAAUAAAUCAAGUGAAAAUUCCUCAGACUAACGUUUAAGGUUAAUGAAAUGACAAACCUAACCUAACAUAUUGAAGAGCUUACUAGACUAACCUUAUAAAGUUGGUUUAGGUCCAUUUUAUCCAGAUGUUGAAUAUUAUUACGAAAAUGCUAUUAUGAUUUUUUUUUUUAUAAAUUUUUUUUUUUUCGAAAAAACUUUAAUUUCGAAAAAAUUUUUAAAAAAAACUCGAAAUUUUUUUUGACGAAAAAAAAACAUUUUUUUAAAACGAAAAAAGCAAAAAAAAAAAAACAAAACCAAAAACUAAAAAAAAAGAGUUAUAUGAAUAUCUACCUAUAGAUAACUCGAAAUUAGUUUGUCAGAAUGAACACUGCUUUAAGCGUACUGUUUAGAAUAACUAUCCCACAUUACCCCUACUCUGACGUAUCUGGAUAGGGUCUGCGAUAACUGUUAUAACACGUUUAGCAGAUUUAGUUGUCGCAGUGGACCCCUACAUUACUGGCGUUUAUUGUUGCUUUAGGCAGAGAAAUUCUCGGGAAGAGUGGGAACUUUAAAUUUUGAAUGUUAAAUAUUUAAAAUAAUCUGGAAAAUAAAUUUUCAGGUUUGGGUGGAAGACGAGAAAUUUCCUACGCUAGGGUUUGUAAUCUCCAUUCAAUACCCAUAGAUAACGGCGAAAUUGUGAAGAAUUUCAUUCCCACCAAACGAUGGGUAGUUCUGACCACAACGAUGACGAGGAAACGCGAUCAGAAUCCAUGUCCGAAGAGGUAAAUUUCGAACGAUUAGAUGUAGAAUUACAGUUCAUUCGUUUUCGAGGUUUAGGUGAGUGGUUAGGGGAAUUGCAGUCCGAUUAACUCAUGAAUCGUAAUAUCCUGUAUAGAUGGCCGACUCUGGUCUUCCCCAACGGAUCUUCAUCCCUGAAGAAGUCCCCAAGGGAGACUGUGUGAACAUUUACCAGAAGAUGACGGUUAUAUCUGACAUCGAUGCCGCUUUGAGUCAGACAGAGAGGGAUUUUAUGAAGGCAUCUCAGUUUGGAAAACUGUUCGAGUUUGCAAACCAGCCUGCUUGGUCCGGCGCAUUCGGUUUGUUCACCCUCACCAGACUUCUUGACGUGAAGAAAGAAAACGAGAUCUGGCUGGUAUUUGCAGGGAAACCGAUUCGAUUCUGAAUCGGGGAGUUUAAAAUAGUGUCCAGUUUGAAAUGCGGGAAAUACCCAACAAGUCAGAAGAAAAAAAGGAGACUGCAUGUUGUUCCCGAGUACUUCAAGACUCUAUUCGGUGAUGAGAAGGAAGUCCCAGUGGAACGACCAAUCGAGAUAUUGCAGAAGAAAACUAGUUUAGAGACCCGGUUGAGACUGCGAUACGCGUGCCUUGCCAUAGUGGAUGCCUUUCUAAUGCCUUCUGUUCAUUUUUCUCGGUCAAAGGUGAGCAUGGAUCACGCCGAGAUGGUUGAAGACCUUGAUGCAUUUCUGCAGUACCCCUGGGGCCGGUUAUCCUUUGAUGUAAUGAUGAAUUCGAUAAAGGGCAGGAAUUUAGCACAGAUUUUAACAGCUAACAUUACUGUCGGAGGUUUGUUCCCUGCCUUACCAAUGGUUGUUUUAGAGGCCGUCCCUGCCAUUCAAGAAGAUGAUGACUCAUCUGAUGGGGAAGACAGUAGCCCAAGCAGGGGCGGUGCUCGCUUGCGUCCGCAGAAAGUUCAGCUUCAGUUGAAUAAAGCUAGAGUGCUUGACGAAGAUGAAAUGGUACGAAGUAAACCCUCUUAACUUGCUAAAUAUGUUACAAACGGUUUACUAGUUAACUGUUUACAAUUGCGAUAACUCUAUUAUCUUGCUUAUAAUGAACUUGUAUGCUACUAUAUAUUUGUUAGCUAUGAGACUUAAAUUAACCUGUAACAACUACGCUCUAGGUUUAGUAAAUUACUGUAUUCAACUGAAGUUGUCCUCGUUGGAACUGAUACUUAGCAGUACUAAGUUAUCAUUGAUAUAUAUGAGUAAGUUGUUACAUGAUAACAGGAUUUGAUGUGAUAAUCUGGAAAUGUGUUUAGUGUAUCGGAUAAUUAGUUUACCAUGUAACUGUUGGUAAUUGUAGUGUAAGUUAUCAUUGUUGGAUAUGAAAUUCACAAUUAUUCACUAUAUCGGUGUUAGAUUCGAUAUAGUGAUUCGAUCUUAACAAGAGUUGAUGUGCUCACUCUGAGGGAUUAGGCUCCUUUUUUGAUAAGUCGGUUAACCUGUAACAUUGUUUGGUUUAAUACUCAGUUAACAUGUAACAUUGGCCUGUUGCUGUAUUAGUUAUAGUGAUUGUUUAUGAUAAGUUACAAUACGUACGAUAUCAUUUUUAGAUAUGAUAAUAUAGUUGCCUGAUAACAAAAUUUGCAGUGUGUAUUCAGGGUAGCAUGUAACAUUUAACAGUUAGCGGCUAACAUACGUUUAUAAUUAUUGCGUUUGUCAAGGUCGCGGUUAACUCUAUCAUUCGGCCUGAUUUCGAAAUCAGCGACGGCGAGGAGGAUCUAUCCUGGAGCGAAGAUGAACAUGACGAAAGGGUCGACCAUAUGAUUACUCUUAUUAAUCAAGGAUUCGAAUUUAAGUCUGAAAUGUUUGGCCCUGGCAUUGAUCCUGAGUUUUUAGCAGCUCGUACAAGUUCUCGAAGGGGUGUUAAGAAGACAAAGAUUGUUGUUGGGAAGAAAGGUAAAGGGAAGAUGAGAAAGUCUGGUAGAAGUCGAGUCACAAACGUUGCACAUGACACUGACAAAGGAGUUAUGUUUUUUGAGGAGAAGUUGAAGACAAUGGUUUCAAAAAUCGUACAAGAAAAUAACAAGAAGAUAGAACAUAUGUUUGAAGCCAACAAUGUGAAGAUAAUUAAGGGUGUGACCCAGUGGUUUCUUGAUAACGCAGUUAUCGACCGCGAGGUCAAUAUAUGUCCAUCAUUCUCGGGCCUUAGCGCCGGUAAGUCAAGGUCUCGCAAGCAACCCCCUCCGAGCACUGCAAAUAAAUCGGGGGAAUUACCUUCGGUCCAAUCCGGAGCGCACCCUGAUGGUCAGGCCAAACAAAACUGCGACACUUCAUUUCCUAACUUAGACUUCUCCUCCAUGCCGACGGUUGACGAGAUUGUUUCCACAUACGCUCCCAGAGCUGAUGAUGCCACCAACACUGCAAGAGUUGGUAAGGGUACCGUUGACCCCAUAGGGGAAUGCAGUGUCGACGCUGUUGAUGGUGAGCAGGUUAUGACGCAUAACCCAGGCGAUGAUGGUGUCGUUUUGUCAGAAACCCGGCCUGAGAAGGUAGAAUUGUCAUGCCAAUUUAUCGGAAAACAUAGUGGGUGUCUGUAUAACGUAUCCAUAUUAAUGUGUUUGAUAGGACAAUGAUGGCGCCUCUCUCCCUCAAUUCAACCCACAAAAUGACGUGCCGAAGUCGUCAGAUGGUGUGAAUUUGCAGGAGGAGGUAUUUGCUUUAAGUUUUAGCUUUAAAUUUGAUGUUUUUUAUUUGUUCACUAUGCUCUAUUAAUCCGUGAAAAUAAUUACAUAGGAAAACCCUGAACAUGACGAUCCCUUGAAAUCAGGCCCUAAUUAUGUGCUAAUCCCCCCGGUGGGAGAGAACUUUAUUGAUGAGGUACAUGUUCCCGUUAUUACCCUAAAUUAUAGUCUUUAUAACCGUUUAUUAGACGCUAUUCUAGUUAUGUUGCAAUGCGGGAUUUCAAAGAUAAUUGUGAGCAAUUGAUAACCCGGUUACCACGGUAUGUAUAUUUUGGAUCACAAAUCCAACAUAUAGGGGCCAUAACUGUUAUAUAACUUAUAGAACAUGGGUAAUUUGAUUUACACUUAUUUCAAUGUUCGUAUAUUUAUAUUUUUGUCUUUGCUACGACCAUGUAUGUAGGUCGAUGGUGUUGGAGACGUCCAGCCUGAUGAGAUUGUAACCUCUGACAUUCCUGAACCCAAUGCUGUAAUUUCUGCUGGCGAAGAUAUUAUCGAUCCCAAAAAUCUGACUAUAAACUCGGAGGAGCAAGCCAAAGUGGAACAUGUUCAGAGGAGGGUGAGCAAGCGUCAGAGGACUGUAUCGACUCGAUUAGAUAGUCCUUUUCGAUGCGAGAAGCGUAUCAGAACUAUUAUAGAGAAUUCCGAAGCUGUCAAUGAUUCUGAGAAAGCCCUUCAAUAACGGUUUGAUAAAGCUAUGAAAGCAUUUAAGAAGUUAGUUAACUUCUGUUCCUCUAGUUAUAAAGAUUGUACGCUGAAUUGUGUAUUUAAAAAUUUGUUGGCCUCUGGCAUGUGGGGAAGGAAACCUUCUUACAUCGAAGGACCUAAACGAAAUGCUGGGGAGACAGAAACCAAUGCCUGCAAAGGUUUUCACUGAGAUUCUGUAACAAAGGUCUAUUAGCUGCUAACUUUAUUAAAUGCUAACCUAUUGCUUUCGUAUUUGAUUUAACCCAGGUUAUGGAUUCUCUAUGUUUGUUGGGGAGGCAUAUACUCCGCGAAGACAGUCGGCAGCCGAGAGUGGAUAUUUUGGAUUCGAAGUUUGUAUCGAUGUUAACCAAGUUAUACCCGAAGUUUAGCAGGACAGAUCCCCGAGCUGACUUUAAGUUUUCCAAAGCCGUCACCGAGAGACUAAAAGGUGUUGGGGAAGUUGAUCGGUUGCCGCUUUUCUCGGAUGCUGAUAUUCUCUAUCUGCCGUUUAAUCUCGAUAUCAAGCAUUGGGUAUUUCUUGUGGUUCAUCUCUCUACUUGCAAGAUUGAGGUUUUGGACUGUAACGCCAAUCUGCGUACGGAUGCAAGCAUGACUACUGAAAUCCGACCCAUCGCUGAAAUGCUUCCCUGUUUGUUUAUAGAGGUUGCAGAUAACGAAAAGAUGUCUCAGUUGUCUACUACCAAAUAUGAUAUUGAAAGGAUCACUGACGUACCACAGAUAAAGUCAACAAACGAUGAUGGUUUAGUGGCGUACUUCUUAAUGUUAUCUCAUGCCCUUUUCAGCAGAGAGGGUUCUAAGGAGUUCGACCUUACGCACAUUGACUUGGAGGCGAAGAAAGUCGUUACAGUUCUUAUUGAGCAAUACCUAUGAACUUUUAAGGAUUGUUGUUAGUCUUUGGGGACUUCGGUUUUCAUUUUCCUAGAGUUGCGGUGGAUAGACUUCUAUUUACUUUUCGGUUUAGAAACCCGCGUUACGUUGUUGUAUUGUCAGACAAAUUUUAUUUCGUUAUCUGGUUUAUCUUCUAAUUCGGAUUCAAUUUUAUUACGUAUUGGCCAAAAACAUCGUUAAUAGAUAUUUCUAUGGGUUAGAAAUUGCUUUAGGUUUAUUAAGUAAUAACUAAGUCAUCAGUUAAUGAAUACGAAUUACCAAGCAAUUUGUUAUCAACGUUAACGUGUAACCCAAAUAUUAACGGCUAACGUUUGCUUUUAUACGGGAUGACCCAUGUUUGAUUAAUGUUAACAUUUUAUGAUUUAGGGUUUAGGGUUUAGGGUUUAGAAUUUAGGGGUUAGGGUUAGGGUUUCCGCAAUAGGAAAUUGGGUUAAGGGUUUAGGGUUUAGGGUUUGGCUUUAUUUGGGUUCACCAUAUUCGAUAAGGUUUUAAGUUUUUGUUAGUCAGUAAGUAACUGAUUGAAUGCAAAAUAAUAUUUAACUUGGAGUUAGGGUUUACCAUUGAAUCAUUUGGGUUCCCCUAUUUCGAUUAGGUUUUUACUUUAACCGAAACCCGACGCUGAUAUACAUAUUAGGGUGUAAUCAAAUUAUAGGACAUUUCGUGUUAGGGGGUAUCUUUUGGAUUGACGUAUUUUGCUUAGAGUUUUAGUUUUACUUCAAGGGUUUAAAUAUAGACACUAGGGUUUAACCAAGUUAUAGUCAAAUUGGGUUUAGGGUGUAUUUUUGGAACAUUUGGGUUGACCUAUUUCGAUUAGGGUUUUAGUUUUACUCACAGCCGAAAGAGAUCUACACAUUAGAGUGUAACCAAGUUAUCGAAAUAUUGGUGUUAGGGGGUAUAUUUGGAUCAUUUGGGUUGACUAUUUCGAUUAGGGUUUAGUUUAGGGUGACUUAGAUACUCAUAUAACACAUAAACUUAAGUGACAGCCGAAAAAAAUAUACACACUAGGGUGUAUCUAAGUUAUAGUGUAAUUUGGUUUAGGGGGUAUCUUUGGAACAUUUGGGUUGAACAAAUUCGAUUAGGGUUUUAGUGUUACUCACAUUCGAAAGAGAUAUAUACAUUAUAGUGUAACCUAGUUAUACGAUAAGUGGUGUUAGGGGGUAUCUUUGGUUCAUUUGGGUUGACCUAUUUCGAUUAGGGUUUUAGUUAUACUCACAGCCGAAAGAGAUAUACACAUAAGAGUGUAACCAAGUUAUAGGAUAAGUGGUGUUAGGGGGUAUCUUUGGAUCAUUUGGGUUGACCUAUUUCGAUUAAGGUUUAGUUUAAGUGAAAGCCAAGAAGAUAUACAUGUUAGAGUGUAACCAAGGUAUAGUUAGGGUUUAGGUCGCGUAAUAACAGAAAAUAAGUAGUUCAUUAAAAGAUGCUCGGAGUUAGCUGGUACAUACGUUAUCCGCGAUAGUACAUAGUCGUCUUUAAACAUUAUUAAACUCGACGACAAACUACUACACCAUUCAAGACUUAUCAUACAUAUUGAAAUUAAGAGAUAACCCCUAACAUUCUAUUCCUUUGGACAACAAAAUGUGGAUAGAAUGAUAUGCAUCCAGCCGCCAAAAAUAAACCCCUUCCUUAGCACCAUUUUCUGACUAUUCUCCCUGUAUAAAAAGAGUAAAAAUUACAGAGUCACCAUAAUAUGUUAAUUGUUUAGAAGAAGAUGGUUUAUACCGGUAAUGGGGUCUUGCAGGUUGAACGGUUGUGUCUACGUCCUCGGCAUCUUGUGCAUUUUCUUCUGGAAACUCGCUGAGGUUUACAGGUAUAGGAAGUUAUGCGCUAAUCGAGUUACCGAUUACAUACUUCCUACUGAUUUAAAGAGGUAAAGUAUUUUGUACCUUGAAUUCUCCACGAGACAAUAUUCUCUGCUUUCGUGGCUUGCCUGGGGGUCGACGAACCGCUGGAGGUGCAAGUUUUCCUCCACCGACAUCUUCCGGUCGUGGAGCCAAAUGAUCCAUAUCAGGGACUGGCAUUAUAACCUUACCAUAUGCCAACCUGCGAUACUGAGUGGAGUAGUGUAUAUCGACCAAGCUAUCGACACGGACUCCCUCUUUUAUUGCCGCAGCUAUGGCAUGGCAACAUGGUAUGUGUAGAAGUUGGAAUUCCCUGCAACUACAACUCUGUUCCCACAUGGAUACUGCAAAAGCUGUAUCCAUCUCGUCAUGCACCUCGUAUAGUCCAUUUCCUGUAAUGUAAAAUUAGUGUUAGCAGAUAAAGACUACCGUCAACUGUAAAUGUUAACAGGUAAACAAUAUAUCUCAUAUCUUACCUAUUUUCAUGACGAAAUAUCCUGAAGACUUCUGAAAACUUUCAAUCAGCAUCUCUUGAAUCUUGGGAUUCACGACGUCAGUCUCAGUGUUUGCAGAAUCCCUUCUUAUCGCAAACCAAGAUACAAGUGUCGUUCUUAUAGUUUCCAAUAUAGAAAUGAUGGGGUACUCUCUUACCAUUGUCAUGACCUUGUUCAAAGAUUCAGAUAUGUUGCUCGUCAUCACAUUAUAGCGUUCCCCUACGAAAUGCGAUCUCGUCCAAUGCUCAAAACCAAUCCUCUGUAAAUAGUCCGCACACCUCUCGUCGAUCGCUUUAAUUUCCAUAAAUGCCUUCUCGAAAUCGCUAAAACGAUACGCCCUUCCAGCUACAGAAGUAAGAUGACUCAGAUGCUCCGAUUUGAAAUUAGUAACUACAUUUCGUUGUAAGUGAACAAUGCAUGCUCCAUGUGAAGACAUCGGGUACACCUGUUGGAGUCGAGAAAUGGAAACAGUUAGCAAGUUAACCAAUUAUUUAGCGACAUAUUUUGGUUUAUCACUAAUAGAUAUAAAUAUACGGUAACCCUGGAGUUUAGGCGCUAACCUUACGAAUGCUUGCAUAUAUGGAAGCAUGCCGAUCUGAGACGAAGACAAGGUCAUGUUCGUCUGGCACUAUUGCGGUCAGCUUUCUUAGGAACCAUUCCCAAGAGUCGUCGUUUUCACUGUUCACGAUCCCAAAGCCGAGAGGGAAGACUUGGAAGUUACCGUCUUGAGCACUUGCCGCCAUGAGACACCCACCAUAUCGUCCGGUUAAGUGUGUAGCAUCAAAGACAAUAACCUUCCUCAUGUACCUAUAUCCCUGAGCGCACGCAUGUAACGAGUAAAAUAGAUACUUGAAACGGACAACCCCUGAGGCUGAGGUUUCUGUCUCCAAAGCAACAACAGAAUUAGGGUGUGUCGUUAGUAGUUUUUCAAAGUAGGGGGUCACCAACGCAAAGCUUGCUGCAGCACCGCCUAAGGCGUUGUCCAAUGCGAUCUCUCUUGCUCUCCACGCCUUCCAAUAGCUGACGUGCAAGCUGUACUCUUGUCAAAGCAGACGGCGAAGAUCACACGCCCUUGGCCCCUUUAUGUUCAACCCAUAUCUUUCACGAACCAUUUUUCCAAUAACAUCCGUUGAAGCUACUCGGUGGAAAUCACCUCGGGCGUCGACGCUGCAGGUGUGAUUCCUGAUCACAGUUUUGACUUCAAAGCGUAAGCUGUCUUUUAUCUGUGUGGCAUAAAUCCUCCAAGGACAUGUCGGGCCAACGCAACAAACAAUGACGUUCUCAGGUUGUGAAUUGACGGUCUUGAAAUGAAACCUUCGAUUUAUUGCAUGCAGCGCGAGUUUCAACUUGCACUCUUCUUUCGUCUCAAAGAUUCUUCCAACGAAAAUGUCAUCUCCCUCGUACUGUGCAUCACCCAACCCUCUCGCUAUUUCAUCCGCUAACCAGUGUAAACAUUUAACCCAAUUAGCUAGAUAGCAUUUACAAUUCAUGUAAACUUGAAACAGACAUAAAUAUUGUUUACCUCCGAUAAUUGGGUCAUCGAAAUAUGGAGGUGCAUCCCUUUCGUGCAACGCUGGCUCUACUCUUGGUUCAGCGCCAACAGCUGGGGUGUGAAGCAAUAUUGGGGGAUUACCGGACAAUGACACGGGGGGGGGUAGGCAAACUGUGGUGUGUUUGCAGUUAAAGUUUGAUGUGUAGCCGGUAACUGUGAGAUGUUAGAUGCUACAUCGUUUCCUAUUGCUCCUAAUGGAUAAAUGUUAGUCGCUAGCAAAGCUCGACUCGGCCUUGAUGACCCACCAACUUCACGAGAUAGUAUUCCGUCUUCGGUCAUCACUCGUUUCUCUUUAUCGGCACCCGUAUUCUGCACAUCAACAGUCUGUUGCUCCAGAGCCGGUGCUUGAAGCAUUGGAUCUGGUUCCGGGUUGUCGUACAAAUGUGCGAUCAGAUCCUCUCCUGAAAUGGUACAUGACAAUAUAACAAUAUCAGGCAAUGUAGGAAAUAUUUACUACUAAUUUUUGUUUGAAAAUUAUGGCUGUUUUCAUACCUAUGAGUGACAUGCGGAUAUCAACCUCCUCCGCCGACAGAAGCUCUUCCUCAGAGAAUACAUGGCUGCUUGAUGAAGGCGUGGUAGAAGUCGAGGAAGAUGAAGACUCUACAACCGCUAUUGCCGUUUGUGUUGGUAUAACACAGUCUUCAGGUUCAUCAUCGAUGUAUGCACAGCUAAAGUUAGCUGAAGCCCUGGUUCGCGGCAAGCUGUUUGGAUCGUAGAGUUCUUUGGUGGUGCAUCAAUAUCCAUAUCUACAACUUUGUUUGUUACAGUGUUAACAGCAUCGUUAACUAUUUCCUCAGCAGCCCUCCCAAAUGGUCCUGGUGGUCCAUGAAAGAAACGCCAGAGCUCUGAUAGAUCUCGAGGGAGGAUAGUUUCUUGUUCUCGGCAUUCAAGAGUUGCGGCCGUUGAGAGUUCAACCAUAAUAUCUGAAACCAUUCAUAAAAAAAAAAGGAUAUGUAAGUUUCAUAUUACUGAAAGUAGUGUUUUGAUAAAGGGUGGUAAUGCGAUACCUUUUCCUUUUGACGAAGGGUUGGUAUAAGCAGCAAUUGUAGCCGAGCGGGCAACGUGUGUGAUAGUUAUACCUCGCUCACCACUAUUAGGAAAAGAGGUGUAGGAAAAAACUGGCCUCACAGGUGUGUUUACAUUACUUGGAAAACCUGUUCAAUGUUGUAGUAGAAAGACUUUUUAGUGACAAUAUUAUCCAUGAAUGUUAUUUAUUUUCUUCAGAGAUAUAGUGGAAUACCACUUAAAGGUGGUAGAACUGUCCUUGGACUGUCUGUUGGUGAUGAUGUCGAGGAGUAUUGCGCACCAUAAGGAACAAUGGACAUUUCACUUAGUAGUUGGUCCCGUGCGCUUUCUUUUUGCUUUAAUAAAANNNNNNNNNNNNNNNNNNNNNNNNNNNNNNNNNNNNNNNNNNNNNNNNNNNNNNNNNNNNNNNNNNNNNNNNNNNNNNNNNNNNNNNNNNNNNNNNNNNNUAAGUUAGCGUUUAAAUCAAGUGUUUCUGCAUUCAUAUUUCCAGUAAUUUUCGGACUGUCACGGUGAACCCUAACUCUAAGGAACACCUCAUCUAUGUCUGCCUUGAUCGCUAAAAAUAGAGCAGUAUCUUCAUCAUUCAAAAUGAGGAUAGGUGCUGCUUUACGCCAAUCAGGUCCCAGGAUCCAUCUCGGCCAAACGUAUGUCACCUCGACCUUGUCUUCCUCCACCAGUUUCAAACCGAUUUUGAUUACAUUUGUCAUCGAUUAGAAAGACUCUCUCUCGUUCAUUUCGACCGAUGCGUGUAUGCCGAUUUCGUCUGGUUCAUGGAUCCAACUCGCAUCACUUUGUUUUUUCCACACCCCUCGAAUUACGGAGACAUGUAGAGUCAUCGCACCUAAUUAUGUGAACAGAAAAGGUGAUGAUUAGAUAACUGAGAUAUCGAGAUUUGACGAUACUUUUGACAUUAUACAUAACCUGGUUAUAUGUAAGUUCGAAAAAACAGGGAUAACUAAGGAAAAAUACAGAGAAGUUACCAGCUGUAAUCGGAAAUCCAAGACCUUCCACCCUUAUUCAAUGUCCUCCAGAACCUGUUACAGAAGAAAACGAGGUUGCUCUGUAAUAAAUGAAGUAAAGAGUUGUGUUUCACUUUCAUUAACGCCGAUGCUUUAAAUAGAGGUCUAACUAAUAUUAAAAUAAUUGUUAUCGAUUAAACGUCACUAUUAGAGACAUUAGCGGCCAUGCAAUAAUUAGAUAUUGGGAAGAGAAGAAAUCCUUGUGUCAGGCGGCGGAUUUUCUCCAAAUAAACCUGCAGAAUCAGAACAUUAAAUGCUAUGUCGGGUAAGUAUAGCCUCCCAAAAUAUCGCUGGCCUUUUUGAGUAGGGGCAAAUCGGGGAACGAAAAAUUUUGUCCACAAUCUCUUCCCAAUUUAUUUUUAUAGUUACGUACAAACCUAAUUAUCUCCUCAAUUGUUAGUUUAUACCCAAGUCACCCAAAAAAAAAACCCUAAUUCAUCUUCUUCUCUCUCUCUUUCUCCUGCGCCGUUUUUUUUUCUCCCAUGGAGCUGCUCUUCUUCAUAACUUGGCAGCCUCCCUUUUUUCACAGCUUUCUCUUCACAGCUUUCCUUUUGUUUCACAGAUCCACACAGUUCUUGCCUCAAUCGCCGUUCAGAAACUUGUUCAGGUUUGUUUUUUUUCUUAUAUAUCCUCAUUUUUCUUAUUUUUUCUUCUUUCUUCUUCGUCUUCCUCUUUCCCUUCAUCUUCUACUUUCUGUUUGGCGGAGGAGGAGUUUUACUGUUGGUGUUAGAGAUUUCGGAAAUAUUGGCACGACUCUUAAGCGGCGUUCUCGCCGCAUCGCGCACAACCGCACUGGACAGAUGUUGUUUCGAAGAAAUGGUGGUGUCACGGAGGUUGACGGCGGUGUAAGUUUUUUUCUGUAAAACCCGCAACCCUAAUUUUUUUUGUUUCAGGUAAGUUUGGUAGAUAUAUUUGGAAAACGAUAAGUAGUUUGGUAGAUUUAUUGUAUUUUUUUGUUGUAAAGUUCAUAAUAUGUGAAAAUUAGUUUUUUUUAACAAAGGCAAAAAGAGUGUUUUGGGUAUGCUAGGUUAGUUUUGUAAAAAAAAUAAAAGUGCGCAAAACAAAUAAUAUAGAUACUUUCUAAAGUUAGUGUAGUAAUCCUUCCAUAAAUCAAUGGUCAAGUAUCCUUCUUUUUUUUUUUUGAACAUCAGUCGAGUAUUCUUCAAGAAAGCUCCAACACGUCUUGCCUCAUAUCAAUAUGGCACCAACGGCUAGUUUAUGUGUCCCAAAUCCAAGAAUCUCUAUGUAAAUUCUUGGAUCUCAUUCUUUUAUUCAAAAAUUUAAUAAUUUCAAAGAAAUUUAAAAAAUCAUCUAUUUUCUGCUUGUAGUUUUGUUUGGAUUUAGCACAUAGUACUUAGUGUGGAUUCCCAUUGCCUUUAUCACAGAUCAUUUUCAAAACUUCAAUCCAUAUCCAUCUUCUGUAUCAUUUUUUGUAUGGAUAAUCCUUGAAAGACCUUUUGGGUUAAAGAUUUCUUCUAACUUGGUCUAUCCCGUGAAUCCAUCGCUACCUUGUGUUUACAUCACUUUAUAUAUAAUAAUUAAGUCUCAUCUUCUUUCAAAUGUUUGAUUCCUUAGUCAUAUAUAAUGGUUUGUGCUGGUUUAUCAACAAUUUAUGAUGAAAUCACACAAAAAAAAAAAUUAUGAUGAAAUCGUUUGUGUUCUAUUAAUAUCUUUUUAAAACUCAAAUUGUUUUUCUUUCUUUUUGUGUAUGGAAUAUGAUAUAUUCUCUCAGUAGAAUCAAAGUUAUGGUAAGAUGAAUGUUUAAUUACUGAAUUCGACCGAGAUACAAAGAUUUCAUUUGAAGCUUUGUAAACACUAAGAACAAAAAUGAAAAAAAAAAGCACUCUAUGCGAACAAGGAUAUGCAAAAAAUGAAAUUCAAUCCUUUAAGAAGAUACUAUGAUCUAGCUAGGUCGAUAUCUCAGUGCACCAACCUAAAAUAGAUUGUGAGAAAAACCCUUUCAUUACAAGUCUUAGUUAAACCAACUCUCACCACUCAUGACCGCGUCAUAACGCCACCACCAUCCCCACCCGAACGCAAACGCGAACCACGUCCACUCCUCUUCAUAAGUUAACGUUUGCGGCCAAUCCUCGACCAACCCUGAAAAGGGCAUUUCCGUCUUUUCCUCCAAAUUCUUCACCGCAACAUCAUCCUUCUUCUCCACUUUUUCCUUUUCAAGAACCCUAGCAACAACACUUUUUGGAUCAUCUAGCUUCUCUUCGUUCUUUCUCAUCGACUUCAUGAUCAUCAUCGGUUUCUUAUGUUUAGGAAGAUAUUUCAUGCUCUCUUUGUGAACGUUCAUUCGAGCUUUCGCGGUCAUUCUCGCGUGUUUUGAAUGAUCCUUUCGAGUUUCCUCUCCUUUUCUUGAUUUAUUUCUCUCUUUGCCUUCAUACACCGAGCUUACUCGAGCUUUCUUCAUAGAAUCCACGUGCAUUCAUCACAUUUUAACACUAGUGUUUUAUACUUUAGAUAACUAAGGUAAUACUCAAAAGUUAUUUCCGUUUAUAAAACGCGUAGUCAGCAUCGAUAGAUUACUUGUUGUGCGUACACGUAUGAGUCUUCAACGACUUUGCUUUUUUUUUUUUCAAAAGAGCUCAAAAACUAUAAUGGUGAGAGCAAUGAAUCGAACACAAAAAAUAGAGAGAAAUUAAAAGCAUUAAAGAAUCGAGCACAAAUUUUCAACAGAAGAAAAAGAAUCGAACACAAAAAAAGGAAACAAGGAAAGAUAAUAAUUAAAGCUAUUAGAUGGAAAAGGGGAUAAACGUGAAGUUUUGGUUAUAUAACGAAAGUUGGUCAUUAAGAGAAAAUCAAGCAUUAAUUAAUGGUGCUCGAGCGUUUCUAUUGUGUAAUUAAAUGUAUCUCGUGUGCUUCUUUAGUUCUUUUGGGUAUGUGACUAUGUGUACACCCAUGCAUUCCAUAAUGUGGGGCCUACAUUUAACAACGUAAUACUUUUGUUUGACUUUUUUUUCAUGAGAACUUAAGAAUGGUUUCAUUAUCACAAAAUGUUUAUAUGUUUAAUUUAAGAAUGAUUCGCAAGAAUAAUACUCUUUACAAAAAGAAUUUGACAUCUAUCAUCAAAAAUAGUCAACUGAGAAAAUAACAGUAGUCCAAAGGUGGAAAAUAUCGAGAAAAUCCUUGUACAUGAGUCUGCAAAAACUGCAUCUCUUUCUUCUAUCACUAAAGGACAAAACAAAUAUCUAUCUUUUAACAAAACAGAUGACUAUUAUGACAACUAAAACAAAUGACUAUUUUUUUAAUCUUUGUUAACAAAUUAAAUAAUUACAACGACAAUGUAGAUGUUCAAGUAAAUUUUGUUUUGAAGAAUUAAAGCAUCAUAGUUAUAGUCGUCUAAAUGUGGAUAACUAAAUAUAUACACAUAAGAAAAUUUGAUUUUCAUAGUUAUGUUAAUGUAAGUGUUCGAAUAGAUGACUAAUGACGAAAUAGUAACCUCAAUGUAGACGACUAAUUCAUUACCAAAUCACUCACAAUAAAAACACAAGAGAAAAUUUUGAAAUACUAAAAUACCAUAGUUAUGUAGGUACUCAAAUAGGUGACUACUGACAAAAUAAUCGUGUAAAUGUAGAGGAUUAUAAAUAUAUACACAUAAGAAAGAAAAUUUUUGAAGCACUAAAGCAUCAUAGUUAUGUUAAUGUAGGUGCACGAGUAGAUGACCACUGAAGAAAUAGUUGUCUAAAUGUAGAUGAUUAUAAAUGUAUACACAAAAAAAAUCAUAGUUAUGUUAACGUAGGUACUCAAGUAGAUCAGUACUAACGAAAUAGACGUCUAAAUGUAGACGACUAACUCAUCACCAUAUCACUCAUAAUAAAUACAUAAGAAAGUAACCUGAAGCAUUAAAGCACUAAAGUUAUGUAGGUACUUGAGUAGGUAACUACCUACGAAAUAGUCAUGUAAAUGUAGACGACUAUAAAUGUAUACACAUAAGGAAGAAAUUUUUUGAAGCAAUAAAGCAUCAUAGUUAUGAUAAUGUAGGUGUUCAAGAAGAUGAUUACUGACGAAAUAGUCGUCUAAAUAUAGAUGAGUAAUUCAUCAUCAAAUCAAUAAACACAUAGAAAAAUAUUUAAAGCAUUAAAAUAUCAUAGUUAUGUAUGUUUUUGAGAAGGUGACUACUGACAAAAUAAUCGUAUAAAUGUAGACAACUUAUUCAUUAUCAAAAUCAUUAACAUUAAGUUUUUCUAGAAAAAAAAAAGAAAAUAAAGAAGAGCAAUAAAGUUUUUUUUUAAAAGAGAAAAUGUGGAGAGAGAAGAGAGAAAUUGAAUGUGUAAAUAAAAAAAAACAGAGAAAAAAUAAUUGAUAGUCCCAGCUAGUAAAAAGGUUUUGGGUAAUUUUUUAAGUAAUAAACUGAAUAUUAUAAUACAGUAAAACCUCUAUAAAUUAAUAAUGUCGGGACCUAAAUAUUUUAUUAAUUUAUCGUGAUAUUAAUUUAUUUAUAAAUUAAUAAUUAUUAAUUUAUAAAAACAAAUUUGCUUUCUGCUUAUAAUUUUCUAAAAAUUUAUUUGGAAUAAUGUUAUAUUUUAAAAUUUUAACAAAUUUUGUAAUGUAAAUUAUGUUUAACAAUCAUAACUAUCGCAAUAAAAUAGUUUUUAAUAUCAUAUUGGAUUAUCCAUGUAAAAAUAUAAAUGUUCAUAAGUUUAAAAUUUAUAAAAAGACUAUGGCUACUAUCCGUAUUAUUGAUGAUAAAAUUGAAGAUUACACUACAAUAUAUUUAAAAACAUUUACAGAUAAAAAAAUCAAUUAUCACAUUAAAAAUUAUCAUAAAUUUUGAAUGUUUAUCGUAAAACAUCAAUAGAAACUACUGAUAUAAUAACUAAAGAAAUAAGAUCCAUUGAGAUUUCAACUUUAAGUAAAAAAACAAACACAUUAGUCAUAUUUUAGAAUACUAUAUUUACAAAUAUUUGUAUAAAUGUAUAGAAUUAUUAAUUUAUGUUUUUGUUGGGACCAUAUAUUUACAUAGGGAUUUCAAAAAAAAUUAUUAUCUUAUUAUCUUAUCGAAUUUGAUGGAUUUUUACAUUGGUCCGACUUGGGACCAGUAAAAUUUAUUAAUUUAUAGUGAUUAUUAAUUUAUCGAGUAUUAAUUUAUAGAGAUUUUACUGUAGUACUAAUUUGAGCUCUGAAUCAUGUUUUCCAUCUAAUUUCUCUUAAUUUAAAACACUGAGGAUAACUUCUGGCCUAUUCUCAAUGCAGUUUAUCAAGAUAUACAUCUUCUCUCCCGAAUCGACGAUCAUAAGGUAACGUUUUCUCCACAUGCAAGUAAUGGAGUGGCGGACAGAUAGCUAAGGAGACUUUUUCAUUUAUGAAUAAUGUCCCUAAAUUAUAUUCUAUUUUGCCAAAUUGGAUCAUUCCCUUUGUCUUUGUUGAGGAAGAUAAGAACGCUUUGUAACUAAGAUUUGGGUAAUAUGAUUUGUUGAGCCAAAAAAAAAUACACAGAGAAUUAAUGCAAAAAUAUCCUAGACCAUUAGUUAUCUCUUAACAAAACAGAGGAUUACGUUUCGAAAAAAAUAAAAGUAGAGAAAUUAUAGCUACAAGGGUCUCUAUGAGUAUGAUAAGUACCUAACCUUGGCUGCACUAUCCUUACAUUUCCGAGCCAGCUGCUCGUUAUUGAAGUUCGACAUGGUUCCAAAGGACAAGUAAAUCACUGAAUCACAUUUCUUGGAAUCGAGCGAAGGUAUUAUCAUAUUAUUAUUCCAAUUUUUGUAAUUUCUGAUUUAAAUUAGGUCAAAAAGUCUUUUUACAUAUAAGAGAAGUGUACUUUUCAAAAAACAUUAAAACAAUGUAAUUUUCAAAUGAUUAAGCGUUGCAGGGGUCUUUGUUCCACGAGUUUGAGGUCUACUAACAAGAUCUCAUUUACACUCACAAGGAAUAUAAGCUCUUCUUCGGCUGGGGCAAACCGAAAACACUUAAAAAGAUAGGAAUAGACAAAGAUUGGAAUAGCCAUCUUAGAAUAGAAAUGGCUAGUAAGUUGAGUGUUGAAAAAGUUAUGUAUGUUGAAUAAGUUAAGUUUGAUAACUAAAUUAAAAUAAUAACCAUGAAUAGGUUCAUCAAGGUGUAUCUAUGUCUACUCCAAACCAAAAAAAUCUAGAUGCUUCUCCAAGAAAAAAAAAAUGAAAGAUGGAAGGUACAAAGAUUGAGAAAAAGGGUAAAAAAAAACAGAUCAAGAAAGAUUUACAUCGUCAAAGACAAGAACAUUUCAAUAGUAGUACGACGUCGUUAGUAUGGUGAAAAUAUUGUCAGCUUUUGGCUAUAUUGGAAGAAUAGGAGAAGUAUCAAAGUCAUUACCAAGGAUUCCAUUUGAUGGAUCUUCUGAUUUCAGCGAAGAGUCUUUUUUGCUGCGUUCUAGAGAUGUUGCCUCGAAUAUUCCAAACCCUAAUACUAAGCAACAGACAAUGAAACCUGGAAGAGAAAAAUCCAUCUCGUAUGCAAUCUCCAUGACUAUUAUGCAUGCACCUGCGACCAUUAAAUGCUUUGGGGAAGAAAACACCAUAUGCAACCUGCCAAAACAAACAUAUACAUACAAAUGUAUAUAAAAUAUUUGUUGCUUUUUGUACAUGCAAUGUAAAGAUUGAAAUAAAAGGGUAAAGUUUUAGGAAACCUCUCUUCUGCAAUGUUGUCGACAUAGAAUAUUAGGAUGAUCCCGAAAACAAUGGUGCUAAGGAAAGCCCACGCAGAAAAUGGCAACUCAGAUGUUUUCCCAGAAGAUGACCCCUGAAGUAUAAUUUGAUGUUAGUGAACCAAACUGGCCUUGAAUAAUCAAGAAAAACGCCAUCUUCGAUACAUUAUAUGUUCGCUUACUAUGAUAAGGUCCCACAUGGCAACAGGAAACAAGAAACAGGUUGCAGAAGUAAUGGUUAUCGCAUGAAGUCGUUUCUUCUGCUGGUUCUGUAAAAGAGGAGAAUUUUUUGCUUGAAUAUGAUGAAGCAGUUAUGAGAGAAGAGAGAGAACUAGCGGAAUCGAGGAAAUCAGAGAGCAGUACCUUUAGAGAAACACGGCGUGCAAUAACUCGCCUUAAUGCUGAUAAGAUUCCAGCAAAAACGGGUAUCAUCAUUCCCAUCAGACCUAGUGCUUGUUCUGUUAGUACUUCUUCCUCUUUAAUUUCAGUACUAUCUUUUGAUGGUUCUUUGUUGUUAAGGUAAACAAACCAACACGUACGCUAUCCAUAGAUAGUUAAAAUGAAACAAGAUAAAGAGAGCGAGAGAAAAAAAAAACAUGUAGACAAAAGAGAAGAACUUGUGUGAAAGGAUAUAAAAAGGGGAAAGAGUUGAUGUCGCCCAUCCUUGAGACAAGAAAAAAAGAGCUACCAGCAUUGCGAUAAGGCCACCUACCUGACAUGAUUUGGAAAUAUGAGAGGAAUAUUGUCGUAGGCUUCGAAUAAUCAUCCUUAUUGAUAUGUUAACAAUAUUGAUCUUUCAUAUUCAACUCAACUCAUAUUAUUGAUUAUAAUGCAAGCAAAUAUAAGUACAUAGAUAAGCCAGGAGAAACAUCAUAAAAAGCUAAAAAAUAUUGCACAAGUUAAACCUCUAGAUAGUUUGUCUGCGAGACUAGUGAGCUUAUGCAUGCCGAGGGUAUAGACAACCUAGCACUACAGGUAAACAGCAAACCCUAUGUAAACCGUGCUAGACAACUUUUGAAUUACAAAUAAUUCAGAUGAUUACCUUCUUCCACACAUGGCCUCUCCGUCCAUAUAAUACUCCAGAAAGUACUCCAAGAACAGCACCAGAGUACUCUGACAAGAUUGCUCUGCCAAUAAUAUACAAAGAGAAUAAGCAAGUAAAACCGAAUUGCAGAAAGAAUUGUAAGUCCACAAUUUCCAUGAGCAUUGAACCAAACUGCCAAACUGGGACCAUCUUGCUCAGAGGUAAACUUUUAACUACCCUAACUUGCAGAAGCCAAAAUCUAGGGUAGAUCCUAAGAAAGUAAGACAGAUAAGAACAGAGGAGAAUUUAUGGUAGUAUGAAUGCUUAAGAACUAAUAAAUAAUACCUAAGCGGUCCACAAGACUUAAGACCCUUUCCCCACAAGAUGAAGUAUAGAGCUGUGAUGACUCCAUUGAUAAGAGAAGGUACAAUCUGAAUGAUAAAAGCCGCCUCAUAAAUUAGUAGCUAAAACAGAAAAGGAAUAAUUUAGUCCAAAAAUUUCCGUUUAUACGUAUCAGAUUGGAUAUAACAAAGAGAACCUGUUGAUUGGAAAGUGCCCUUCCUUUCCAUGGUUUCUGAAGAAUCAAGAAGAUGAUGGAUGACGGCACCAAACAGCAGAAUAGAAAGAGAACAACAGGCGCUCCUGUCUGAUUCAAGUACCGGUACAUAGAAUAAACUGACCAUAUCCUAAAAAAGUUCCCGAUGAGAUGGAUUAUCUGGAAAGGGGUAUGCCUGCAAACAAAGAGGGAAAAAACACAUUACUACAAAAACUAAAAUUCGAUUCCAGAUUACAAGAAAGCACUCAGUUCUUAGCCAAUGGCCAAACAAGGGCAGACGAAUGAAAACUACAAGAAUGCUCAAAGUUAUCCUUUCGAACAAUCAAACGAGUUCCCACAACAGAACUCCAAACCCUUAGGAUUAAUGAAUCUAGAUAGAUCAAAGAAAAAAGUAGAACUUUCUGUAACUAACUACUCGCAAUGACCAUAACAUCCCAAAUCAGAGACUAAUUAAAUUGCAAUCUUGAACUUCUAUUCACUAGAUUCCAUUGCAUUGAAUCAAAACACAGUGAACUAAGCUAGGGGAUAUAAAGACUAAAAUCAGUGCUUUAACCUGAUUAUAUUGCUGCAUUAACUUCAAUUAAAUCGAGGAAUUGUGAUUUCCAAUUCAGAGUGAUGAUAAAACAAAGAAAAUAAAUCCAAGCUACAUUACACAUUUCAUCCCAAUCUGAAUCAAUCUAAAAGCUACUAGCAAAAUGGCCAUCACAUACCAAAUCAGAAACUAAUUAACUCGCAAUCUUCAAAUUUUCAACAUACGAACCUUCUGUAAUACGAAAAGAAACAGUUUCUUCUUAUGGUUCUCUAUUCACUAGAUGCCAUAGAACUGAAUCGAAGAUAUAGUGAGCUAAAAGCUUAAGGUAGCGAGUUUGAGGACUCAAAUCAAUGCUUCAACCAAAUUUUGUUUCUGUAUCAACUUCAGGAUAAUCGAGUAAAUGAGAUUUCCAAUUCAGAAGUAACAUUUCAGUGCAAUUUGAAACAAUUCCAUUGCAGCAAGUCGAAACUUCGUUUCGAAAUUUUCAUUUCUACACAAUCAAAUUAGCAAAGAAGAAAGCACACCCGAGAAACAGAGAAAUCAAAUCGAAACUUUAGAUAUGAAGCUACCUGAAAUGUGGAGAUCCUCGAUCGUCGGAGAUUUGCUUCGGGGACAUCAUUAGCCUAGCUUCCGAAAAUUACGGGGUGCUUAAAUCCAGUAGAAAUUAUAAAAUACUGUUAAAUCCAAUAUCCUCCCACUACGAACUCGAGCUCAGAAUCUAAAGACGAUGUAACUGAAGAAGACGAAAUCGCGUCUAACUUGUGAUCGAAGAAGAAUCGUCGUCUUCUUCGUCGAGGAACCCAAGGUCCCGAAGCUGAAGUCGCGAGAUCAAGAGAAACAGAAUUUGAUAUUGGGCCUUCGUUUCGUAAAGCCCAUUCAAAAGCAGCCGGAUUCUAAAGCAAACCUUUGAUUUUGAAACCGAUCUAGAGAUCCGGUUUAGUUUCGAUUUGGGUUCUGUUUUUUGGUUUUCAAUUUUAAUUUUAUCAACCGAAACCAAAUAAAAUUUUUAGCUUUGGUUUGAUUUGAGUUUGAUAUAGUUUACAUUUAGCUUGAAAGUGUAUAAUAAUAACAAGGCAUCCUCUUUUGAAAAUAGUUCUAACCAAUGUCUAGUCAAACCACAUAUCCAGUGUCGUGCCUAGAUUUAUAGAGGCCUAAGACAAACUUUAUAUUUUUGUAUUUUUUUUUAGUUUAAACUUUUUUUAAUAAUUUUAUGUAUCAUUAUAAGCUAAAUUCUAUUUUAAAGUAAGAAUUUAGUCAUUUAUUCCAUUUAUUCCAUUUUAUGUAUGUAUUGAUAUAAUAAUAUAAGUAUAUAAAUGUAAGUGUAUGAUAUUUUGUUUAAAAUCCUAAAAUUUAAUCAUACAAUCUACUUAUCUUAUAUAUAAAAGACGAAGAACUCUCUCUAGGAGAGUGACACGUCAUCACCUUUGGAGACGACACGUGUCCAACCCAAUAAUUAAAAGCAUGUGUCUUCUGUGAAGUUUUUAUGACUUUUUACCUUUUCUCUUCUUGGUAUAAUAUUACGUUUAAUAUAAUCUCAGUUCAUAAAGAUAAUUAAAACACGCAGAAAAACGCUCACCUUUCUUCACAUUCUCUCUUCUUCACUUAUCUCAUUAAUUCUGCGCCAAAAAUAAAAUUGUGAAGAUCAAUCAUUGUUCAACUGAUUAGUGAAUCAUCAUCGUCUCGGGGAGCUUUCUCCAAGUAGAACCCUAAAUCAAUUCUCCAGAUUUCAGUGCAUUAUGUGAGAUAAGUGCGUCGAGGGAGACCUAGGUUUUUUCUGGGCUUAUCAUCGCCAACGAGGCGAGGUUUAAAUUAGGAGGUGGUUGGCUUUUUCACUGGAAUUUGAUAUUUUAAGAUCUACAUAAUUCAACCCAUGUAUUUGAUUUUAUCUAAUAUUCAUAUAUGGUGUUGCUAUUGCUUAUGCCUGAUUUCAUUUUACACCUUUUCAAUUUCUUUUCAGGGUUGAAGGUGGCAUUCCACCACUUGUUGAACUUUUAGAUUUUUUGGAUUUUAAAGUACACAGAGGGAUGCUGCAGGGGGCUUGCGAACGGUUUCAUUUAGAAAUGAUGAGAACAAAAUUCAAGUAUGUUUUGUUUUGUGAAGGCUUAUAAGGGACAUAUUUCUUACGUAAUAAGAAACUAUGUAGAUUCCGGAGUUGAAGGCUUUGUUCAUGCUUUUAUUGAUGCUUUAGUAGGAAGAUUCUUAUGUGCAUGGUGAAGCAGUUGGUUCUUUAUCUUACUUUAUAUUGUUGGCAAUUGGUUUGCUUUAUUAAGUUCCUUCUAAUCUACUAUGGACUUUUCAGAUUGGGGCAAGAGAGGUUAUCCGUGCAGGUGCCUUAAAACCAGUAAUUAGUCUACUGAGUUAUGCUUAUUUGUCUCCCACUCUACUUCUGCUGAAACAGUUGUCUACUCUUGAAAAUAUAAAAUAUGUUUUGUAACCGUUUGCUAUGAUAUCUGCUACAGCUCCAAUUGUUUGGAAACACAUAGAGAAGCAUCAUUAUUAAUAGGUCAAUUUGUUGCACAUGUUUCAGAUUGCAAGGUAUGAAGCGUGUCUCUUUCUUGACAUGUUGUACUAUACUCUUAACAUAUGUUAACUCAAACUGAUCAGGUUCUUUUGAUAACAUAAAUAGAUGAUGGAUUCAAACCAGAGAGAACAUAUUCAACAUAUCUGGCAACAUAAUCAGGCAGGUGCACAACUGCACAUUGCCCAAAGAGGUGCCAUCACACCACUGAUUAAGAUGCUUGAGUCGUGGAAAUGUCAGCUUCUGCUCUUGGUCAUUUGGCUCUCUGUAAUUUUUUAAAAAUUUUACCAUAACUUUCCUUGAUUUGUCUUCACAUGUUUUGUAUGUUUUUUAUUUACAGAUGUAUCAGUGAUGUUAAGUAUCAGCAAAGCUAACGCUUGCCUAAGAGAAGACAAAAUCAAAUGAGUGUUCCCUCUAUUGAUGCAUAAGAUUAAACUCAGAGGGUUGAGAAUGGAUACUCGAGUGAGAAAUGAAAUGGUGAGGAAGGGAGUGAGAGUUUUGACUUCCAUGAGUAAUCAAAGCUUUUUGCAUAUUCAAUUCUGGAAUUUACUAACUUUUACCCAUAGGGUAUUCAUGCAAAUAAUAUAUAAUUUGGUGUUGAAUAAGACUUCUCCUCACCUGGUGCAUUACUGAUGAUAACAAUAAAGGUACUCCACGUUAACUUAGAUAAAUGAACGACGAGGAAUGGAACAUAAGAACCAUAGAAUUCAGAUGUUGCUAUGUUUUCUUCCAUUUAAACUUAACGCCUACCAAGUAGAACCAACAGUUUAAUAGAAAAUAAUUUAGUUAUUAUCUCCCAAGAAAAAAAGAGUUUAGUUUCUUUAAUUAAAAAUAAGAAGCACAAAAUGGAGGUCAAAACAAAAAAAAAAGAUUACUUAAAAGGAUUUUAAGUUUAGAGAUUAUAAAAACAUAUCAAACUAACACAAAAUUUCUCAGGGAAGAAACAAUUUAAUCGAGAGAUAUGGUUUGCUUCCUAUGUUUUGUUUCUUUGCUCUACAUUCCUGAAACGACAAGUAUCUAUACAGGAGAAUUAUAUUACACCAAAAACAACAGACAAACUAUUUAUCAGAAAGAGAGUUGUAAAGCCAAGAAAAUUUUAGCCGAUCAAAGAAAUAAAAAAUAAAAUAAAGUAAUAGAAGAGACGAUUUGGAGAGUAUUUGAAUGAAUCUGAAAUUAUAUAUUUUACCAAGACAACAAUUGAUUUGGGUUUAGGUUCUUAAAAACACCACUUAUACGAAAUGUUGUCAUUCAAAUUCAAAUUUAUUUAAAAUUCAUAGACUAUUAAAAACUUACUCAGUUAAAUCAACAAAUAUACAAUAAAUCAAUUUGAGAUAACAUUUUUAUAUUAUAAAAGUAUAAAAGAAUACAACCUACUUGCAAUCAAAUAAGAACAAAACAAAGAAUAAAAGAGACCAACUCAAAAACCAAAUAUCAUAAAAUUAUUUAUAAUACAUCAUUUUAUACACUAUUAAACUAAUACUAAGUUAAAUCAUCAAGAAUACGAUAAACCAGUUCAAGAUAACAAUUUUAUUUUAUAAAUUAUAAGAGAAUACAACCUACUUGCAAUCAAAUAAGAACAAAAACAAAGAAUAAAAGAGCCGAACUCAAAAACCAAAUAUCAAGAAAUCUAAAAUUAUAUAUAACACAACAUUACAUAGACGAUUCGACCAAAAAUCAUAGUACUUAUAAAAAUAUCAUAAUUGCAAAUAAUAUCUCAUUUAAAGAUAAUGCUACAAAAUAAAUUGUAAAAUGACUAAAAAAAUAAAUAAAAACUUAUAAAAAAUAACGUAAACUACCUGCGCUUUGCGCGGGUAUUCAUCUAGUAAUGGUUAAAAUCACAUAUAAAAGUUAAUUCAACCUACUAAUUAAACUACUUGUUACAAAGAUGUGGCCCAUAAUUUUUGAAAUUUUAUUAGUGGCCUAAGGCAAAUGCCUUUUGUGAAUAAGGGAAGGCACAUCUCUGAUCAAAGCCAAUUUCAUAUGUAAACUUCAAAGUGGAACUCCUCUCAUCUCAUCUGGUGACAAUACUUCAAACUGCAAGUAUGAGUGCUGGAAUAAAUCAUCUCUAGUGACACUGAUGUCGAAUGAUGUGUGAUGUCGCAGAGAUAGUUAAAUCAAACUUGGCCACUAUAACAUGAACCACAUGACUUCUUCUCCAAAAUGUCUAUACUGAAGUUGAUGAUUUGACUAAGAAGGUUCUUAUGUUUUUGGGAAAACUUACUUCUAACUUCCAAACUAACUCUUAAGAAAAUUUCAGCAAACUCAUGGAUUAUUUGGGCAAAAUUAGUUCAAUAUAUCGAAUAUUCUUCACGAUAUUUCAGAGUCUUCAUUUUCUUUUGCAAUGACUCCAACACAAAAAUCAACGAAAAACUUAUUUUGCAUUGUAUAUUUAGAUUAUUUUCAUAAUAAUUCCAUCAUUUAUAUGAAAUUAAUCCAUAAUUCUAUAAUUGAUAAUUUGAUUAAGAAAGUUCUUAUGUUUUUGGGAGUACUUACCCCUUACAUCCGAACUAAUUCUUAAGAGAAUUUCACCAAGCACAUGGAAGACUUGGGCGAAAUUAGAUCAUAAUCUUAAACAUUCUUUACAAUACUUCAGGGUCUUCAUUUUCUUUUGUGAUGGUUCCAACACAAAAAAAAACAACGAAAGUUUUGUUUUGCAUGAUAUAUUUAAAUUAAUUUGAUAAUAAUUUCAUAUUUUAAAUGAAAAUUUAAGAAUUAAUUUAACCUACAUGAUAACGAGGAUUUAGUUUUUUUUUUUAAAUGAACAUAUCUUAUUAUAUAAUUAUAAAAUUUUAAAUAAAAUUAGUUCUAAAUAUAACUAUAAAUUAAUUAAAAAUUUGUUAAAAUCUGAUCGUUUAUCUUGACAUGUGUUAUGAUUUUGAGAAUUGUUAACUUUGAAUCAUUCUCCUUUAUAUAAUAAAAAAAAAAUUAAUGCUGAAAACUAAGUAAUACGAUCAUAUCUAUUUUUGAAUUUCUUAAGAAAAAAAUGUACGACUAUUUAUAUCUGUUAACACCCAAUAUCAGAUCAUUUCGGUUUAUUUUGUUAUUGAUCAGGUAUAAAUAUUUUGGUUUGUUUCGGUUCGGUUCGAUCUUUUAGAGUAGUGGUUUUUUUCAUCUUGCAAUUAUCCGAAAAAGGCGAGGGUAAAACAGUAAACGACAAAAGAAGUUCGGUGAGGAUAGUUCUUGUCUUCUUGAGAGCUCUCUCCGGAGAAGCUCGACCUUCACGCGAAUGGCUUCGUCUUCUCUUGUCUCAUUGCCAUGCCUUUCCUCACUGAAAAUGACAUUCAAGCCCAUGGCAGUUAACAGCAAUUCUUCUAGAACGUCGGUUCCGUACGAGCUGAAGAAGGGCCAAAACCGUCUUUUCCACAAGCUUCCUUCUGGUCUGAAAAUGGAGGUAAUCGAGCAAAGGAAAGAUGAAGACGAAAGACAAAGAAAUAGCGAAAAAGAUAAUCCACCAUUGGUGUUUGUACAUGGAAGCUACCACGCAGCUUGGUGUUGGGCUGAACAUUGGUUACCUUUCUUCUCUUCUUCUGGAUUUGAUUCUUAUGCUAUUAGCUUAUUAGGUCAGGUAAAGCUCUUUUCUUAUUUACAACUCUCAAAUAAUGAAACUUUCUUCUUUCUUAUGCUGAAUGUUUAGAAAUUUCCUAAGCACUACCUGCAAAUUGAUGUGGUGAAAUCUGGUUUUCAUGAUUAGGACUUAGGAGCAUCUAUUUGUUAAUAUAUCUACACAUUGAUUUGGUUAAGUCUGUUCUUUUUUAUGUGAGUUGUGUAGUUGUGAUAGAAAUGUUUAGACUUUAGCAUUGUUAACGGUAUAUUGAUACUGUCAAGAGCAUCAAUCUGCAAAUGUUUUGAAUUAAAGUGAUCUGUGAUCUUUAAAUUCUUUAGGGUGAAAGUGAUGAACCUUUGGGAACAGUUGCUGGAACUCUUCAGGUACUUGAAUUUCGAUUAAUCAUUGCAAUUUGCAUUGUCUUUCUUGGAUUUUAGCCAAGAUCCUUAAAGUCUUUAGUUGUUUUGUGUAGUAGACGCACGCAAGUGAUAUCGUGGAUUUCAUCGAAUCGAAUCUAAGCUCUUCGCCUCCUGUUCUUAUCGGUCAUUCUUUUGGAGGGCUAGUUGUUCAAUAUUACUUGGCAAAUGUCAUAAACAAACAGUCUUUAGGUAAAGGCUAAUUCAUUGAAUGAGUACCGUUUUCAAAUCAGCCUACACAAUAACCAGUGAGUGUGUUCUUUUGACUUAGGAACCACAAAUGCAUUUCCAGAACUUUCAGGAGCUGUACUGGUUUGCUCGGUUCCACCUUCGGGUAAUAGGUAACUUAUUACAACCUAUUGGCUCUUUCCUAUACCAUAGAAGUUUUCUUCUUGUUUAGCUCAUAUAUAUAACUUUUGGGACUCUCUCUUUCUUGUUCAGCGGGUUAGUGUUACGUUAUCUCUUCUCUAAACCAGUAGCAGCUUUUAAGGUAAACUCUAUUUUCCUGUCUUUUGAUCUUGUAAGGAUGGUUUCUGUAAUUCUGUGUCAUGUUCUUGAUUCUUGGUUGUGUUCUUGAACAGGUCACUCUCAGUUUAGCUGCUAAGCGUUUUCAGACAUCUAUUCCUCUUUGCCGGGAAACAUUCUUCUCUUCAGCCAUGGAUGAUCAACUUGUGAAGCGGUAAAACCUAUACUAUAAAUCAAUAGCAUUUAAAUCAAAGUUUCAAUAGUCUAAAUGAAUUGUUCCUCUCUCUUUCUUUUUAUUUUAGUUACCAAGAUUUAAUGAGAGAAAGUUCUCGAAUGCCACUGUUUGAUCUGAGGAAGCUAAACGCAUCACUUCCAGUAUCAAAACCAAUGGAAAAUUCUACAAAAGUUCUUGUUUUAGGUGCCAAAGAUGAUUUCAUAGUGGUAAGUUUUCUAACCGAACCAGAAAGUUUGAAUCUUAGUACUUGCAUUAAACCGGAGUGGGUUACGGUUUUACAGGACGAUGAAGGUCUGAAGGAAACCGGGCGGUUUUAUGAUGUUGAACCGGUUUGUAUUGAAGGUGUUGCUCAUGACAUGAUGCUAGAUUGUUCAUGGGAAAAAGGUGCAGAAGCUCUUUUGUAUUGGCUUUGUGGUUUGUCUAAAACCGGGAAAUUUAUCUGCUUAAUAGACUAGAGUUUUGUAGCAUAGACUCACUAAAAUCAAAUAUAAACCAAACUUUAGCCGAACAUUUGACAAUAAUCACUCCUUCAUUUAAUUCCCUUAAUGCAUAAUCCUCGAAUAUAAAAAAGGAGUGUUUUUUCUAUCCCCACCAAUAUUUUCUUGAGAAAAUUAGUAACAAUGCCGGAAAAUGCAAAUCACAGUCCAAGAAUCUCAUUUUCAGACGACUUUUGCUACACUGGCUCCAUACCAAUCGAGCAAAGCCCAUUAAGACCUCCGUCGGAAUAUUCCAGCUUGAAUUUCGAUUUCUCAAUUCCCGGCGGCGUAAUCUCCGGCGAGAGCUCGUGGUCCGCCGAAGAAUUUUUCAACGACGGCAUGAUCCUCCCCACAGAAAUCAAAAAGUGUCCAGAACCGGGGAAAGAUAAAACCAGUUUACUCAAACCGGAGAUGAAUCCAAUCGGAGCUGUUAAACCGGUUCAUGAAAUAGAAGAAAUCGAUGAAUACGAAGAAGUAGCGGUGAUCGAAGAGAGACCCAAUGGACAGACGUUUAUGGGGUUUAAGAAAAUCAAAAAGAGACGCGAACUGGGGAUAUAUGAAACCGGUUUGAUCAAACCGGAUACGAAUCCAAUCGGAGAUGUUAAACCGGUUGUGGAAAUCGAAGAAAUCGAGGAAGAUGAAGUAGCAAAGGUGACAGAAGAGAAACCCAAUACAUUAUCGUUUUGGGGGUUUAACAAAAGAAGCAACAGUCUCAAAUCCGAGUUUGGUUUGCCUUUGCUUUCGAAAAACCCGACCGGUUCGAAUUCUAAACAGACAGAAACUAAGAAGCUUCAGGUUUCGUCGUCUCUUUCUUCUUUUUCUUCGUCUUCUUCUUCUUCAAACUGUAGUUUUCAGCAGCAGCCAUUGAAGGAGAAGAACUAUAGAGGUUACAAUUACGGUGGCAAUGGAGGAGGGAUUAGGGUGAAUUCGAUUCUUGAUAUGAUUCCGUCGGGGAGUUUGUUUGGUUUGAGAUCGAUAAUUCUCGGUAGUGGAAGUGAAACAAGAAGAGUUCAAUGAUUUUUUAUUGGUAAGAAAAAAAAAAAAUCUUUCGCUGUUUCUCUGUUUUUUUUCUCUGAACCUCUCUAAGUUUCGAGUCUUGAGUUUGUUUAUUUAUUUCCAGAUUUUUAAAAAUUUAAUAUUGUAGAUUACUGUGUUGAAUUGAUUAAACAAUUAUUUGUGUUGUAGAUUUGCAACUUGUAUCGUCACUGAAACUUUAUGCCAAAAUGUAACUAAACCAACACUUAUUAAUCGAUUUAACCAAAACGUCCUUUACUUUACGCCAAAAACAACGAACGAACAGAGCUUUCAAAUAUGUUUUCUUUAUUGAUGAUCGCAAUUGCUAGAGUAAGAGCCGAACUUCCACGUAAAGUAACAACCAAUGUAUUUGCAUCAAAAUGUUUCAUUGACUAUACUAAGAAAUCCGGUUGCAAUGUUAUUACAAAAUGAUGAUAAAUUAGUUAUUGAAGACGACUAGAAAAUGUUAGCAACCAAAAAAAGAUAAUUAGAAAGUUAGACAAGUCAAGUGACAAUUAACCAAUUUCAUUUCAUGCUUGUCCUAUUCUGUUUUUAAUUUUAUUAUUUCUUCCCAUCUUUUUUAGGUGUCCUUUAUUUUUUCUCAUAAAUCUCAGAUGUGUCUUUUCAUUUGAAACUGGGAAGGGAAAUGAAUAAAAAAAGAUUAAAAAAGAUACAGUAAAAAUUUAAGGAUUUUUGUUAAAAAUAAACUAAAACUUGAUUUUGAAUACAAAAGUAGACUUCUGAAAAAAUAUUUGGCAGAAAUAAUCUUAAAAAGUAGUGAAAAGAUCAUUUAAUCCUGUAUGAGUAAACAAAAAACGGAUGUCUUAAUUACCGUUUACACUCUCACAAAAUCUACUAAAGAGAGAAAGAAAUCUUAUAGUAGAAUUCGUUUAUCAAAAUGAAGUCUACUAAGUAAUUAAAUCUAGAAAUUUAAUUUUAAAAUUUAGAAAAAAUUAUUUUGGUAUCAAAAUUACAUUCAUAAAUUCUGUAAUUAUAACCCAAAUGUAUAUAAAUUAUUUUUUCAUAUUGAUAAAUGGAAAUUUAUGUUUUUAAAUUAAGAAGAAAAAAAUUUAUUAUUUAGGAUUUAAACUUAGUAGACUUCAAUAUGGAAGUCUGCUAAACCGAAAAAAAAUAAUUUAACCAAAAAUUGAACCGAAAGAAAAAAAUUUAACCGAAUUUUUUAUGCCAUUAUAUAAACAAAGUAACCCUAAUUUUGAAAAAAAAAAUGAAACCUUCUUCUUUCUAUAACGGCGUUAUGCUCCACUCUCUCUGGCCUUUCUCCGCUGCUUUUCUUGUUCGUCUCUGCUGCUGCGUCUACUUCUCUGCAAGCUCAUCCUCAAAAAGUGGUCUCUCUCUAUUUCUCCCUUUCACCUGAAAUCUCGAAUCUCUUUUUUUUUUUUCUUUUUCUCGCUUCUGUUUUUCAUUUCUCAGGUGAAAGCUCUCGCUCUAACGGCGUUUGGUGUCGGUCCCUGUUCUCCUUAGCGGCUUUGAUUCUCCGGUGACUCAAGGUGGAUGCUCUAUGCGGAACCCGAUCUGGUGAGGACAAGAUCUGGCGACGCUUCCUCAAGAGUUUGAAGCUGGCGGUUUCAUGGCGGCUCCUCCGUCUUGGGUAUUUCUCAGAUCUGGCUGGCGUUCGGGUGUGUGGAUGUAGGUCGGCGGUUGUGUGAGGCGGUGAGGAGGAGUUUUGGUAUGCUUGAACUGUCGGUGACCUUCGAGUAAGCCUGCUGCUUGUGGGCGGUGGUGGGUCGUGAAAGGGGUCUCGGCGGCGGCUGACUACGGCGACAGAUGGCUUUUUUAGGUGUGAGGCGUGGUUCGAUCUUUUCUCCCACUCUCGUUCUGUUCGAGCUUGUUCCGGAUCGGCGCCCUUCUCUCCAAAUCCCCUCUUUUUCCUUUCUCCGGUUAGCUUCUCCGGUCGUGACGUUUCAGCGAGGAUCCCGGUGGCGUGGUUGCUCUUUUCUCCCACUCUGGUUCUUUCCUCCAGUUUCUGGUGUGCUCAGGUCGGUGGCUCUCUUCUCGGCGGCAUGUGGCUUUGUAGGCUGCGAGACUAGGGUUUCCUGUCUCUCAGUUUGUUUUUCCGUUUUGGGCUUUCUCCUGGCCUGGCCCAUUAGUGGUUCUCGGGUUGGGCUUUUUUCUUUUUUUUUUCCUUUUGUUGUUUCUUUAUCCUUUUUUUAUUGCAUCUUUUGUAUAUGUACCAAAAAAAAAAAUCCUAAAAAUUUCAAUAUGAAAACCUUUAAAAAAAAAAAAAGACAGUUUCGGCUGGGACCAAGUUUUUUCCAGCUGUUUCUAUUUAACUUUUACACAAAACAUAGAAUUUUGCUUUUAUCAGAUUGUUCUUCUGGUAAAUCUUUGUACCCGAAGGAAGCUACCUGAUGUUAAUGAUGACCAGCGUAUGAAUAAAAUAGUAAUAGAUGCUACGUUGGAAAUUUUUGUAAGUUAUAAUUAUAAUACAUAAACAUAUUAAACUCAUAAGUAAUUUUGUAAAAAAACAUAAAAAUCACAUUAGCAAACGUAAUUACAAAGCACAAUAUUGCAAACACAUAAAUAUCAAAAAAAUUUACACAGGACACUUCGUUAGAACACUUCGUUUGAAGACUUCGUAGACUCCAAAUGAAGUCUACUUUUAUAAGCUAGUUAGCUUAUAAAUCAAAAUAUUCGAUUCCACAAUAGAUAUCGACUUAAAUCAAAUGAAAAUCAUUGAGUAGUUCAACCACUUGCUAACACGUAUGUCAAAACCUAAAAAUUAAAACAAAACAUUAUAAAUAUUUAAGAUAUGUUUUUAAAAUAAAUACAAAAAGUAGACUUCCUAAUUAGACUUCUUUAGUAGACUUCAGGAGAAGUCUACUGAAGUCUAUUUUGAUAAGCUAAGUAGCUUAAAAAUCAAAACUUCUGAUUCAACAAUAAAUAUCGAAUGAAAUGAAAUGAAAUUCACUGGGUAUUUCAAUCACUUCAUAAAAAGCAUUUCUAAUCCAAAAUUUUUUUUUAAAAAAAUACUUUAUAAAUUUGCCUAAAACGCGUUUUUAUAAAAAAACUGCAAUAAGUAGACUUCUAAAGCAGACUUCAAACGUAGACUGAAGGAGAAGUCUAUUUUUUCAUAGUGAAGUCUACUAAAGAAGUCUACUAAAAAACAAGUUAUUUUUGCAAUUGACCAAUCCGUUGACUUUUUCUUCAGUAAACUUCAGAAGUAGACUUCCGGCCAAAAAUGUUACUUUAGCAUUUGACCAAGCCAUUGACUAACAAAGUAGACUUCUAUUGUAGACUUCAUGUAAGAGUAGACUUCUCUGACAGUCUACUUUUGAAGUCUACUUUUUCAAUAGAAGUCUACGAAAAAAAUAGGUUAUUUUUGCAAUUGACUAUCUUUAGUAGACUUCACUGUGAAGUCUACUCAAAAAAAGAUUUCUUCUAAGUUUGACCGAAAAAUAUAAGUAGACUUCCCAAAGAAGUCUACAGUUUUUAGACUUCUUUCUCAAGUCUACUGCAGCUUUCCGGAGUUUUCUGAAUUUUUUUAUUUUUUAAAAAACUUUAGUCAAACACUAAAAUGACCUAUACGUUUUUGGUCAAACUACAAAAGUAACUUAAAAGUAGACUUCUUGUGCAGACGUACACAGUAGACUUUAGAAAGAAGUCUACAUUAAAAAGUCAAAAUACGGUCAACUACAAAAAUAACCUCUUUUCUUUCGUAGACUUCUUAAGCCUUCAAAUGAAGUCUACUAUGCUUUUUUUGUUUUCAAAGGAUAUCGAGUAGACUUCUCGUGAGGUUUAAUGAAGUCUACUUUUAAAAAGUCAAUUGCAAAAAUAACCUUAUGUUGACUAGUAGACUUCAGUAUACUUCACGAGAAAUCUACUUUCGCGAUAUGAAAACUGAAAUAUGGAGAAAUUGAAGUGCGACGAUUACCUUUUACAAAAUUGAGCUCGGCUACAGUUCUUUUAAGCACCCAGAACUCAGGAUUUCACCAAAAAUAAGCAACCCAGAUGUCAAGUAACCAGAAAUCACCGAAAAUGCAUGACUUUUGGCAUUGUAACUUAGCUCAGAUGUUUUGGAGAAGAAAUUAUGAAAGAAUGAGGAAGGUUAUGAGUGAAUGAGCUCAAAUAUUUACUUAUUACAGCUUUAAAAUUGGUUGAGAAGCAUUUAUUCUAUUUUCAUGGUUGUUCAUGGUGGUUGAAGAAAUUGAAGAAGAUGGCAUUCUCGUAAUUAAAAGGUCUUUAGAAGGUCCAAGGAGACUUUAGCCAAAUUAAAGAAAAAUUGAAAUAAUAGAUGUAUAAUAGCAUUUUCGUUAAUAGUUUAAGUGGGAAGGAUAAAAUUGUGAGAAAAUGGCAAAAGUUGGAGAGAGAAAAAAAAAGAGGUUAGUUUGGUGUUUAACUUUGAAAUAUGGAUUAAAUCUGAAACCCUCCCAAAAAUUUAACCAAAAGGGGAUUUAUUUGAAGCUUGGUUUCUAAUUAACGAGACGUGUACACAAUCAUCGGAACGUCUACUAUGUGCCAGAAGCGGCAAUUGUGCAUUCUUUGACCGAAAGGAUCAUGUAAAACUAAAAUCAUAUAUAAGUGAACAACAGUAAAAUCCAUAUUUGAACCAUAGUUUUUUUUUGUGGCAUAAAGUUUUAUUGUUGUUGUAAAAGAGAAAUCAUUAAUUUGUUCUUCAAACUUCAAUUAUAUUUUCUUAAUCAUAAAAUUACUUUUUGGUAUCAGAGAACUUGUUCAUGCAGAUGAUGUGGAAAAGGUAUUAGCAAUCAAGCUCUGCCCAAAUGCUAAAACAGACCUUCUCGGAUGGCAUUACUAUGAUGAUGGGAUAUACACAGUAAAGUCGGGUUACUGGUUGGCUACUCAUUUACCAUCUAAUCCACUCAUAGCCUCACCGCCUGGGGGUCUAUAUCUAAAGAAUCUCUUAUGGAGGCUGAAAACAGCACCAAACUUCAACAUUUCCUAUGGAAGAUUGAUGCAGAGAUAUUGCAUAUUGGGGAAACGUUAAGAAGACGUCAUAUAAGUCAAAAUUCCCAAUGUAAAAGAUGUUUCAGAGCAGAGGAAACUGCAAAACAUCUGUUCUUUGAUUGUGAAUAUGCACAAGCCACUUGGCGGGCUUCUGGAAUCCCCAACCCACUAGUCUUUAAUCCUCAAGCUACUUUUGAGGAUAAAAUGAUUGCAUGUUUUACUUGUAAUACAGCCUCAGCCCUCAGACAUUUGGGGCAACUGCCGCUAUGGAUUCUUUGGCGUUUGUGGAAGUCACGAAACACACUUGUCUUCCAACAAAAACAUAUUCCAUGGGGGAAGAAUCUUGUUUAUGCAUGAAAUGAUGACACUGAAUAGAUUAAUAUUAAAGACCGCAUUGCUCUACAGGAAAAAUGGUUCUCAGCUGACACAAUCCCUCAGCCACACGCAAGAACUUGUUGGAAAGUUCCACUCCCUGGAUGGAUCAAGUGCAACUAUGAUGCUUUAGUCUAUAAUGGGCAGGUACCAGGUAAAGCAUGAUGAUUACUACCAGAUGAAAAGGGUAUUUAUCUAGGAUCAGGCCAAGCCAGAGGUCGUCAUGUCAAUAAUGCCCUUGAAGGAGAACUGCAAGCACUACUCAUAGCAAUGCAACUCUGCUGGAGCAAAGGUUGUAGAAAGAUUGAAUUUGAAGGAGACAACAAAACAGUUUUGGAAUUACUUCAAGGUGUGAACCGAAAUUUCAAGGUCUACAAUUGGAUUAGGGAGAUAAGGCAAUGGCAAAGACGAUUCGAAGAAGUAAGAUACAACUGGAUUAGUAGAAGCAACAACAAUCCGGCUGAUAUUUUGGCUAAACAACCUUCUCCCUCAGGGAUCUGAUUUUGUUUUCCAUUUCUUUGUUCCUUCUGUAAUAACAUCAGCUCUUCAUUUGAACUACGGAGGAUUACUACACUAACCUUAGAAAGUAUCUAUAUUACUUGUUUGGCGCACUUUUAUUUUUUUUACAAAACUAACCUAGCAUACCCAAAACACCCUUUUCGCCUUUGUUGAAAAAAACCUAAUUACGAAAAUGCCAUUACUUUUUUAAUGCCAUGUAGGCAGAUUAUAGCGCUGAAAAUUUGAUAAGUCUACCAGGCUUUGACGGUAGACUUAUCAAAUUUUGGUCAACGCAAAAAUUUUGUCGGUAAAGUUAUUAGGUCGAUGGUAGAUUUAUUCGAGAGUUGGUAGAGUUUACAAAUGUUGGUAGACUUAUCUUGGUAGAGUUUUGACGAUGAGAGGUAGAUUUAUUAUGUUUCGGUAGAUUUGUUGUUAUGAAUGGCAGACUUGUCAAACGUGUUGGUAGACUUGUUAAAGAAAGCAUUGACUUUCUCGCAUAGUUGACUUUCUCGGUAGAUUUAUUGACAAUGAGGUAGAUUUAUUUUCUGAGUUGGUAGACUUAUGCCCUUUGGCAGUAGAUUUAUGUGAAAAAGGGUGUCAAUACGUGAUGGUAGAUAUAUCUGUUUUAUGGUAGAGUUAUAUCUUGUUGGUAGAUUUUUUGCUUUUGUGGUAGAUAUAUUUUUUUGUGGUAGAUUUAAAUUCAAGUAAAAUUCAUUCCAGUGAGUGGUAGAUUAUUUGUUACAUGAGGUAGACUUACAAGAAUGUUGGUAGAUUUAUUUGUUUUGUGGUAGAUAUGUUUGUUUUGUGGUAGAUUUAAAAUUCAAGUAAAAUUCAUUCCGGUGAGUGGUAGAUUAUUUGUUACAUGAGGUAGACUUACAGAAUGUUGGUAGAUAUGUUUGUUUGUUUGGUAGAGUUUAUGUAGUCUGGUAGAGUUAUCGUACGUAUGGUAGACUUCUUAUAAUAAUCAUGUGGUAGAUUAAUUAAGUUUGGUAUUUACAAAGAUAAUCUGAUCUGGUAAACAUAUGAGGUGCUUAUGGUAGACUUGUUUAUAUGGUAGAGUUAUUUUUCAUUCUUGAGGUAGACUUAGUUGUUAAUGUUUGGCAGACAUUUGAUUUUAUAGAUUAAAAUUACUUUUUUGUCCUAAAAGUAUUGUCUUAUCUACGAAUAGACUUGUUUUGAAGUGUAGUAUGUUAAACAGGUUUCGUACAUAUGGUAGACUUGUUCCAUAGUUAUAUUUGAGUUGGUUUUGUUACCAUUGACGUUUUCUUCGCAUGAGUUUGCUAAGAUUAUGUCGGUUAACUGUGAUUCGAUCACAGAUAAUUAUUGGUCUUUACGAUAUAGAUGACAUAAUCAAUGGUCAAAAAUUUCUAACAUGAAUAUUUUUUCUAUGAUAUAUCUUUUCUCUAAGAAAACUUUGCUUUUCAUAUUAACUUUGAACAUAUAUGUCAUAUCUGUAAUAACCAUCUCUUAACUUAUGAUUUUUUGAUUUUUAUUUUUGAAUAUUUGUUACAUUUAACUCUAUUUACAUAAACUCUUACAACAUCACAAUGUCAAAUGAUUUUAGUCAUGUGUUUUGAUUAAAAUUUUAUUCAGUUAUGAUAUACAUCAUAGUGAAAGUAAAGAAAUAAAUUAAAUUAAAUAAUAACAUUACUAGCAAAUAUGGUAAAAAUGUGAAAAUGUCUGGGUCAAUGUUUUACGACAAAUAUAAUUUGAAAACAACAAUAUUAUCAUUUAAAAUCUAAUUAUCAUUUUUACAAAUUCAAAAUAUAGAUAUACCAUCAAUUUAAUAAUAAAUCUACCAUUAUUUCAAAACAAAUCUACCAAAUGCAAAUCUACAAUUCAUAGUAAAACAUGUCGGAUCGAUGCUGGAUAUCCCAUCAAAGAUUUGUUCACCAUGGCAAAGCCUAUAAUCUGUCAGAAAAAAAAAUAAACAAAUACUGUCAUUCGUAUACAAAAUUCAAAUAUAUACGACUGAUAAAUCUACCAUAAAUAAUUAAUAAAUCUACCAAACACAAAUCAUUUUUCAAAUAAGUUACCAUUAAAUGACUAAUAAAUCUACCAAAUCACAUCGUUUUAAAAAUAAGUCUAUCAUUAGAUGACUAAUAAAUCUACCAAACGACAUCAUUUUUUAUAAUAAUUUUACCAUCAAAUAACUAAUAAAUCUACCAAACCAUAUUUCGUUUUCUAAAUAUAUCUACCAUCAAAUAACUAAUAAUCUACCAAACUACAUAUCGUUGUUCAAAUAAAUCUAUCAUCACAUAUUAUGAACUUUACAAUAUCGAUUUCCAAAUAUAUCUACCUAACGUACCUGAAAAAAAAUUAGGGAUACAGUUUUUACAAAAAAAUUUACGCCGCCGACAACCUCCACAACACCACCAUUCCAUCGAAACAACGUCUGUCCACUGCGGUUGUGCGCGACGCAGCAAGAAUGCUGCUAAAGAGUCAUGCCAAAUAUUUUUGAGAUCUCCAACACCAAGAUCUGUGUGGAUCUGCGAAAAAGAGGGAGGCUGUGAAGAGAUAAAAAGGGAGAAGGAAGGAGAAAGCUCCAAAAAGAGGAAAGCUGCGAAAAGAGGGAAGCUGCUAACCGGAAUUUUUCGAGCCAGAGGAGAAAUCACUAUGUUUGCCUAUCAAGAAGCUCUACAUGGAAAGCGAGGAAGCUGCGACGAUGGAAGAUUCAGAGCUGAUGGGACCAUAUCUUCGUGCCGCAGAGACGCCGGUGACAAGAACCAAUCUUCGGCGCAGUCUUCUUCUUCUUAUUCUUCUUCUUCUACAACGGCGACAAGAACCAAAUUAGGGUUUUUUUUAAUAAUCAGAUUUUUUUUUUUCUGUAGAAAUAUACUUGUACUCGUUUUUUUUUGUAGAAAUAAUUUAAAAAAAUUAAUUUUUUAAUUUUUAUUAAUCAGAAUGGCAUUUUUGUAAUAAUUUUGAACAGCUGGAUAAAAAAAUUAAUUUUUUUUAAAAUUUUUACUAACCAUAAUGGUAUUUUCGUAAUAAGUUUGAACAGAUGGAUAAAAAAUAUCAAUUUUUUUAAUUUUUAUUAACGAAAAUGGCAUUUUCGUAAUAAUUUUGAAUAACUGGAUAAAAAAUUAAUUUUUUUAUUUUUAUUAAUCAGAAUGACAUUUUCGUAAUAAUUUUGAAUAGUUGGAUAAAAAUGACUUAAACCAACUUUAUAAGGUUAGUCUUGUAAGCUGAUCCAUAUGUUAAGCUAGGUUUGUCAUUUCAUCAACCUUAAAGUCUAGUAUAAGGAAUUUUCACUUUGAAAUAUGUAGCUAUUUAAUAUCAAUAAAAAGGCGUUACAAAAAAAAAAUUCAAAUGGUAUUUCGGAGUAUCCAAAACCACUAGUUCAAUUCCAUAUGUAUGGGUAAUUUACACCUUAAACGUGGCAUUGAGAGAAAUUCCGGACUUAAGGUCUAAAAUAUUUUAGGCUUAUAAAAAAAUUAUAUAUCAAAAAUUUCCAAACCAGUGAUUGAUUAGAUUUUACAUUCGUUUUUUAACAAAAUUAAUGAACUUAUAUACUCGAUAAUCGAGAAAAUGUGGUGAUACAGCCAUAUAAAAGUCAUCAGGAGUUUCGUUAACCAAACUAUUCCCUAAAUGUUCGAUAAUGGUACGUAUACUGAUAUUUCAAUAUACAUCCAAAUAUUGUACAGUACAAGUUUAGACUUUUAUGCUAAGAAAAUCAACUUCAUGGGUUUGUUGAACCACAUACGUACAAGUAAAAAACUUAAAUGAAAUAUAGCUGGUAUUUUAUAUUCUUGAACUUGGUAAGACCAAUUUUUGAUGAAAAUGAAAAUGAUCUAAAUUGGUAGGACUGAGAACUUACACAUGCUAGCUUUCCCGUUCAUAUACUACUCGGACAUAAAUGUGUUGGAUGUCUUCUGGUUGAAUAGUGGGAAAAAUUUGAUGUUUCAAUACUCAUUUGACAGGACUGGAUUCGGAAUACAUAUAUAUGUUCAAACCAAAGUACCUAAAUAUAUGGUCAUAAAUACUCCAUGCAAACAUUUUAUCAAUAUGAGCCAAAAUGUAUCCUAAUAUUUGAUACAAAAUACUUUCAUAUAAUAUUACAAAUCAUUCAGAUUAGAUCCAGAUAUCUGCAGAUAUUGGUGGAUAUAAAUUCAAGUAAUAACUUUUAAGAUCCAUCAGAUUCAGAUUCAAAUUCGGAUAUCUGAAACUAUAAGGUAUUGGAUCAUGCCAACCUUUACUAGUGAGAUGUUAUAAAUUGUAGUUAGGUGAACAGUUACUGUGUUCAACAAUCUGAGAUGUGGAGUCUACUCCCUUCCUACAACUUUUCAAAGUUGGACCCAAAAAAAUCAGUGCUUUAAAGUCUACCAAAUAUCAGUGCUGAAGUCAAAGUCUUUCCUACACCCAAUAAAGCAAAAACAACUUAAAUUCCAAGUUAGAUUUUACUUUUCUACAUUUUUGGUUUUACAAAGUUACUUUAGUCUAAUGUUUUGUUAUGUGAUUACCUGUAAACACACAAAUAUGCAAAUAGGGUAUUAUCAUUAAGAGACUAAUUCUUUUGUGUUUGAUCUAAUAAUACAAAUAUUAUAUGUGACAAAAGUUUGCCAUUUUUAUAGCAUUAAAAUAAGAAAAAAAAAUUACCAAAAGAAAGUUAAAAAGUAAGAAAAAAACAAAAGGUGUCUUUUUUUUGGUAGGAGAACUGUUGUCUAGACAUUCCUAUAAAUCUGUCUCUCUAACUUGUUGCUCUUCUUUUUAUACCUCACAAUUUGCUAUUAAGACAUUUGUCAAAAAUAAAUAUUCUCAAGCAAUUUAUUUCUCUUCUAAUCCUCACGAUGAGCCAUAAUACCAGAGGAACCUCACUUUCUUCUCACAAUCUUCAUAAUUCGGACGAGAGAGUCCCUCUUCGAUCAGAUUCAGACCAGUCUUGUCUGAAUUCAAGCCCAGAGUUCGAUUUUUGCCUUCGUCAGAACUCAAAACAACGGUUUUCUCACGCAGAAGAACUCUUCUCUGACUGGAAAAACCUCUCUCUCACUACCCCUGCCACGGUCUCGAAGAAGACAGAGAUUACUCCUCCUAGAAGCAAUGUACAAACCCUAGCUGCGAAAUCCGAUACAAGAGACUCUGACUCGGAUGAUCCAAGUUUUGGGUGUGGGUUUUGGCUUGUCAGAAGCAAAUCUGUUGGGUACUCGAUGAGAAACAAGAAGAAAGAUUCUUCUUCGGAAUAUCAUCGGAGCAAUAGCGAUCCACAGAAAAAGAAGAAGACGAGUUUGCAGAAGAUGAAUUCUACAGAGAUUAGGGUUCCAAGAUCCACUAAAAGUCAUUCGUUGAAUGUCCCAUUGGCUGAUAUAUUUUGCUUAGGCCCUGUGAUUUCCGGCAGCCACGAUCGGAGAAAGUGAAGAGUGUUUUUCUUAACCCAAAUCACGAACUAAUUUCCAAAACUUAUGAAAACCCGGUUUUUCUUACCAUUUAGAACGUUAAUAGUGGUUGUAUUUGAUUUUUUAUUAUUUAUUAUUGCUAUUAAAUUUGGAGUUUAAAGACUAAAUAGAACUUAAGGCGGAUAGAUUUUUACACUAAUAAAAGAUUAUUUGAUUGUAAAGAUUAGUAUAAUUUAGAAUGUAAUUUUCACAUUUCAUAGGAGGAAAUAUACUAUUUUGUGAAAUGGUUUCAUUAUACCGGCCAAAAAAAGAUCAAACCGACAAACGAUCAAAUAGUACAAAUACUAGUCAAACAGAACACCUCGAUUGAUCAAAACGUGUGGAUUUAAGAACCUUUUUGACUAAUAAGAUUGACCAAAGUUGACUGAUACAUAGAUGAUCAUUCUUUGAUAAAUGUAGUGUGUUUACUGGUAUUGUCGUCUUACUGUUUUCUAGAAGAUUUACUUACAAGAAAUAACCUCUUCUAAAUACCAACUUUGCAGGUUAGGUUCUUUUGCAGUGCUAAUAGUAGAUGACUUAAAAAAAAAUAGAAUGACAUAACUACAGUUGAGUUAGAAAGAUCAGAAAAAAAAAUGAUUCUUUCAUUAUACUAACUCAUGGUCAAAAGUCGGAAUCGUCCAAAGCCCAAAACCAACGUCGAAAUAAUUGAAAAGAACAUUGAAUUCCUUUUAGAGUUUUAGUCCAAUGUAAUUAUUAUGCAAGAAUAAACAAUCGGACUUUGUCAAAAGAAACCAACAACUAAAAUCCAUUUGGAAAACUAAUAACAUGUAUAUUUAUUAGAAAGUUUUGAGCAGCAUUGCAUUUCUUUUUUACUUAGACUUUGUUUGGAGAGAUGAAGAUUUGGUUGAAUAAUACAACAAGAUUUGGCAGUAGUUAGUUAACAAGGACCUUUUUUUGUUGUCUUAUUGUAUAUUUUCAUCUAAUUUUAAGUGUGAAGAUUAUAAGACCCAAAAAGUAUCUAGACGUGUUUUACAUAUUUCAAAAGUUAUGGACACCUUUAAAUGACCAACAAAUGGUUUGUUGAUCGAUCGUUUUUGGUUCUAGACCAGUUAAGGAAAAAUAGAGAGGCUGAUAUAUGUCUUACAUAUAUUUAGUCAACAGAAGCUAUAAGAAGACUAAUUCAAACACUUGACCAACUUACUUCUCCAUUUGAUUUAAUCUAAUAUCAAACAAAAUCAAAUCUUUGGUGAAAUAUUUAGAAAGACUUUGGUUUUUAGGCUUGUUGUGUUUGUUCUUGUUUCUUAGUAGUUUUUUUGGUUUUUCUCCGUUUCAUGUGUAUCAGCUAUCAAGUAAACUUUUUGUAAUCGAAAAAUGGUAUAGCUUAACAUUGUUACAAAAGAAAAGGUUUAAGAACAAAUAUUUAUUAGAAAACAUGAUGACAAGUGAUUAUGAUUUAUGAAUGGUCAGAGUUAAUGUGUUUGGCAAAUCUUAUUUGAAACAAUUGUUACGACCCCAUAUUGAUUCUGUAUAAUACUAAUUAGUUUCUUACAAGGUUCUAUGGUUUUCUUUUUUUUCAUCUGAUGGAUAUAUAGAUUUUUGAGGACAAAGUUCCAGAAGAAAGAAGACAAACAAAGAGAUAAAAUCUAUGAAGACGAUAUGAAAGAGCUGAAAAUUAUAGACUCCUAAGCACUAAAACUGAAACAACUCUUAUAAAGUUCUGUGUGUGAAAUUACUCUUAAACUAACUUUUGGUGGUUAAUCCUAUCCACUUGAUUUGUGGAGGCAUUGAAUUGGGUUUACUAUGAGCAUGAUUUAGUCAGCAUUUGUACAUGAACGAAUGUGACAACAUCAUUCGAUUUGUUUAUUUUGAAAGAAUCACAAUAGUUCUUAUAUCAAAAAUGUAUGCUUACGUUUACAAACAAAUUCUGAACCAAAAAACACAACCAAAAUUUUUUACAAACAAAUCAAAUCACCAACACACCAAUAAGCACACAAUCAAAUCCAAGAAUUUAUUCUCAUCAAUCAAAACCCACACCAAAAAAAAACCAAAGAAUAAUUCGUGGGAAAAUCAAAGCUUUGAAAAACGAAAAAUAUCAGUAGAUUUGUCUGUAACCCAGAAUUGUCCGGCCACCGCCGCCAACGGCUUUUCUCCCUCCUCCUCCUCCUCCGUUGCCGUUAAUGGCAGAAGCAGCAGCCAUUGAUAUUUCCUUGAGAUCCUCAACGCUCGCGUAACUCUUACGUGCCAAUCCCAUCAACCCUCUACUCUUCUUCUCCCCUGCACUCGCCGAUUUGCUUCCUCUCGCGGCAGCUGAAGAAGAAGAAACCGAUCCCGACAAAACGCCGCCGUUUCUACUCUUCGAAGGAUGCGGCGGAGGAGUAGUGUUGUAGUUAACCGGACGGCGAUUCUCUUUACGGAUCACGGCGGAGAAAUUAGGCACCGAUUGAGCCAACGAAGAAGACGGAGUUUUUCUCGGAGAAAACCCGAACCGAGUCUGUUUCUUCUUCUUCUCCGGCGUAAAAAUCUCUUCCACUCGUGAAAUUACCGGAUUACCCUCGAACCUCACUUGUUUUUUCUUGGGCUCUUCUUCUUCUUCCUCUUCGAGAAAUUUCUGGAAAUCUCGUUUCAUCCGAAGCUUCGAUUCUCGCAGCCGUGAGUAUUCGUCGUAUCUUGGUCCUCUCUCGAAUCCGCAGAAACCGUCUAACAAGAGUUUAAGCUGAUGUGUGUCGGAGUUUUGUGAGAGUAUGAGAGACAUUGGAUCAACAGAGAAAAACAGAGGUUCCAUACUAGGGUUUGAGAUCGUAUCCGCCAUUAAAAUCUCGCACCAAAAGUUCAGCUUUUUUUACAGAGAUUUGUUAUGUUUUUUCUUUCCUCGGAUUUGUUGUUUGCUUUGGGCUUUAUUUAUGACUCUUUGUUCUUUCUUCGUUUUAUUUCGCAACGGUCUUUUUUGGGGAAGAAAGACUCUUACGACUUUUUUGGUAUUGACGGAUUUACCCCUUUAUUCUUACGUGUAACGGUCCUAUUUUGGUAGUGUGGGACCCAGAGAAUCAUCGGUCAAACGGUCAUUAAUUUCCUUAAGCAACAAUUAGUCAGUUAAUUAAUAUAUCAGAUCUUUCUUAAUGGUUAUUAAAUUAUUAAUCAUCGAUCUAUGGGCCGAUUAAAUUCCAUUCCCAUCAUUUUUUACUGUUUCUAUAGAAAACAAGAUAGAUAUACUGAAUAAGUAACACCGACAAGGUGAUUAGUUUAGUACAUAGUACAUACAUUCACAAGUUAAGAGGCAAAACAGCAAUUUUGUCAAAAUAAAAGGGGAUUAAUCACAAUUUAAAAUUAAUCUUCAGCUUACAAUAUAACCUUACUAGCAAAGACGAAUACUAACAAUGUUGGACCAUAUUUGUGUCGAGUGUCCUCACAGCUUCAAAACCUUGUUCCAUUCCCGCAUCAUCGAUCUAAACAUGAUUCGAUUCAACAAAAAUCAGUCGUGGAAUGUCUUUAAGACAAAAAAGUUUCAGACUUUCAGAGAUCAAUGUUUAUCAAUUGAUGAACAAAAAAAAAAUCAGUCAUGGAAUGUCUUUAAGCCAAAAAAGUUUCAGACUUUCAGAUAUCAAUUGACACAAAGGUUGCUUUAAAAAAAAAAAUAAAAACUUACUAGAGAUCUCCUGCAGCUGCAAGGCUUUCCCAAAGCCAUUCUGCACCACCAUCGAUGAUAAGUGCGUCCAAAACCGUCCUACAACAUCUUCUUGGUCCGUUUACAGGUUCUGCUAAGAGAACAUUAUCACCCAUGGCUUUCCAAUCUCUAAGAGAAGACGCGAAAUCCAUGUUGUCUCCUGAGAUAACCAGCAGAUUCGACGAUCCGUUUUCGCUAUUGUCCAUUAACCAGCACCAAAUUCCCCUUAUCAUUGUUUCAACUCUCGCAUAUUUAUCACCUGCACGUUCGAGCUUUAUUCCAGCGGAUUCAAAGUAACCUGGGAUCUGAUUCUUGUCACCGUAAGCCCAGAUUGUCACCUCACCACGAUAACCCUUACUCGCAAGAGCGGUUCUGAUAUUCCGAUAGACAGAUUCAGGAUUCAGACCGUUGGGGAUCGGACAAUCCUCCAUGUCCCAGAACACGCAUGUCUUUGCCUCUGCGUCCAAACGCAUUAUCAACAAUCAAAGCGCUCUUUGACUUCUUUUGUUUUCUAAUUUGCAAAAUUUGAUCCACAGAGAGAGAUAGAGAAAGAGCUUACCAGAGUAUUUGCCGGCCAAGGAAGUCAUGGAGAAGAUGAUCGGAGACGGAGAAAGAUUAAUUAGGGUUUAUCGGAGUUGCAAAUUAUAGGAGAUCUAUUAGAGUGGUGGGCUCUGGUUUGGCUCAAAUCAUUGGCCCAUCAAUAUCAUAGGAUAAGUAUUUAAAACAAUCAUAAUGUGCAACAUUGUUGAUAAGGCGCCAAUUAGAAAACAAUAGAAAACAAGAUGACAUACAUUCACAUAUUAAUGCGAGAAAACAGCAAUUUUAUCAUAAAUAACAUUUGAAAUUGAUCUUUAGCUUACAAAUAUAAGCUAUUACUAGGGAUUAACCCGCGCUAUAACACGGGAGAUAUAUUUUUAAUCUUUAAUUAAUUUAAAUAAUUUUAUGAAAACAGUUAUUUUGUAAAAAUAGUUAUUGUUAUAAAGUCUACAAUAAUAUAGUGCAUAUUUUUGUGAAUUUUAAAUAAUGAGUUGAUAUAUAUAUAUAUAUAUAUGAAUUAUAAAAAAUGAAUUAAUCCGUAUAUGAAGUUAUUUUAUAAGCGUGUAAAAAAAAUAAGUUGUUUUAAACCCGUUGGCACUAAACUAAAAUAUUAUUUAGGCUAAUAUAUAAAAAUUAUAAUAUAAUAAUCAUCAACUCUAAUUUGCAUCGUUUAAUAAUUGACAUUUAUAAUCUGUUCACAAACUAUAAAAAUUUAAUUUUAUCUUUUUAACUAUAUAUGAAAAUAAUAUAAUAUUCUUUACACUUAGGUUUGAUAAAUAAAUAUACAACAAAUUAUCUUUAAUUUAAAAUAUAUAUAAUUUAGUAGAUUGAAUAUAUUACUUAUUUUAAAAAAUUAAUAUUUUGAAUUUUGAGAUUUUUUUGUGGGUAUUAAAAAAUUAAAAUUAUAAUCUGUUUAUAUAGAAUUAACCCGUUUACUUAACAUGUUUUUAUUGAAUUAAAAUUUAAUAAUUAAUUAUAAUAUUCACCGUUAAAUAACUCUCAUUUCAUCACAAACUUUUUUUUAUUUAAAAAUCAAUUUUUCAUAUCAAAUUUUUAGUAAAAUAACUAAAAAUGUAUUUUUGUAUAUAUUCAAUCAAAUGUAGCAAAUUAUUGAAAAAAAAUACUUCACCACUUUUUUAAUAUCAUAAUUUUUAUUUUGACUUUUAUAAUAUUUAUAAAUUCAAAAAUUCAAAAAUAUUUAUAAUAUCAUAACUUUUAAAAUAAUUAAAUAUACUUUAUAAUAUAAUUUGAAAAUAAAAAUAAUAAAAAAUUAUCAUAUUUUUGAAUUUAGAAAUUAAAUAAUAAAUAUACUCUAUUAAAUGAGAAAAACUUUCUAUAUUUUUAGCAAUAGAGUUAAAAGACAACUAUAUCCUUUCUUAUUUUAAUUAUUCUUUGUUAUUUGUAAUAGUAUAUCAUGUAAUAAUUUAUAAAAUAAAGGUUAUAUUUUAAAAUGUCUCCUCAAAUAAUAAUAUUGAGAUUAGAUAGACAAACUAUGUACAAAGGAUGCAAACAAUGUUGGGACUAUAGUGUCAAACUGUGUUGAACUUGUAUUUCUGCUCCAAAUUGAAUCGAGAGAUUGUGUCGUUGAAUCCACAUUCAACGAGUGUCCUCACAGCUUCAACACCUUGUUUCAUUCCCGCAUCGAUCUAAACAUGGUUCGGUACAAGUACCACACCCGUUUAAGCCAAAAAGUUUCAGACUUUCAGAGAUUAAACAGUUAAAAGAUGGUGUUUUUUUGUUUUUUUAACCUGUUUACGCUCCAAGGGACUAAAUUUCUGGAGAAGAAACGCUUUCAUGUCCAUGUUACCUGGUGGAUUCCCAAUUCCUGUAAUUUACCAGGCAAUUUUUUACUAUUGUCUUGUUUAUUUGGUGGAAGAGGAUUUCGACAAUACAACGGGAAACACUAACCGAUUGAUAAACGGGGAAAGCCACGGCAACCAUUUAAAUGUUCCGUUACAUUCUUCAACCUGGAAACAGAACAAAAGAAGUUCAAGACCUUUACAGCAAAAGCACAAGAAAUGUUUAUCUUGUUCUAGUUCUCAUACACGUGAAAUGAAUAUACAUUAUCGAAGCAUUAUCAAUGGAUCUUAGAUCUUGAAAUUUUUGUGUUCUUUCAAGUUAACAAAUCUCCUUUCCUCAAGAAUGAGGAUUAAGUUUAGAGAUUUGAUCAAAUUUAACCAUUUCCAAUUCCAGCUAUUUGAAAGCAAGAUUGCUGGAGAUUUGAAGAAUUCUCAACCUCAUAUCUUAGUCCUUGCCUUAUAGUAUUAUUAUAAGCAAAGAAAAGGUAUUUGAUACCCUGAUCAAAUCCUUAUUCAGCAACAAUACUUACCCGUUGUGGUGGCUGUGUCCUCCUUUUGGUUGAAGCCUCAAGACACCAUUAGGCAAACCCAUGUCAUCAUAUAUCUACACCAUAAAGGCACAUACAAAUAUUUUAGUCAAUUCAGUUUCAUUAUCAUCACACAGCAAAGAAAAAGAUAAAAUUCCGUACUUACCAUCAGAAUGUGGCGUAAGGGUACUUGAUAAUAAGCUGCUAAUGGCCCAACCUUCAGAAAUGCCAAAGACUUUGAGGGUUAUUCAAAUCUCAUUUAGACAAUUAUAAGUUAUAUAUAUCAUUCAAGAAUCACUAACCGAUUCACCACUGAAAUUCAUGUAUGCCUGAGGUUUAACCAACAAAAUCGGAACCUCUCCAACAGCACCUGUUCUGGCCACACAGAGAAUCCCAAAUAAACGAACAAACACAACCAAAUAUAUGAAAACAAAAGCAAGAAAUUAGCAAGAAGAGAACCUAUCCCAACUAAAGCUUUGGACUGUAUCGUAUUCAUGGAAAUGUCUGUUGUUCGAGCUAUAUGAUCAAUCAUCUCAAAACCAAUCUGCACAUAACAAAAUAUAAGAAUAAAAAAGAAGAGAGCUUUUAAUUCAUGAACUUCAAAAUGAAAUGAAAAGAUUAUUUUUUUUACAUUAUGCCUUGUUCCAUAGUACUUUGUUCCAGGGUUACCAAGCCCAACGAUAAGCCAUGGUGUGUAUUCAGCUUGAAGCUUGUUAUCAGAAACAGGCAACGAAGCACGCAGAGAGAAGAGUCUCUUCGAAUCCGAUUUCGUUUGACCAAAUUUACAACUUUUUGGGUAGAGAAGAGAUUUAAUCGGAGGAGAUGAUGACCCACAAAACAUCACCGCAACUGAAUCAAAAACAAGAUUGGGGAAAUUGAUAAUACCCUAAAACCAUAAAUUCCACAAUCGUUAAGAGAAAAGUAACACUAACCCAUCAAUGGCGACGAGUUUCUGAUGAACUCUUAACUAUAAAUAAAAGAACUUGACGGGUUUUCGAGGAUUUCCAAGGACGAUUUGGAACAACUGAAAACGAAACCUUUAGAAGAUAAGCUCAAGCUGGAGAUGGGAAGGAGUAGACUUAAACCGGAGGGGUUUAGGAUGUAAAGGAGUAAGACUUUUUUUUUCUUUUUUUUUUUUGUUUUUCACAACCCAACAAUUACAUCACAUUUGGCCCGUUAAAGAGUUGGUCCGAAAACCGUCUUCAACUGGCUUGGUAUGAAUGAUUUGGGAGAAAAUACAACCUCUUGCUCGAGCUCCUUUUGCAAGACUAUCCGCUCAGACAUUUGAACUUCUGGGGAUAUGGGAUAGAGUGAAAUCCAAAAAAUUUUCCCGAAGAUUGCGGAAGGCUUCUAACUCUGAUAAGAAUGAUGGCCAAUCUGAUAGCGAUUCAGACAUGCUAAUCAGAUCCAAAAAAUCGGUUUGAAAGUGUACAGAUAAAAUUUGUCUAUCUUUCACGCAAGACAUAACCCAUAAUAAGCUCUCCAAUUCGGCAUGAAGGGUCGAUAGGCUUCUACGACAGCCUUGAAGGCCAAAAGUCUCGCCACCUCUUUCCUCCUUCAGUCUCCACCCGAACCCACUAACCAGGCCAAUGCCUAUCCAAGAUGCAUCAACCUGACAAAUUGGGAACCUCGGGGUAUCGGGUAGAGGACUAUAGAGCAAAGGAGUGAGCGGAGCCUAGUCUGAUCCGUCUUCUUCUUUUUCCGGUUGGUUUGCAAUCUUCCAACUUUCGGCUUCAACCUUGGCGUGGAUCAAAGUAUCUACCGGGGAAAUUUCUUUCCCGUUGAAGAUCUUGUCGUUCCUCGCUUUCCAAAUAUACCACAGGAUCCAAGGAUAAAUAUCCUUUUGAGGAUCUGUCAUGCCUAACUCUUUUGUUUUCCAAAAGAGAAAGCUCAUAUUUUGGUAAAUAGAGAUAUUCGGAAAGACACCCGGAAGGGACGGAAAGUCCGAUAACGCCCAGACUUGUAAAGCCGGGGGGACAUAAAAACAGAAGAUGGUUAAUAGAUUCUUCAGGAUUCCCACAGCGGGGGAAACUCUUAUCCGUUCCCAUAUGCCUGUAGGUUAGGUUUUGGCAAGUAGCAAUACAUCCUGAUAAAGCUUGCCACAUAAAAUGCUUUAUUUUUCCAGGCGUCCGUACUUUCCAAACGUAGCUUUGAAGAGCUGUGAUACUCGGUUCUCUCACGACAUCCAAAUUCUGAUCAAGGUUUGAUUUCCUAAUCAGGUCAUAUCCGGAUUUAACCGUGUAUACUCCUGUUUUAGUAUGGUUCCACGCAAAUUCAUCAAGGGUAUGGUUCCUACUAGGUCUCAACCCAAGGAUAAGAGAAACAUCCUCAGGUUGGAAAAAUUCUCUUAGAAGAGGCUCAUCCCAUUGCUUCGUAUCUUGACGGAUAAAGGAGUAAACUAACACUCUUGGGUCUUGAAGUCCGAUCUGGAGGGUUGCUCUUGGUGGACGGGCCCUGGCAUCAGGUAUCCAAGGCUCACUCCACGCCCUCGUAUUUAGUCCCGACCCUAUUGUCUUCCUUAGUCCCAUUUUAAGAUACGGUUUUGCGGCCAACAUACUCCUCCAUCCAUAGGAUGGUGAGUAGACAUUUCAAUCCUCUAACGGGUCUGAUUGUCGAUAAUAUCUUCUUCUUAGCACCCGAGCCAGAAGAGAUGAAAGGUGGAUCCCACUGCUAGAUUGUUUUGAACUCCACCAAAAAUUGGCAAUGACGCUCCGAAGUUUGUCUGUAACCCCUUUAGGGAGGAGAAAACAAGACAUGACGUAAGUGGGAAUGGCUUGAGCCACUGAUUUAAUCUGAAUCUCUUUUACACCCUUGGAAAGAAGUCUUACGGACCAAUUAUUAACACGAUUACUUAGGCGUUCAUGAACAAAAGAGAAAACCUUCUUCUUUGAUCCACAGAUUUGCUCUGGUAGGCCCAAGUACAUGCCCAUACCGCUUUCUGUAGAAAUACCUAUGGUAUUUUUAAUAUUUCGUUUGAGAUCCGGGUCCACUCUAUCUCCAAACAUGAUAGAUGAUUUCCCCAAAUUCAGUUGUUGUCCCGAUGCCAUUCCAUAAGUGUUUAUGAUUUGGAGAAUCUCCGCUCCUUGUUGGAUAUCCGCUUUACAGAAAAAACAGGCUGUCAUCAGCAAAGAGAAGGUGGGAAACUGGGGGACUUGCUUGAGCAAUUUUCAGUCCAGAGAUUCGCUCCUCUUCCUCUGCUCCCUUAAGAAGCGAAAUAAGGCCUUCUGUGCACAGAAUAAAAAGGAAAGGGGAGAGAGGAUCCCCUUGCCUUAAGCCCCUCGACGGUUUGAUGUUACCUUUAGGUUCUCCAUUAAUAAGGACCUGGUAUGAAACUGAUGAGAUGCAAAACAUCAGUAAACUGACCCAUCUCGUUGAAUAUCCUAACUUGAUUAGGAGAGCUUCAAUAAAACCCCAUUCAACCCGGUCAUAUGCUUUGCUCAUAUCUGUCUUGAUAGCCAUAAAAUUUUCCCUGCAAUUUGUGUUGGUACGGAGUGCAUGGAAAUUUUCUUGUGCUAACAGAAUAUUAUCUGUAAUAAGCCGUCUAGCCAAGAAGGCCGAUUGUGUCACUGAUAUGAUGGUUGGCAGUGUUUUUUUGAGACGUUUACAUAGAAGCUUAGAGAUGAUCUUGUAGCUCACAUUACACAGACUGAUAGGCCGGAAUUCCCCCAUUGCUCUAGGUUUGUUUAUUUUUGGGAUAAGACAAAUAUUAGUCUCGUUAAGUCUAGGAUCAAAAGUUCCGGAACUGAAAAAGUUCUUAACCAGUUUAACAAUAUCGUGGCGAAUAAAAAGCCAGAAUUUUUGGUAAAAUUUGCUUGUCAUACCAUCAGGGCCAGGAGCUUUGUCCGGAUUAAUAUCAAAAAGAGCCUCUUUAAUUUCUUUCUCCGACGGUUCCUUUAAAAGUAAUUGGUUUGUGUUAUCUGAGACUUUCUCGGUAAUAAACCGGAGGAAAUUUUCUGGGUCUGAGGGGAUAGACGAUGAGAAGAGGUCUUGAAAAUACGUAGAGGCCACUUUUUCUAUUCCUCUUGCAUUUUCCACCAAAUGUCCGUUACUAUCCUUAAGGGAGACGAUGUGAUUCCUGACUCUCCUUUGUUUAGUGAGAGCAUGGAAGAAUUUAGUGUUUUUAUCACCGUCUUUGUGCCAUUUCUCCCGACUCUUCUGUUGCCAGAACAUAUCUUCUUCCCUAAGGGCAGCACAGAGUUUCCUCCUGAUGUCUUCAAUUUCUUCUAGUGUUGUAUUAUCAUCAUCUUGGGCUAAGUCCAAUUGUUUUUUCAAUUCUUCGAUCAUUUUUUCCGAGUUAGUCGGGAAGGAUUUCUUCCAAACAGAGAUGUUUUUCCGGCAUUGUGCAACCUUUUGAUGAAAAUCUCGACGUGAGAUUUUAUCAAAGGGGCCCCACCCGGAAAUGACUGUCUCUUUAAAACCAGGCUUUCCAAUCCAUCUUUUAUCGAAUCGAAAAGAUUUUUUCUUCCUUAUGUUGUCGAUUUUUAUCAUAGCUAAGAUUGGUCGAUGAUCCGAUCCCCAAAGUUUCAUAUACUCCACCGAAGAGUGAAAAAAUUUUGAAAGCCAUUCCUCAUUUCCAAGAGCUCUGUCUAGACGGCAUUUGACUUUGCCAGACCGUCUUCUUCCAACCCAGGAAAAAGAAUUUCCUUUGUAUGGGAAGUCAAGCAUUCCACAGCUAUCUAGCAUAGUUCAGAAUGGAAUAAAUGAGCUUUCUGGUCUCCUCCUACCUCCCCGUUUCUCAUGAUUUUCGGUAAUCUCAUUAAAAUCACCUAUCAUAAACCAGGCUUCUUUUCUGGUCGUGCUUAUCCUUGUUAGACGUUCCCAAACAUUUUCUCGAUUUUUUACAACCGGAUCACCAUAAAAAAAGUCAUAAAAAUUUAUGUCAGUCUAGACUUGAUUCAACAUCAAUCAAAUGCUCAUCAGAAUAGAUAAUAGAGACCGUAGGUUCAUCCAUAUAAAAAAGAGCUAGGCCGCCGCUUCGACCCUCAGUUCAACCGUGAAAACAUGGUCAUAUCCAAAAUGAAUUUGCAUAUCUUGCAGAAUGUAACGAAUAUUUUUGGUCUCCAACAAAAAAAAGAAACCUCGGUUAAAAACAUUUGUAAAGUUCUUCAAGAUGAUCUUUUGUCAGAUCCGAACCAGUUCCUUGACAAUUCCACCCAAUGAUAUUCAUAUUAGGGAGAAGUUUCUGAUUUCUAAUUUAAAACUUAGAUGUGUAAUUUGGGUUAUAUGUGUUUAACUAAUAAGAUCCAUAAAGGCCCAGCGGCCUACAUUAAAUCUUGGGCUUAGCCCAGAAUUGAAUUAGGCCCGCUAAUUUGCUGGCCCAGAAGACAGAUACAAUUAGGUCAAAAAAAGUAAUUUUUCCCUGGCCGCCGAUGAAGCUUCUCCGCCGCCACAGCCGUCAAGACCGUCGAUAUCUUCUGAAAGUUGGUGACUUUUGGAGAUCCGGCAUUUUAGAAACUAUCUGGAGCCUUGCCGUCGGAUAAGCACCACAAAAUUCUUUGGCUUGAAGACACCAAUGGAGGUAAUAGACAUGGAUCUCAAAGCCUUCCACGAAAAAAAAAAAAUUAGAAGAUAUGCAGCAGAUAGAGGUCUUAGCACAAGGCUAGAUACAGAGAAAACUCGCUUUUAGCGGAAGGAGAUUCAGUUCCUCAGAGAUCGUGGCUUGGUCCUGAGAUGAGCAUCGCCGGUGAAACCAUGAGAAAGAGUACAGAUCUUAGAGGGGGAACGAAGAGACCAGGUCCAGGGUUGCGCCGGUGAGACCAUGAGAACGAGCAAGCUCAAAAGGAGCAAGAGUUGUGCUGUUCAGAUCUGUAAGAAAUCAGGUCCAGGUCUUCAAAGGAAGGAGGAGCAGCACCGAUAACUUUAAGCAAAUCUUAAAACUCUCAACAGUAGAGAAUGGAGACAGCUGUCUUCGUCUUCAACAAAUAGAAGCACCGUAAUCUUCAGCCACACUAGAGAGGAACACCAAAGAGAUUCAAAGUCAAGAAUAUGGGGCAAAAAAGAGAUGAUCUGAGAUCCCCUGAGUCUACAUUGGGAAAAGGGCCAGAGAGACAAAGCGUAUGCUUCUCACAUGACCUCUUUUUACUUCCUAUAAUAUGAUAUCUUUCUUCUCUUUUUUUGUGUGUGUGUGUGGUCGUGACUAGUGAUGAUGGGAGGGGCAUUUGUUGUUUUUUGUUUUCGGGGUUCUUUCGAAUUUCCAAUGGAUGUUUUGAGAUUUUAUAAUUUUCUUUUCGUCUCUUUUUCUUUCUGGUUUUAAUCAAUUAAAACUAAAUAUAAAGGAGUAAGACUUAACCGGUGGGGUUUAAGAUGUAAGAGACAUAUUUACUUCAUUGGAUGAGGAAAAAAAAAAAAAUUACUUCAUUGGAUAUAAUUCGUUGCUAAAUUGCGACUAUUUAGUGAAAUCUUCACUAAUGUGCGUGGAAUUAGCGAGCAUACCAGUGAUUUGGUCACCUUUAAAUAAUUGGCAAAAAAUUUGCAACGAUUCUUGACAAAUUCGUUGCAAAAUUCAAGUUUUAUACUAUUUUCAAAUACCCCUGUAUGUUUUACAGGUAUUCAUUUUAUAAUUCUUAGGUUUUGUAAUGUAUUUGCAAUGUUUCUUCUCUUAUGUCUCACAAAAUCAUCGCAAAAAUUUAUAAUUUUUAAAUUGAUAUAUGUGAAUAUGAAUCGAGUUGUGAAUGCACAUCCUAAAAAGUGGUUUUGAACAUCAAGAUAUGACAACAAUUCUUAGUUUCUAAUUUUCAAUCUUAACUACACUAAAUAAAUAAAUAAAACACUUACAUGGGCGUUGUCACAUAUAAUAUAGGUUACAUAACUUAAGUUUUAUAAACUUGCAAGAGUGAUUUUAGUAUAUAACCAUGGUUGACUAAAAAAUUAAGUGUGUGGAAAAGUUGAUUUAAAAAUUAGUAAAAUAGGAAAAGAGAAAUUUAUCCAAAAAACCCAUUUUCCAAUUUAAAUAAUUACAAAGAAUACCAUUGGUUUAGAACCUGAUUUUAAAUUAGUGACACUGUAUAUCAUUUAAUCAAUGGUACUAUUCAUCUGAUUAGAAAACAACUAUUCAUUAUCAAAAGCGUAUUGUUAACAUGCUAACAACUACUAUAUUAAUAUGUUAACAAUAAUUACACGUUAUAUACUAUUAGUUAACAUACUUAUUAUGAUAAUAAUUUUCUUACAUGUUAUAUAUGUUAACAUAAUAAUAAUAUCUGAUAUUCAUAAUGUGCUAAUAAUAUAUCCGAAAAUUAUAACGUGAUAACAAGAAUAUCUGAAUAACGUGAUAACAAGAAUAUCUGAUACUUAUAACAUGCUAAUCUAUAGUAAAUCUGAAUAUUAUUUGUGUUAACUUUGUAAUGAUAGCUUUGUUAAGAUAAUAUUUAUGUUAACUUUCAAUUUAAACAGUAUAUUUACAAAUAAUAAUUGCAAAGUUAACAUGAUAACAUUGUUAAAGGCAUUAGCAACACAUGGAGAUGAAUGUGCUAAAGAGAUUCGUGAAAAGAUGAGACUUGACUUUUUUGUGUUUUGUUGAUUGUUCCAAGCUUAAAGUUUGUAAUGGCUCAUCUGGUGGUAUCCAUUUUCGUUUGUUAGAGAGAAAAAAUUUAGAAAGAAAGAGAAUCAUAGAUAUAAAGAAAGAGAUUUUGAGUAAAUUCCUGUCUUAAACAGAAGAUGUCACCUAAUUUUGACAUUAUCCAUAGUCAUUUAGUGGUAAUACUCAACUUACAAACCCUGAAGGCCUAAACCAUAAAGAUGAAAAAACAAAUUUUUUACUAAAGAUAUUGAGAAACAUCAUCUAUAGAUUGUAUCCACAUUAGUUUUAUCAAACAUAACAAUACACUGUAGAUUGACUCGAUGAAAAGUUGAUCUGUAGUUUUUUAAGGUAAAAAGUUAAUUUGUAAACCCAAUCCAUGUGUCAGAUCUUUUUUUUUUUUGCAGAAAACUUUAUAAAUUAUACUUUUUGCAUAUGCGCGGAUCUUGUUUUAACUUAUAUUUUAAAUAAUAUAUUUUUUGAAUUUGUAUUGAAUUUUAUGUUUAUAAUCAAUGUUUUGUGUUUAAAAUAUUAUAUUUUCUUUGUUUUUUUCUUGAUGAUACAUUAUUUGUAAUCUCUUUUAUACAUAGUUGUGCUAAAUAGUAUAUUUUUCCUUACAAAAUAAUAAGGAAUUAAAAAACCUACUAUUUUAAUUUUUGUAUAAAAACGUAAUGGUUCAUUUAAAAAUAUAUGUUGAAUAUCAGAGACAAAUAUUUAUUUGUUAUUUGAUUCUCAUAUUUUUUUAUUCUUGUAAAUCUUACUAAUAUAAUAUUUGUUAACUUUCUCAAUUUGCCAUUUUGAAUUUUUUGGUUAUAUAUUAUUAAUUCCAACUUUUUUUAAUUUUUAAAAAGCAUGUAUGAUACUUUUAUGUGGACGCCCUUCUUUUUACUAUUAUUUUUAAUAACUUUUUAAUCAUUUAUUUAAUAUUUUUGUGUUUUAUAUUUUUAUUAGUUGGAGUUUAAUAUAAGAUUAUUUUAAAAUUUUAACUUAUUAAGUUUCAUUAUUUUUUCACUUGUAUUAAAAUUUAAUUAUAUUUUUAGUUUGAAAAUGAAGUUUAAAUCAUUUGAAAAAAGAAAAUAAAAUGGUGCAUUUAAAAAAUUUUUGUAUUAUAUAAUAUUUAUAGGUUUUGUAUAUUUAAAAUCAAUUUGAAUUCAUUGUAAUAUAAAUAAAUAUAUUAAUAUUUAUUUAUGUUCUUUAAUGUAUUUGCUUUAAAUUUAAUUAAUUAAUUAUUUAUUUAUAUUUUAAAUUGACAGAUGUCAUUCUCUCCACUACUGAUGUGUCACUCAGCUGGAGAGAGUUGAUUGUCUUUUAUAUAUAAGAUACUUUUGGCACUAAAACUAUAAACAAUAAUUUGCCCUAUAAUAUUAAUUUCGUAAUUUGACGCCAAGUUUUGAUUACAAAAUGAUAUUCAAUGACUUUUGCGCCAAAAAUGAUUGAUUGUACAAGUUUACACCAAAAUGAUAUUACCAAUACUUUUUGUAAGAAAAUAGAUGGCUUACCGAUGUGGGUUUACCAUAUGUGAUAGCUGAAGGUAUUUUUUUUUUAUCUUUUUAAUGUGAAACAUAAUCAUAAUUGGCAAACAAAUAAAAAUGAAACCCUUUGACUAAAAUCAUUUUCCAACCAAAUAAAACUAUAUAUAAAAUGGAAUAUCUAUUAUGUGUUGGAUAUUCGAUACGGUCGGUUUAGGAUAAGAUAAGCAGAGAUUUAGGAGAUUUGAUUUGGUAUUUAGAUUUGAUUUAAUAGUUAAGAUUUCAGUUAGUUAUUAUUUUCUUGUUUUUCAAGUUUAUCAUUUAGUUGUAAGGCUUCCUAUAUAAGCCAAUGCUUUCGCAGCUUAAUAAGAUGAGAUAUUCAGUUUACUCUCUCAUUUCUAAAGCACUAAACCUAUCAACCAUUUCGAGAGAUGACGGAAGCUGCAAGUUUCACUGCACCUGCUGUACCGAAGUUUGAUGGAUACUACGACCAUUGGAGCUUGGUCAUGGAGAACCUUCUCCGUUCCAAGGAGUACUGGACGGUCAUUGAGUCUGGCUUUGAAGAUCUAAGAAGGCUUGAGGCGCCCACUCCGGCGCAACAAAAGGAGCUUGAUGACACAAAACUCAAAGAUCUCAAAGCCAAGAACUACCUGUUCCAAUCAAUCGACAAAACCUCUCUCAAGACGAUCACUCAGAAGGAGACGGCAAAGCAGUUGUGGGAUUCCAUGAAGGUUAAGCAUCAAGGGAGUGCUAGGGUGAAGCGAGCUCAACUUCAAAGGCUGAGAAAAACCUUUGAAACUCUGGAGAUGAAAGCUGGAGAAGCGGUGGCUGGAUACUUCUCUCGAGUCAUGGAGAUAACCAAUGACAUGAGGAACUGUGGUGAGAUCAUUGACGACAUCAAGAUUGUGGAGAAGAUUCUUCGGAGUCUGCAGACAACUUUAACUUUGUGGUCUGUUCGAUCGAGGAAUCUAAGGACAUCGACAAGCUCACCGUUGAUGAACUGCAAGCGUUGCUGCAGAUACAUGAGAGUAAAGUGAGGGAGAAAAGAUGCGAGGAGCAAGUACUGCAAGUUGAGAACGAGCCAAGGAAUGCUCGAGGAAGAGGAAGAUGGAACUUCCAAAGAGGAAGAAGUGAAAACAGAGGACGCGGAAGAGGCAGAUCGUUUGUGAACAGAUUGGCCAUUACCUGUUUCAGAUGUGGAAAACAAGGUCAUUACCAGUUUGAGUGCACAAGCGUGGAGAAGGAUGUUAACUACGCAGAGCUUAAUGAAGAAGAGGAAUUGUUGUUAAUGGCCCAUGUGGACAUAAACAAUGAUGAGAGAGAUAGAAUAUGGUUUCUGGAUUCUGGAUGUUCAAAUCACAUGACAGGAGAGAAGUCGUGGUUUGUUGAGUUAGACGAAGGUUUCAAGCAUUCUGUUCGCCUGGGAAAUGGCUCGAGUCUGGUGGUUCAAGGAAAAGGGAAAAUCAGAAUCGAAGUGGAAGGGAUCGUACAGGUGGUGAGUGACGUGUAUUAUGUUCCAAAGCUCACAAAUAAUUUGUUGAGCAUUGGACAGCUGCAAGAAAAACAGCUGACGAUCAUAAUCAAGAAUGGAGUGUGUAAGAUUUUUCACUUGCAACGAGGACUGAUUGUGGAGACACAGAUGACCAGAAACCGUAUGUUUUUGGUCCAUGCUAAGAAGAAGCCGGCCCCAGGAAGCUGUUUCAGAAUGGAGGAUGAAGACUUGGGAGACCUUUGGCAUCGAAGAUUUGGACAUCUAAACAAUAAGUCCAUUCAAUUCAUGCAGAAGAAGGAGUUAGUGAAAGGGAUACCCAACAUUGUCAACGAACCAAAGGUGUGUACCGUAUGUAAUGUGGGGAAACAACAACGGAGCAGGUUUCCAAAGAAGAGCAAAUGGAGAGCAAAUAGAGAAGCUGGAGUUGAUCCACACGGAUCUAUGUGGUCCAAUCACUCCAGUCUCCAACAGUGGUAAAUGCUAUCUGAUGGUGUUAGUUGAUGAUUUCUCUCGGAAAACUUGGAUCUACUUCCUUGCAGAGAAAGCAGAGGCUUUCAAGACUUUCAAAGCUUACAAGAGUCUCGUUGAGAAAGAAGCAAAGACCGUGAUCAGAGGGCUGCGCACAGACAGGGGAGGAGAAUUCACUUCUGAUGAAUUCAACAAGUUCUGCAGAGAUCAAGGCAUAAAGAGGCAACUAACUGCGGCAUAUACCCCUCAGCAAAACGGGGUGGCGGAGAGGAGAAAUCGCACGAUCAUGAAUAUGGUCCGCUGUUUGUUGUCGGAGAAGAAAAUGCCAAGAUCUCUGUGACCAGACGCAUCCAGAUGGACAGCUCAUAUUCUGAAUCGGAGUCUCACUAAGGCCAUCAAAGACAAAGUUCCUGAGGAAAGAUGGACAGGGAUCAAACCGAAGGUGGAUUACUUCAGAAUUUUUGGAUCAGUGGCGCAUGUACACAUCCCUGUGCAGAAGAGAAUAAAGCUCGAUGAUCGCAGUCACAAGUGCAUUUUUCUCGGAGUCAGUGAAGAAUCCAAGGCUUAUCGCCUAUAUGAUCCAGCAACAAAGAGAAUCAUCGUGAGUAGGGAUGUGAUAUUCGAAGAAGAUGCGAAGUGGGACUGGAAACUGAACAUUCCUGAGGAGAGUGAGCUUUCUUGGGGAGAUGAUGGAAUUUCAGAUGGCGAAAAAACUGAUGAAGAAGCAGAGGGUGGAAGAGAAGAAGAUGACAAUGUUGUAGCAGAACCUGUGGAGACUGUUCCGAUGGUAGGAAACCAGCAAGAGAAAAGUGGAACGUCAAGAAGGCAGAGACAGCAACCCACUUGGAUGCAAGACUUUGUUAGUGGUGAGGAAAUAAGCGAAGAGGAAGAAGAAUUGAUGAAUCUGGCCUUAUUUAUUUCUGGUGAUGAUCCGGUGGACUUUUACGAGGCUGAGAAAGAAGUAAAAUGGAGGAAAGCUAUGGAGUUAGAGAUCCAGUCCAUUGAGAAAAACAACACAUGGGAGUUGGUUGAUCUACCGGCUCAUGCGAAGAAGAUUGGUGUCAAAUGGGUUAACAAAACGAAGUUGAAUGAGGAAGGGAAAGUAGAGAAGUGCAAGGCUUGACUGGUGGUAAAAGGUUAUGCUCAAACUGCAGGAGUUGAUUACACAGAGGUAUUCGCACCAGUUGAUCGUUGGGACACGAUAAGGAGUCUUCUAGCCGUUGCAGCUCAACGAGGUUGGAGCGUCUAUCAACUCGAUGUCAAAAGUGCAUUCUUGUAUGGGGAACUGAAGGAAGAAGUCUAUGUUGCUCAGCCGGAAGGAUUUAUCAGAGCAGGGGAGGAAGAUAAAGUGUAUCGCUUGAGAAAGGCUCUCUAUGGUUUAAAACAGGCACCACGAGCCUGGUUUAGUCGCAUUGAGAGCUAUUUUGUGAAAGAAGGCUUCCAGAAGAGUAGCUAUGAUCACAAGCUGUUUUACAAGAAAACAGACAACAAGACGCUGGUGGUAAGUCUUUACGUGGAUGACUUGAUUUUCACAGGCAAUGAUGAAUUCCUAUGUGCAGAAUUCAAGUCAUCUAUGCAGAGGGAGUUCAAAAUGACUGACAUGGGUAAGAUGAAGUUCUUUCUUGGCGUAGAAGUUCACCAAAGCAGCAGGGGGAUACACAUUUGUCAGAAGAAGUAUGCGAGGGAGGUUUUGGAGCGUUUCAACAUGUGGAGCUGCAACUCGGUUAAAAAUCCUAUUGUACCUGGUGCAAUCAUCACAAAGAAAGGAAGUGGGGAAGUUGAUGCAACACUUUACAAGCAACUUGUUGGGUGUUUGAUGUACCUCACGAUAACGAGGCCUGAUCUGAUGUUUGUGGUGUGCUUGGCAGCUCGUUUCAUGGCAGAUCCUAAAGAAGAGCAUAUGUUGAUUGCUAAACGAGUACUCAAGUAUUUAAAGGGAACAUUACUUUGGAGUUUUCUCUGAGAGAUCACCAAUCUUGAAGCUGAUAGGUUACACAGACAGUGACUAUGCUCGUGAUGUAGACGACAGAAAGAGCACCUCUGGAUACAUGUUCUUACUGAAUGGAGCAGCCGUUUGUUGGAGUUCGAGAAAGCAGGAUAUUGUUACUCUUUCAUCUACAAAAGCAGAGUAUGUUGCAGCGACUUCUGCGGCAUGUCACAGUGUUUGGUUAACGGGUAUGUUGCAGGAAUUGGAGGUUUUGAAUGAAGUCUGCAGUGACAUCUUGUGUGAUAACAGCUCGACGAUCAAGCUGUCAAAGAAUCCGGUUAUGCAUCGAAGAACAAAACACAUUGAUGUCAGGUACCAUUACUUGCGUAACUUGGUGAUUGAAGGGGUUCUGAAGCUGUCUUUCUGCGGAACUAAUGAUCAGGUAGCCGACAUCAUGACAAAGCCGAUCAAGCUUGAUCAGUAGGAGAAGCUGAGGAAGUGUCUUGGAGUUCGGAAAAUGGAGGAUUAAACUGAUGCAGACAUGCUUCAGUUUAAGGGGAGGAAUUUGUUGGAUAUUCGAUAGGGUCGGUUUAGGAUAAGAUAAGCAGAGAUUUAGGAGAUUUGAUUUGGUAUUUAGAUUUGAUUUAGUAGUUAAGGUUUCAGUUAGUUAUUAUUUUCUUGUUUCUCAAGUUUAUCAUUUAGUUGUAAGGCUUCUUAUAUAAGCCAAUGCUUUCACAGCUUAAUAAGAUGAGAUAUUCAGUUUACUCUCUCAUUUAUAAUAUUAUGGCAAACUCAUUACAUAUUACAUUCAUUACAUACUAUGGAAGAUUUAUUAAACUCUUUGAAUAUGUUUAUAUGUACAUUCUAUAUAAAUGCACAUGCAUAAAGCAAACAAAAUCCAUUCUCAACAAGUAUUAGAAUAUUCCAAAGAAGAAAGGUAAACUAGAUUAUUAAAAGUUUAUAACUAUGUUGAUUUUCAUAGGAAAUCUUGGAUGUUUUCUGUUGAAGAUGAUUAGAGAUGUUCCUCUCAUACCAAAUUUUUUUAUAUUUGUUUUAAAUGUGAUUUUGGAAUACAUUUUUUGAUAAAUUUGUUGUCGUCAGAUCCAAGGAUAUAUUCCAAGAAAAAGGUAUUGUAUCCUCUAGAAAAUAAAUAAUGGCAGCAAAAAUGUCUUCAUCUCUUUUACUACCUUUGUUGAUGGCGUUAGCUCUCAUCACCAUGCCCAUGAUAUCAGGUAACACAUUUUGUUUGUUCAAAUGCUAAAUGUUCUUAAGAUUAAUCUAAAAUUAUCUAAAAAUUUUCGAGGUUCUUUGUUCAGUAGAGUCAAAAUCACUCGACAAAAGUGUGUUGAUAUUAGCAUUUAACACAUUAAAAAAAUUGUUUUUCUAUAAAUAAAUUGGCAUUAUUUACUAUUUAGACCUAAAUUUUGAUGAUGAAUUUUUUUUUUUGAACAAAAUAGGACAAGACCCAGGACGAUGUACCGAGGGAUGUAAAAGCACAGAAGAAUGCACAAAAUUAUGUAUAUCCAAGGGGAUUUCCGGAGGGAGUUGUCUACGAUACGCACAUUUAAGACCUCACCCAUAUGUUGGCGAUUAUUGUUGCUGCAAUUACGCUGAUUCUCCUAUCUCCAGUACCAUAUAAAUUACUAAAUAAUCGCUCAUUUUAUAUGUAUUUCUCAGUUAUGAAAAUAAAAAAUAUAUAUUUAAAUAUAAAAAAUAAUAUUAUCUCGUCCAAGCCGUAUUAUGGUCUAAUUGUUUAUAAAAAUCUGAUGUACACAAUAAAAACCACAAGAGAGUAUCAAACGUAAAAUUUAACAAAUUAGACAUCCCAAAAUAUAAGAGUUUCCAAGAAGCACAACGUCACACCACUCAACCUUUUCCUAAGCACGAUUUGAGCGUCUAAUUAACGUCUAGUAAUAUUUUAAACAAAGGGUUUGGAUAAAUCAAGUGCCCUAUCUAAUAUAAACUUGAAUAACAACAUACAUCGCAACUAUCACUAAUUAAUUACGUGGAUGGUCCAGAGAGAACCAAAACUCUCAUUUUGAUAAAAACAAAAUAAAAGAGAUAAGUUGCAUACAAGAGCAGAUAACUACUUAGAUAUUUCACUAGCCUGAAGAAAAUUUCCAAUUUAUUUCGUUGGCAAGAUUCACUUUUCGAAAUAUCCUAAUCAUUGCAGAACAUAAAUUCGUCUCUUUCUUCUCAUUUUUUUUUAUCAACUUUUGUUAAAAGAAUUCUUUCAGUUUUUGUUGUUUUUUUUGGUGCUUUUGUUCUUCCUCAAGCCAAUGGCCGAUGGAUUGCUGUCGAUAUUCCUCCUUGUUUUUUAUUUGUUCAUCUCAGGUACAUCCAUUUCCGUUUUUUCCGGAAAAGUCUUUUCUGGUGUGAUGAAUCUUAAGCUUAAUUGUUUAUCGUUUUGUUUUUUAAAUGACAGGAGUAACUUCGAGAAACAUUACCAUAGAGAACAAAUGCAAUUACACUGUCUGGCCGGGAAUCCGGUCCACCAAGGGUUCGCUCUCCACCACCGGCUUCGCCCUCAAGAAAGGAGAGGCGCGUGUAAUCUACGCGCCGUCGUCCUCGUGGACAGGUAGUAUCUGGGGUAGGUCAUUCUGCUCCACCAACACAACCGGUGGUUUCUCAUGCGCCACCGGAGACUGCGGCUCCGGAAAAAUCGAGUGUUCAAAAGCUGGAACGCCUCCUGCGACUCUAGCCGAGUUUUCCCUCGCCAGUUUCGAUGGAAAAGACUUCUACGACAUAACAGUCGUCGACGGUUACAACCUCCCAAUGCUGGUUGUCCCACAGGGUGACGACACGUGCAGCAGUGUCGGAUGCAUUGUCGAUUUGAACAUGACGUGUCCACGCGAGCUAAAGGUGACAAGUAACACAAGCAGCAUGAUGAAUUGAUGAUGCAGCCAAUCGCAUGCAUGAACGCGUGUCAGAAGUUGAAACUGCCGGAGUAUUGCUGUACCGGCGCUUAUUCUUCACCGGACCAAUGCAAGCCGACACUAUAUACGCAGAACUUCAAGAAUGCGUGCCCACGCGCUUAUAGCUAUGUUUUCGAUGAUUCUAGCAGCACCUUCACUUGCCAAAAUAGCCCAAACUAUGUCAUCACCUUUUGCCCGGCGACGACUAUUCUCAACACCACCAAGUAAACAUCCCAACUCUCUCUUCUAUUUCGUCAAAGCGCGUUUUAGUAGAAUAGAUCACACGGCUUUAAUUGUGACCAUUCAUUCUACAAAUACCGUUGAAACUGAAAUACUUUUGCUUUAUCUAGUCAUUUAAUAUUAUUUUCAACAGUGACGUUAGGUAUGUAGGGUAUAGUGAUGAUACUGAAAUGCACAAGCAUUAACUUUGUUAUCUUUAUUUUUGACGGUUUUAUUUCGAAAAUUCGAGUUUAAGGCUUGGUUUUGUUAGAAUGAUAUAUAGCUACUAUAUAUUAGAGCAGUGUGAUAAAUUUGAAUGUACACUUAACAAAAUAUUAUAUUAAUCAACAAGUUUUUUUGGUCCACACGGUUAUGUGGCCGGUUAGUUUAUCUUGAGCCUCCUUUGAUAUAUUUUUAAAUAGUUUUCCUUAGAAAAAAAUUGAAAAAUACUUAUAAAAUUAACCUACAUUAAAAUAAAUUGGAUUCCUAAACUGAUCUGUGCGUAGAAGGUUUAGGUCCUAAACUGAGCUCGAACUUCUCUUUAGCACUCAGAGAUGUUUAAAUACGUACUAGGAGAUGGAUAUUUUACAUCUUUAUUGUAAUCUGAUAUAUAUGCAUUUUGCUAUGUUUACAAACAGUAGUUCAGUGGCUGAGUCUCCAUUUCCAGCUCAAACAAAAAAUGGAACUCUUGAACCUCCCUCAGAGUCUCAACCAACAAGGGAAGUUACUAAAGAAGGAAAAAGUAAGGUUACAUUGUUUUGUUUUUUUGAAUACCAAAGUGUAUUGUGUAUUCAUUAUUUUGAUUAAAUAAGAACUCUUCUUUGAAACAUUUUGCAGAAAAAUCUUCAUGGAAGUUAAAACUCAUACUCGGUAACAUAUCUCUCAACCCAUGUGACAAUUUUUCAUAUUUACCAGACCUGAGUUUCAAGAUUUUGUUCUUUUAUUUCAGGAAGCUCAGCAUCUUUAGCUGUGAUGAUCAUAAUUAUGGUGGUGCUAUUAGUGAGAGCAAAGAAUGCAAGAAAGAGUGAUAGGAAUGGCGAAAACAUUGAAGCGGUUGUAAUGUUGAAACGAUAUAGUUACGCAAGGGUCAAGAAGAUGACAAACUCAUUUGCGCAUGUUCUCGGGAAAGGAGGAUUUGGAACUGUCUACAAAGGGAAGUUACCGGAUAAAGGCCAAGAUGUUGCAGUAAAGAUCUUGAAGGAGUCAACAGGGAAUGGAGAAGAGUUCAUUAACGAGGUAGCUAGCAUGAGUAGAACAUCUCAUGUUAAUAUUGUUUCUUUGCUUGGAUUCUGUUAUGAAGGAAACAAAAGAGCUAUAAUCUACGAGUUCAUGCCAAAUGGAUCCCUCGACAAGUUUCUUUCCGAGAAUAUGUCAACACAGAUGGAUUGGGAAAGGUUAUUUGACAUUGCAGUGGGUGUUUCUCGUGGCCUAGAGUAUUUGCAUAAUCGCUGUGUAUCAAGGAUUGUGCAUUUCGAUAUAAAGCCGCAAAACAUACUCAUGGACAUAGAUCUUUGCCCCAAGAUUUCAGAUUUCGGUCUUGCUAAGCUCUGUAAAAAUAAAGAAAGCAUCAUAUCAAUGCUAGACGCGAGAGGAACGGCUGGAUACAUUGCUCCUGAAGUGUUUUCUCCAAAUUUUGGAGGAGUUUCUCAUAAGUCAGAUGUGUAUAGUUAUGGAAUGGUAGUUCUUGAGAUGAUUGGAGCAAGGAAUAGAGAGAAGUUUGAAAAUUCUCAGAGACAUGAACUCCUAAACUAGGACCAAAGAUCGUGCAUCAAUCCACAACUUAGUCUAGAAAAUUCUCACCAAUACACAAGAGAUACUAGUCCACUUUUUCCGUCAUGCAAAACUUAAACAAUCUAAAUCUUGAUUCCAGUCAACUAGCUCUCUACAUUCAUUAAGUUCAAUAGUGAGUUCUCAUUAAAGACAUCAUCCAGGGUAGACGGCGUUUGACAUUAAAGGUCUGUUUAAGUGGUGGAGUUAAAGUGUUUCGGGUUACCUGAUGAAUCUGGAGAAUGCAAGAUAAUAUGCAAAACCGCAAGAGAGAUAAGGACCUGUUGAUGACCGCAAUUUUCAGUCACUUCUUCUUGCCAAAUGUUGUUGCAUAAUCCUUCCUCCUUUGUUGUGAACAGCUAUUCCCCCAGACUUGGAUUCUUUCCGGGAAUCAGAAAAUGAUCUCCAAAACUCCAUAAAAUCAAACUCCAGUUGCCUUGGGACUUAAAAUUCGACCUCUCUAGACUCUCUAAGGCUUUUAUUUCCUUUCUUUUCUUAUUUUCGGAUUUUUUUUUUUUGGAAAGGAAAUGUCUUUUAAAGAGAGAGAGACUAGAGGACGAGAUUGUACCAAAAUUUGAGAUUUUUAUAAGGCAAACUGAGCUUCCUCUUGUGUUGAAUCCUUCCGGGAACUUUUCCGGCAAAUCGCAGGUCUCUGUCCUUGGUGACUGAAAACUGCGUCGUUCUUCUUUCUCUCCAACGUUUUUGCACUUAUCUGCAUAUAAGACAAUAGAAAACAAGAGUGCAUGUGGUUUGAAAGAGGAUUGGUUAAGGUGGGGAACUAGCUAAAGAUGAACUAGCCAUUCAGGAUCAACAGAGAGUGGUAAAAAGGGUAAGGAGUCCUGAAUGUAUGAUUCGUUUCCCUGGUCUAAUGCUUCAAUGAGGGAAUUAAGUCCAAAUUAAGUCCAAAUAAAACAGAGCUAGUAUGUUCCUUCAUCUAAAUCGAAAUCAUUCAAAUUCCUCUAGGGUACUUCGUUUCAAAUGUGCUUAGCUUAGUCUAGUCCUAAAUCAUGAAUGAGCAUGUCACUAGGAACAAUCUAAAAGCACACAGUCAACUAUCAUUGAUUCAUGUUCACCAUUCCCUUUAAAAUGUAUUUUGUUUUGAAAACCGAUUUUAAAAAACUUUAAGGAAAAUGCAAAAAGUGUAGAUAAUGCAAGACUCAUGAGAGAAAAGUGGUUAGAAAGGGAUGAAAUCCUCCCCCAGACUUAAAUCACACUGUCCUCAGUGUGAAACAAGUCGAGAUUGGAUGAGAAAAAUGCAUAGAUAAUCGAAUUGGUAAGGCCAAAGAGAACUUACCUGGAUCCGGGAUGCUGGUGGUGAUGAACCGGAUUCAUUCGAAGAGGUUUGGGAAGGUGAUAGGUGGUGAUGAAGGUGGUGGAGGGUGAUGAAUGAGGUGGAGUGGGGAUUGGUGAGGUGAAAUGAGGUGAAGUGGGUGGUUUGGGGUCGGGUUUGAUCUCAACAACCAUUGGUUAGGAGCCACGCGACCGCGGAAAACCGGUGCUCGGCCGCAGUCAGAAAGACGCGGCCGCGGUCGAUCAUGCGUUUCCCGCGGUCAGAGCAUCUGCGACCGCGGGGGCUUAUAUCGCAGCCUGUUCCUGCUUCUCCUUGGUUCCUGCUGGGCCGAGCAGUCAGGGACCAUCCUUUUUUUUGGUUUUUUUGGGUUUUUUGAUUUUUUUUUUGGUUUUUUUUUUGUUUUAUAAGAAACACCUGAAACUAAGAAAAAGAAAAAGAUCAAUAGAAAAAGAAAGAAAAAUCCUAAAGAAAACAAUACCUAAAUGGGUUGCCUCCCAUUAAGCGCUUCUGUUUUAAGUCGUUUAGCUCGACUUUUGGUGUUGGACGUGGCUUAGUCCAAUGAAGAAGACCUUGUCCUGAGACAAGUCUUUUUCGACAUCUCCUUGCUUUGCCUAGCAGGUUCUUCGUCACUCCAAAGCUCUUCUUCAAAUUCUUCUGUUGCAGAAUGUUUUCCUGCUUUGCUGUUGUAUGAGACAGCUUCUGUGAAGACAUCUUUGUCGAUAUUAGCAAACGAAAUCCUCCGGUUUGGCCAGUCCAUUAUAGCUCCAGAAGUUGCUAGAAAAGACCAUCCGAGAAUCACUGGAUAUGUUCCGUCUCUCGUUUCGACAAUGUAGAAGUCGAUAGGCACGAUACAAUCUCCUAUUCUCAAAGGAAUUUCAUGAGCUAUUCCUUGAGGCGUUGCAUUGGAAUCAUCAGCUAGACUAAUCUUUGCUCUAGUCCUGCGCAGGUGUUUAAUACCAAGUCUCAAAGCAAUUUCCUUGGACAUCAUGUUGAGACAAGCUCCAGAAUCACAAAGCACGUUUUUAAACAUUUCUCCUCUAAUAGAACAAGAGAUAAGGAACUGACCUACACCUUCGAUUUUGUGAAGUGUUCGAACAGGUUUACCUCUUCUGGCAUGAUUGAACAAGUCUUCUAUCUCAGGGAUUGAUUCCUUGCUCUCACAGAAGUAAUGGCCUAUCAUGAAGUCCUUGCAAGCUCUAGCAAAGGUGAUUCCUUCAGGCAAAUUUCGGACUACAUCAUUGAAUUCAUCGAGCUUUUCCUUGUUGAUUUUGUUGGUGUAGUGGCUGCAGUCUUCAGGCUUUUGAGGUGAAUCGCAUAGACAGCUGCUUCUGGUGUUGUCAUGUAUCGAGCUCACAUAAAGUAUCUAUGGAUAUCCUCUUUAGACUCCUUGCAGUACCUGAAAAAAACUUGCAAACAACCAAGCUUCCAGAUUUCAUCAAAGCUUAGGUGAGCAGGGAAUGACCGGACCAUGUUGUUGAACUCUAUGAGCUUCUCUCUACUGAUGUUGUUGGUGAUCCAUUGAAUUUCUCCUGAACUGUCUUCUGAGGAAUAUCCUGCGUUUGGAUCUUCUACAAACAACCCAUACUCUUCAUCUUCAGAUUAUUGUUCUUCAUACUCAUCUUCACAAGACAAAGCCAUGUUGCAGGGCAUUGACUUGUCCUUGUCUUCAGAUCUUUGGGUGCUGAUGGAGCAAACCAGUUGUUGAUGGAGUGGUUUGGUCAUCCCAGGAUGUGUAUCAGUCGCACAGCUGCUUGUAUGAGCUGAACGGGACUGUUUUGGAACGUUUUUCCGGUUGGCCUUGACUGCAGGGGACGUGACCGCGGGAAAACGCCCAUGGGCCGCGGGUAGACCAAGCACGACCGUGGGAGGAGGCAUCUUGGCCGCGGUCGGAAGCGACGCGACCGCGGGAAAGUGUCUCUGAGUUGAUUUGCUGCUGUUGCUUGCUCCUUUGCUUCCUAGAUGAUCUCCUGGGUCUUCUAGCUCGAUGUACUUCCUCUCUGGAAUUGAGUCUUUAGUUUUGGUUGCUGGAAUCUGCUCUCCAAGUCCUUGUAUGAUCUCCUCAACCUUUUUUCCAACUUCAUCAAGAGCAUAGACUACUUUGUCCAUCGUUGAGUCAAGCUCUUCGGUUUUGUCAAUGACUUUGUAAACCUUCUCUGAAACUUCGACUGUGAAGUCAUAGGACUCGUUCUUAGCUUCGUUGAGGGCUUUGUCCACAUCAUCGAGUUUGAAAUCCAGGUCCAUGACUUUGUUUUUGCUGUUGCGAAGCUCAUAGGUGUGCUUUGCUUGCUCUUCCUCCAUGCUGCCGAACCUGUUAGCGAUCAUAACUGUGUCCUUGGUUGCUCGUUCUUCUAUUGAUUUGACUUGUGAGGCUAGGUUAUCGAUCUUCUCAUUGAAAAGUUUCGAUAUCCCGUCAAUCCUUUCGUUGAAAGCGGCUAUAGCGGUUGCUUGAGCUUCUAUGAACUGCUUGAUCACGCCUUUGAGCUGACUCAAUCGGUUACUGAGCUGGACGUUCUCAUCUUGGUGGAAAAUCUGGUGAGGUAGGCGAUACAUAGGAUGUCUAGGGUUUGCCAUUGGAGGUACGUACGGCUCGUUCUGGAACAUUUUGUAGUCUUCGGUUCGAAUUUCUUCGUAGAGAUCGCGUAAGUACUGCUUCUCUCUGUGUCUGGUGGCUUGAGGAGUGUUGUAGAAACCUUCCUCUUAGUGUGGAUUUCGAUUUAUAGGAUCCAUAUCUUCUGAAAUGGAAACAAAAUAACCGAAAAAUGGAAAUAUGCAGAAAAAGGGGUUCUAGAGUCGAUUUACCAACCUUUCUUAGGGUUUUGCGGAAAAGAAAACGCGUGCCUUCCCCGGCAACGGCGCCAAAAACUUGAUGUGGUCGUGUGUGAGGGUGUCAAGUUUUACCCUAAAUGAAAUCAAUAGCCGCAAGUGCACAGCUGAUCGAUUGUAGUACUUAGGGAUCGAAUCCACAGGGAAGGAGGAUCUUUCCUGCAAAAGCCUUCGAAAAAAAUAUAAAGUAAGGAAGUCUAGAACCAGGCGAGUUUUGUGAGGGUAUUGGUGGUGUGUUUAAAACGUAAAAACAAAUCCUAAAGAGAAAAUACCGGAAUUAAAAUAACAUAAUAACUAAACUUAACAAAAAUGGGUAAAAACGAGUAAAACGGCUAACCUAAUUGCUUAAAUGAAAAUCGAUUGAAAGAGUAAAGAUACUAGACUAAAGCUUGAAUGAAAAUUGGUGUAAAUCUAUAAGAAAAGAGGCGCUGGGGUUCAGGGAAGUUUUCUCAGGGGUAUGAACGAUUCAAAACAUUGCUAGAGAGUAAAAUUGAUAAGAUCUUAGCUUAAACUUUUCGAAUUGGAGUCACGGACGUAUGAAUACGCCACUGUCGUGAUCAUAGACAACUAUCUCUCUCAACCCUGACCAGUAGGUUUCCACUCUGGCCCUGGAAAAGAAGAGAUUCAUUAUGUUUAAGACUCGUCAGGAUUCACAAAUCUCCCAUAGGUAGGUUUCCACUCCUAUGUUUGUUUUGCUCUCCCAAACUAGAUCUGACACCGGAUGAACACUUUCGUGUCACCAAGCAUUUGGAUCAGAUUGUAGUUCAUGAAGCUACUCUCAUGCAGUAAAAACGAAUUCAGAAGAAAAAGUUCUAAGAUUCGGCUCAAAAGCUCAUGGAAUCCUCACCGAACAUAUAUAACCCCAUCGAAAAUCCCUUAAUCCCAAUAAUAAAACUACUCAGACAUGAUGAACGAAAUCAAAAACAUAGUAUUAAAAAGUAGUACAGAAACCGAAAUUGAAAAAGAAAGAACAAGGGUUCAAGAGAUAGAUGUCUCUCUCCCUAAAAGCUAAAGUAAAAACAAUAAGAAAACAAGCUGGUCUAAAAGGUGAUGAUUGAUUAUGAAUUAGGGUUCCUAAGACAUGUAUUUAUAGUGCUCAAGACAUCUUUGGGCGUCACUUAGGGUUUCUCCAAAUGAGGAAAUCAUUUUGGGCUUCAGAAAUGGGGCUUCAGAAAUGGGCCUUCGGGUUCGGAGUUAGCUGGCCGUGGUCCAGAUGUGCGUGACCGCAGGGAAUGGGUGGCUGGCUGCGGUCGCGGUGGUUGUGACCACGGGGUAUGGUCUGUUGGCCACGGGUGGAAACGCUUACCGGCUGGUUUACGGGACAUCUUGCUCUUCGCGUGUCUUUUGAUUGAACCGUUGGAUUGUCAAGCUGUAAAGUGUGAUGGAAAGCUGAUACUUCCAUCUUUAAGAUCUCCAAAUUUGAGCUGAAUCAGACAGUGAGAAGGCCUUCAAUCGGGGGUGAACUUCUGACGUUUGACUCUGAGCUGAAAUCUGGUUUUCUAUUCAUUUUGUUAAGCUUUUCCCUAAGUUUCCUGAAAAGUGUCUUGGAACUAUAAAUACUAGAAAAACGUAAUAAAAGUACUUAAAAGCAAUUAAAAACAUAGAAAAAAUAUUUCAAAACGAUCCAUAAAAGUGGUCAAAAUACGGUGUUAUCAUACAGGGCCACAAUGCCAAACGCUGCUCACAACUCCUGCAGUUUCAAGGCAUGGUCAGUCAACAACAACAACACAGUCCUUUCCCUUCGUGGAAUCCUCGGGCUAAUCUUGCAGUUGCCUCACCUCACAACACCACCAACUGGCUGAUGGAUAGUGGUGCCACACAUCACAUCACUUCGGAUCUCACCAACCUUGCUUUACAUCAACUAUAUCAAGGUGGUGAUGAUGUGAUCAUUUCAGAUGGAUCUACGGUUCCCAUGACACACACUGGUUCUUCAAUUCUUCCCAAUACUACUCGUGAGUUAGAGAGUUCUAUAUGUGCCUAAUAUACAUAAGAAUCUCAUCUCAGUCUAUCGUCUAUGUAAUACUAAUCGCGUGUCUGUAGAAUUUUUCCCAUCCUCCUUUCAGGUGAAGGAUCUGAGCACGGGGGUCCCGUUAAUCUGCGGCAACACUAGGAACGAUCUUUAUGAAUGGCCAACAACUGCACCACAAGCCAUGUUUGUUCGUUCGUGUUCGAAGGCAACUGUCUCUUCUUGGCACUCUCGUUUAGGCCAUCCCUCAUUCUCCAUUUUAAACAAUGUCAUUUCGAAAUUUGCUCUUCCUGUUUCCCCUUCUUCACAAAAAUUUCUAUCUUGCACUCCUUGUUUAAUCAAUAAAAGUCAUACCAUUUUCUCAGUCCACCAUUGUGUCCACACAACCCCUUCAAUACAUCUAUUCUGAUGUUUGGAGCUCUCCAAUACUUUCUUCAGAUAACUAUCGCUAUUAUCUAGUUAUCAUCGAUGGCCUGUCUGAACGGAAGCACAGACAUGUUGUGGAGACAGGUCUCACUCUUCUCUCCAAUGCAUCAGUUCCGAAAAAGUACUGGCCGUAUGCCUUUGCGGUAGCUGUGUAUCUUAUCAAUCGUUUACCCACGCCGGUGCUGUCUAUGCGGUCACCAUUUCAACUACUCUUUGGAACGGGUCCUAACUAUGACAAGCUAAGGGUAUUUGGAUGCACCUGCUUCCCAUGGCUACGGUCGUAUAAUAGACACAAACUAGAAGACAAGUCACAACAAUGUGUCUUCUUUGGCUAUUCCGCAUCUCAAAGUGCUUAUCUAUGCUAUCACAUUCCGACAUGGAGACUCUAUGUAUCGAGACAUGUACAGUUUGAUGAGAACACAUACCCGUUUGCCAAAUCUAUGCCAGAUUCUGAGACGAAUACAGAAGGUGAUGCGGCCGUUCACUGGACCCCACACACCAUCGUCGAUGCUCGCCCAAUGGUCAUGUCGUGCUCAGAUCCUCACCUCGGACCGCCAUUAUCCUUGGCAUCCACCGUACCGCCGGCAAACUCCACUGCUACUCAGGUAUCGCCUCUAAACUCUGAAUCUCCUUCUGUCUCUCUCUCCUCUAAUCCUUCUCCAAAUUCACAAGCCCAAACACCACAUCCCAAUGACUCAACUCACCCUCAAACAAAUUCCAGCCCAACAACAUCUGAAGCCCACACAAAUUCAACCUCUAUGACCUCAACUCCAUCGUCUUCUUACUCUGUUCCUGCACCAUCACCCGAACCACAAAAUCAUCCCACAAACAACCAUCCCAUGGCAACUCGGUCAAAAACAGGAAUCCGCAGGCCCAAUACAAAAUAUCUUCUAACAGUGUCUUCAGGUUCGGAGCCCCGCACUGCACUACAAGCGUUACAAGAUGAACGGUGGAGGAAAGCUUGUACGUCUGAGAUGAAUGCUCAAAUUGGUAAUCACAGUUGGGAUAUUGUGCCCAGACCACCUCCACAUGUGACUAUCGUUGGCUGUCGAUGGAUCUUCACCAAGAAAUUUAAUCCCGAUGGCUCAGUAAGCCAAUAUAAGGCUCGUCUCGUCGCAAAAGGUUACAACCAAAGACCUGGUCUUGACUAUGCAAAAAUGUUUAGCCCUGUUGUGAAAUCUAAAACGAUUCGCAUUGUUCUUGGGGUCGCUGUCGAUUUCAACUGGCCAAUUCGACAACUUGAUGUCAAUAAUGCCUUUCUACAGGGCACAUUGACGGAUGAGGUGUACAUGGAGCAGCCUCCCGGUUUCGUGGAUUCCGAUAGACCAACUCAUGUCUGCAAACUCCGGAAAGAUAUCUACGGAUUAAAGCAGGCACCACGCGCCUGGUAUGUUGAGUUAAAAAAUUUUCUCCUCCAGACUGGAUUCAAAAACUCGGUUUCCGACACCUCUCUGUUUAUUCUCAAGAGAAACAAGUCCAUCCUCUAUAUGCUUGUGUAUGUGGAUGACAUACUUGUAACGGGUAAUGAUCGAUGUCUUCUACAACAAACUCCCUGGUAAAGAUCUUUGAGCUUGAGAACUACAGUGGCCCUUGUUGUUCUCUAGAGUCUUGACUUUGGAAGCCAAGGUGGAAAGUUGAGUUAAAAGAUCAGAAUAAGUGCAAUCCACAUUGUUGUUAAUCUCUGCCAUUUUCUUGUUGAAGUCCAUGGCACCAUUUGCUUGACCUUGGAGGAUUUGCUGGAGCAGGUUCUGCACUUCUUGAUCCUUAUUCUCUGAGUUCUGUUGGAGACUUUGUUGUUGGGGAGAGAAAAAACCUUGUUGUUGAGUGUUUUGAGGAUAGAAGCUCUGGUUUAAGGGAUUCUUGUUGUAGGUUGGUAACCUUGUUAGCCACCUACAAAGUUCACCUCAGCUGUGAUGUCUUCCCUUUGAAAUGUGUCUUGAAACAAAUGAUUCACAUCUCUAACAAAGUUGGCUGACUGAUGAGAAGCUAAGAGAAGUGUGUCUAGCUUCUCAUUGAGAGACUUGAUGUCUUUCCUUGUCCUUUCCUCUUCAGCACUCACAGCUCCUCUUGAAUUCCUUUCAAAGUCUGAUCCAUAAAGCUCAUCACUCUGAGCUCUGAGCUACAUUCUCCACUAGGGUCAUGGCAUCAUUGACUUCCUUGGUCAUGAAAUUACCAUUUGAAGCUGUGUCCAAGAGGAGUCUGACCUUUGGUAAAGCACCUCUGUAGAAGGUACUUAGCAGCUGACAAUCUGAGAAUCCAUGGUGAGGGCAUUGCAUGGUAUACCCUCUAAAUCUUUCCCAAGCCUCACAAAAUGAUUCAUGGUUCUUCUGAAUGAAACUUGAGAUUUCAUUUCUUAACCUUGCUGUUCUUGAUGAAGAGAAGAACUUGGUUAGAAAUACUCUUUUGCAUUACUCCCAUGUUGUGACUGAUCCUUGAGGUAGAGACUUUUCCCACUGAUGAACUUUGUCUCCUAGAGAAAAAGGGAACAGCCUCAACUUGAAACUGUCUUCACUCACUCCAUUCAUCUUAGUUAGAUCACAAACUCUAUCAAAGUUGUCAAUGUGAUCUAGUGGGUCUUCUACUGCCAAGCCAUGGAACCUGUUUGAUUGCACCAUGUUGAUCAAGCCAGACUUGAUCUCAAAAUCGUUUUCAGGUGUUGGAGCUUGAAUCCCAUGUCUUGGACCCUGAGCAUUGGCUUCAUCACCAGCUCCCACAACUUGUUUUGGACGUGGAGGUGGUGGGUCUUGCUGAUUCUGGUGGUUUCCAUUACCACCAUGAGCCUGUUGCCCUUGAUCCAUACCCAACCUCUCAAUGUGCUCAGCUCUUUCUCGUUGCCUUCUUUCUUCACUUCUGGUGUUCAUAUACCUGAAAACAAAGACAACACUUGAAAGGUAAUCAGUAAAACAAAAGAAAAUGACUUGAUCUCAAGAAGAUCCAAAGUCCUAAUGCUAGAAUGAAUCUCCAAUUGGCAACGGCGCCAAAUUGAUAGUAGGAAUUUUCAAUCCUUGAUCAAUUCCUCAACUACUCAUGUCAUUGUAGCACUUGAGGUAUCAAUCCAAAUAGAGAGAUUCUAGACACUAGAACUAUGAGGAGCUAUCUUAAUUCAAGUCUAAUAAGCAGAUGAGUUGGUAACAAGGUGAUCUAAAAAGAUAAAGCAAACAAGAACAAGCAGUAAUUAAGAAUUAAACAAGCAAGAGAAACUAAACAAACACUCAAAUUCAAAUAAAGAGAAAGCUAAACUUCUAGAUGUGAUCAUUGAUCAGGGUGCUUUAAAUGUGAAUUCAUGAUGCUAAGCAAACAAUGCAACACUUGCAAUUCUUUAGUCUAGACUUCCAAAUCAGAUUAAUUCAUUCUCAUGACAAAAAUCCCUUUGUUAAUUACCAAUUCAAGACUAAUUCCCAUUAGAUGAAUAAACAAUCAACAAGCAUAAGGUUCCAAGUCUAAAAUGACCAGACAGCCUCUUUGUGCAUCAAAAUAAGAGCUAAGAAAGACUGAAUCUUAUACAGAAAGAUAAAGCAAACAUCACAUGAUCUCUAAUUCCAAUUAACUUAGAACUCUAAUCUAGAUUAAUCCUCUCAUGAAGGCACUAACCUCUACACUAAUCCAUUUUCAAACCAAAUCAUCAUUUGUGAAAUAUGAAUCAAUGAGCAUUAAGAAACAGUUCUAAUAUGUCAUUCAUGCAUUUAACAAUCAUUCCCAUGAUGAAAAAGGCAUAAACCCUUAAGUUAGCUCAUUCAGGCAUUUCAUCAAACACCUUGUGGGUGGAGAAAUGCCUAAGUUCUAGAUCAAGCUUAUAAUGAGAGAUCUAGCAUUAGGAUCAGCUAACUAAGGAAAAGAGAAGAGAAUCUAAGCUUAAACAAUCAUUAAUCUACAUCUAAGCACCCUAAUCUACACACGUAGAAGCUUAAAAGAAGACUACUCACUAAUCAUGAUGAACACACCAUUUCCUUUGCAGAGGUGAUGUUAAUCAUGAUUAGAAGCAAAGAUAAGAAGAUGAGAUGAACUUUCACCUAAACCUAGACUAGCCCUUGAUGUUGGACUAGUAUCUACAUGCAGCACUAUCUUUGUCGCUCUAAACCCAACACUUUUUACCAAGUCUACUAGAAACAAGGCCUCACAAAUCAUGCACACAAGAAGGGUGUUUAGGCUUCAAAGAAAGGUUUGGCUAAAGGCAGGGAACUGUCUCAAGAUGAGAGAUCAGCUAUUUGAGCUAGCAAGAGUGAUAAAAUGGGAUAAGAAAGCUCAAAUAUGUAUGUGGUACCCAUGAAUUCACAAUGAUAUGCACAAACAUGAUAAUUAGAUGUGAAAUUCAAGGGUUCUCACUUAAGCAAGGUUGAGGCUAUUCACAACUUGAUUCAGCUAGCACAAAAGUAUUGAGACACCAGUUCAAAGCAUGGUUCACACUUGAUUUCAUACCAGUUUUGCAAUGCCUUAAGGGACCAAGCUCUUAAAAUGAUGCUCUCUUCAAGAAAAAAAUCUAUCAUUACUCCCAUUUGCAUAUGAUGCAACCUAUAUGAAAAUGCAAACUAGACUCAACCUAAAAUGUGAAUGCAACUACAUGAGCAUUUUUUGUGAAAAUAUUUCAGAUUUUUCCAUUUUUUUGGUUUUUAUAUGCACUUAGAUGAAUGCAAAAUGAGACUCAAAGUGAAAAGGAAAAUAAGAGCAGAAUAAACAUGAUUAGUAAACACAAAACCCCUCCCCCACACUUAGAUAACACAGUCCCUUGUGUUAUAAAAGCAUAAGAGAGGAGUGAAAAGCAAAAGCAAGAAAGAUGCAAAAUGAGAAAUAAAGAACUAGAUGCAUAUGUACAAGGAGUUUGGAGUGUUACCAGAUUUGUUUUUGAUGGAAGGGAGUAGUGGAAUUGUGAAUUUCAGGGGGCUAAACAUCACUGGAGGUGUCCUAGUUUUGAUGCUGCUCCUUGCACUGAUCUGAACAUGCUUGUAGUGAGGGCUGGAGCUCGUUUUUGUGAAUUGUUCCUCUUGCCACCCCCUGUUGCCAUGGUCUGGAAGCUCCUCUGGACAGCCCGUGGCAUUCUUUUGUUCUUCCUCUAACACAUUGCCACAGCUUGGAUGUGACCGUGGCAAAGAGACCAUGGCAAAAGCCGAAGUUUCUGCUGCCUUAAAACAUGUUGCCACGCCUUGAAUCUAUCCAUGGCAUUCCUCCCGUGGUAAAAGCCGAAUGGUGGUCUAUUCAAAAUUCAACUUGCCACGGUUCAAUUCUGGGUGUGGCAAUCUCCCCAUGGCAAUCACCGAAGGUUGGCAUCCAAGAAAAAACUUCAUGCCACGCCUGGGUCAAGCAGUGAUUCAUGGUCGUGGCAAACUGUGAACUUAGCCAAAUUUUGCAUUUCCUUGCAUCUUGUCCACCAUUCCUUAAGGCCAAAGAACACCAGGUCAUCUGUAACCUGAACACACUCCACAAGACACAUCAAAUCAUCCUAAAAACACCAAAAGAAAGCAUUAAAAAGAAUAUUUACAAAGGAUAAGUUUGGGGUGUCUCCCAAGAGCACUUUGUUUAAAGUCACUAAAUUUGACUUCUUACACUCUUUUUAGUGAGGGAGAGGAGGAGCUUUGAUGCUCCUUGUCUUGUCCAUGAAUUCAAGCAUGAGGUCCUUGUUCAUCAGCUCUUGGACACCAUCAGAUCCUUUGUCUAUGAGCUCUUGUGUGAGGAUUGCCCUGACUUUUGCAAAAGGUUUUGAUCCUCCAAUGCCUUUAACCUUGUAUUCCACAGCUCCACCAUCAAACUUCCAUGGAGUGAGCUUUAUCACCUGAGAAGAGGACCCAAGAGUGAAUGAUUUGGUGCUUCUUGGGUUCUUGUCUUGAGACCCUGAACCAUUGCUUUUGUUGCUGCUGACCUCCUUCUCACUUGGUGUGGGAGAAAAAGAUUCCAAGCAAACUUCAUCAUCACUAAAGAAAUCUCCUUCAAACUCAAGAUCAGGUCUUACUAAGGAUUCUUUGUUCUUCUCAACAGAUGCAAGGGGUUGAGCUUCUUCUAUAGUUCCAAUACUCCCCACAUACUUCAUCUCAUAGUGUUUCAACUCAUAAGAAUCAUCAGUAUAACCCCACAAAAUCCAGCAAAAAGAGGUUUAAGGGGAUAAGAUACUUCAUCAUCUACCUUAGUAAGCACCACUCUUUGAGUAUCAAAGUCCAUCCUUGCUCCUGUGGUGUUCAGAAAUAGAGUUCCAAGCAGAAGAGGUAGCUCUUUGGUCUUUUUCAUCUUCAUGACUACAAAAUCAGUUGGAACUGUGCAUUCACCAAUCUUUAAUGGGUAGUCUUCAAGGAUUCCAUAUGGCUUCUUUGAGGAUGAAUCUCCAAAGGUAAUUUACAUGGGGUGAUGUUUAAGACUCUUGAUCCCAAGUCUCUCCACCAUGUCUAAAGACAUUACACUGAUGCUUGAUCCAGAAUCACUUAAAGCAUUGUCCACUUUCAAACUUCCCAGAGAGCAUGAGAUGGAGAACUUUCCUGGAUUACCUAGCUUGGGAAUUGAUUUGGGUUUCACCCUUGUUGAACCAGUGCUAGAGACUCCAUCAGAUGUCCUUCCUUGAACCAUUCUCUGAUCCUUUCUUUCAGUAAUCUCAGAAUCAUUCUUUCUCAUAUCAAAAGAAGCUGCCUCCCCACCUUCUUCCUCAAUGUCCUCAUUGAGAUCACAGAACAGGAACUCAAACUCAUCUAUGAUGGCGUCCUCAUCAUCUUUUGUCAGGCAUUUUUCACUGGAGACAUUGCCAUGGAGAAGAUCCUCAAUUUCUUGGACAGCAGCAUGAUUCUCAGCAUUUGAGAGGAUUACAUUGCAGUAUUCUGUUUGAUGUGCAACUGAUGUCCCUGGUAAAGAUCUUUGAGCUUGAGAACUGCAGUGACCCUUGUUGUUUUUUAGAGUCUUGACCUUGGAAGCCAAGGUGAAAAGUUGAGUUAGAAGAUCAGAAUAAGUGCAAUCCACAUUGUUGUUAAUCUUUGCCAUUUUCUUGUUGAAGUCCAUGGCACCAUUUGCUUGACCUUGGAGGAUUUGCUGGAGCAGGUUCUGCACUUCUUGAUCCUUAUUCUCUGAGUUCUGUUGGAGACUUUGUUGUUGGGGAGAGAAAAAACCUUGUUGUUGAGUGUUUUGAGGAUAGAAGCUCUGGUUUAAGGGAUUCUUGUUGUAGGUUGGUAACCUUGUUGGCCACCUACAAAGUUCACCUCAGCUGUGAUGUCUUCCCUUUGAAAUGUGUCUUGAAACAAAUGAUUCACAUAUCUAACAAAGUUGGCUGACUGAUGAGAAGCUAAGAGAAGUGUGUCUAGCUUCUCAUUGAGAGACUUGGUGUCUUUCCUUGUCCUUUCCUCUUCAGCACUCACAGCUCCUCUUGAACUCCUUUCAAAGUCUGAUCCAUAAAGCUCAUCACUCUGAGCUCUGAGCUACAUUCUCCACUAGGGUCAUGGCAUCAUUGACUUCCUUGGUCAUGAAAUUACCAUUUUAAGCUAUGUCCAAGAGGAGUCUGACCUUUGGUAAAGCACCUCUGUAGAAGGUACUUAGCAGCUGACAAUCUGAGAAUCCAUGGUGAGGGCAUUGCAUGGUAUACCCUCUAAAUCUUUCCCAAGCCUCACAAAAUGAUUCAUGGUUCUUCUGAAUGAAACUUGAGAUUUCAUUUCUUAACCUUGCUGUUCUUGAUGAAGAGAAGAACUUGGUUAGAAAUGCUCUUUUGCAUUACUCCCAUGUUGUGACUGAUCCUUGAGGUAGAGACUUUUCCCACUGAUAAACUUUGUCUCCUAGAGAAAAAGGGAACAGCCUCAACUUGAAACUGUCUUCACUCACUCCAUUCAUCUUAGUUAGAUCACAAACUCUAUCAAAGUUGUCAAUGUGAUCUAGUGGGUCUUCUACUGCCAAGCCAUGGAACCUGUUUGAUUGCACCAUGUUGAUCAAGCCAGACUUGAUCUCAAAAUCGUUUUCAGGUGUUGGAGCUUGAAUCCCAUGUCUUGGACCCUGAGCAUUGGCUUCAUCACCAGCUCCCACAACUUGUUUUGGACGUGGAGGUGGUGGGUCUUGCUGAUUCUGGUGGUUUCCAUUACCACCAUGAGCCUGUUGCCCUUGAUCCAUACCCAACCUCUCAAUGUGCUCAGCUCUUUCUCGUUGCCUUCUUUCUUCACCUCUGGUGUUCAUACACCUGAAACCAAAGACAACACUUGAAAGGUAAUCAGUAAAACAAAAGAAAAUGACUUGAUCUCAAGAAGAUCCAAAGUCCUAAUGCUAGAAUGAAUCUCCAAUUGGGAACGGCGCCAAAUUGAUAGUAGGAAUUUUCAAUCCUUGAUCAAUUCUUCAACUACUCAUGUUAUUGUAGCACUUGAGGUAUCAAUCCAAAUGGAGAGAUUCUAGACACUAGAACUAUGAGGAGCUAUCUUAAUUCAAGUCUAGUAAGCAGAGUUGGUAACAAGGUGAUCUAAAAAGAUAAAGCAAACAAGAACAAGCAGUAAUUAAGAAUUAAACAAGCAAGAGAAACUAAACAAACACUCAAAUUCAAAUAAAGAGAAAGCUAAACCUCUAGAUGUGAUCAUUGAUCAGAGUGCUUUAAAUGUGAAUUCAUGAUGCUAAGCAAACAAUGCAACACUUGCAAUUCUUUAGUCUAGACUUCCAAAUCAGAUUAAUUCAUUCUCAUGACAAAAAUCCCUUUGUUAAUUACCAAUUCAAGACUAAUUCCCAUUAGAUGAAUAAACAAUCAACAAGCAUAAGGUUCCAAGUCUAAAAUGACCAGACAGCCUCUUUGUGCAUCAAAAUAAGAGCUAAGAAAGACUGAAUCUUAUACAGAAAGAUAAAGCAAACAUCACAUGAUCUCUAAUUCCAAUUAACUUAGAACUCUAAUCUAGAUUAAUCCUCUCAUGAAGGCACUAACCUCUACACUAAUCCAUUUUCAAACCAAAUCAUCAUUUGUGAAAUAUGAAUCAAUGAGCAUUAAGAAACAGUUCUUAUAUGUCAUUCAUGCAUUUAACAAUCAUUCCCAUGAUGAAAAAGGCAUAAACCCUUAAGUUAGCUCAUUCAGGCAUUUCAUCAAACACCUUGUGGGUGGAGAAAUACCUAAGUUCUAGAUCAAGCUUAUAAUGAGAGAUCUAGCAUUAGGAUCAGCUAACUAAGGAAAGGAGAAGAGAAUCUAAUCUUAAACAAUCAUUAAUCUACAUCUAAGCACCCUAAUCUACACACGUAGAAGCUUAAAAGAAGACUACUCACUAAUCAUGAUGAACACACCAUUUCCUUUGCAAGAGGUGAUGUUAAUCAUGAUUAGAAGCAAAGAUAAGAAGAUGAGAUGAUAAGAAACAGACUUAGAUUGAUUAAAUCCUUGAGAUAUCUCUUAACAAACUCGUUUUUACACUAAAAAGGAAAGAAAACUAGAGAGAAAACCAAGCUCCCCCCUUGGAAAAAGCCCUAAAAAGCAUAUAUAGUGUCUCUUGCGGACCGGGUCAGCCCAGGACAAACUGGGUCCUGACCCGGCUUUGAUGGAUAGUGGUGUGGUUUGCCACGGUCAGAUGAUGCUUGGCCAGACCGUGGCAAUCUGACAGUGUCAAAGUUCUUGGACAGAUUCUUCAUGAUUAAGGUUGCCAUGGCUUGAUUUACACCAUGUCUAGUGGCUGUGUCUCUUCCUUUCUGGGUUUGGGUGAUGAACUUCUUGGAUUGCCACGAUCUUGAUCUGGACCGUGUCAUGUUGGGCGUGGCAAGGUGUUGAUCAUUCGAUGAUUGCCACAGCCUGAUGUUUGGCCGUGGCAUUAUGGGUGUGUCAAAGAUCUUCAUUGCUUGCCGUGGUCAGGUUCAAGGCCGUGCCUCAAGACCAUGUAAAAUCCCGAAAGUUGGCUUCAUCAGUAGUACAUUGCCACGGUCUGAUGUAGACCGUGGCAUUCUCACAGUGUCAAUCGCCGAAGGUUGGGAAAACAUUGCCAUGGUCAGGUUAGACCAUGGCAUUAAGGCCGUAUCAUGCUCUUUUGUCUCUUUUAGCAAACUUUGGAGGUUGCCACGGCUAAGUGCAUGGCCGUGGCAUGGUAACCGUGUCAAAUCCCGAGAGUUUUCAUAUUAUGCCACGGCCAAGCUCAGGCCGUGGCAUUAUCACCGUGUCAAAUCAUGACACUUAGCACCUUAUCCACUCUUAGACGUCUGGCUGAUAUGUAUGUCUCUCGCCAUUCUUAACUCUCAUCUCACGACUCCAAAUCCAAUGAUUCGACCUGUUCUGGGACCGUGACUCUAUCAUCUCCAACUUUGAUGAAGGGUUAGGGUUCAUAUGACGUCGGCAAGGGCUCCGUUCCACCGGUUCUUUGAGGCGCAUCGUUUAAGACCUGAUCGGGCCGCGAGACAUGUGUUCCUUCUGAUGGCAAUAUCUCCCAGUUCACGGCUCCAAAUCGUCUGAUUCCAAGUGUUCCAGAAACUAGACUCAUCCCUCUUGAUUCGUGAUGAAGACACUGGAGGUUGAAUCGCAUUGCACGUCCUUCUUCCCACGCGAUCAAAGUGAGGGUUUUGUCUGCACCAAACCAUCUGUCCGAGUUGCUGUACACAGGUGAGGGUUCCUCCAUGAUCCCAGCUCCAAGUUGCUCCCAAAAGUCUCCAAAUGACCUGAGAACACUCCAAAAAUGCAGGACACUCUAGGACCUAAUGCAAUUCCUAACUAAAGACAAAAGCAAAGACAAAUAUAUGUAAAACUACCUAAAUGUAUGCAUGAGACUCAAUAUUUGGACAAAAAUGCAAUCCUAAACAUGAAAAAAUAUGAGUAUAUCAACUCUCUACUUAAGGAACUCGGUAUUCAACUACCACGACCGCCGGUGAUCUAAUGUGAUAACGUUGGAGCAACAUAUUUAUGCGCAAAUCCUGUGUUCCACUCACGAAUGAAGCACAUCGCCUUGGAUUAUCAUUUCAUUCGAACUCAGGUCCAAGCCGGUCAGUUGCGUGUAGUACAUGUCUCCACUAAAGAUCAAAUCGCAGAUGCCUUAACUAAAUCACUACCUCGGAGGACUUUCACGACAUUUGUUUCCAAGAUUGGAGUGACUAAGGCCCCUCCAUCUUGAGGGGGCGUAUUAGAGAUAUUCCCUCUAUCUUUGACUACUACAAUUACGGUUCCAUAUAUGUAAAGUAGAUAGUCUCUUCUGUAAUACCCUAGACGUCUCUCCCUGUAUAUAUUCACUCCUCUCCUCUGUAAUCGAUACACAACUAAUAAUAAACAUCAUUACUCUCUUAUAGAUAGUGGCUGUUCCAGACAUUGUUGGGAAAUUUACCCAAUAUUCUUUCGUGUGCUGAAGAAAGAAAGCAGGUCCAGG
Molecule: long non-coding RNA, 98906 nt
Filed under: Eutrema salsugineum
Lineage: Eukaryota; Viridiplantae; Streptophyta; Magnoliopsida; Brassicales; Brassicaceae
Description: long non-coding RNA (ESAL_LNC001577)
Rfam family: Plant small nucleolar RNA R71 (bases 89911-90017)
Source: RNAcentral